UGACAAUGCCGUCCGGCGACGGUGUCAGGUGGGUACCGAUGAACCGCCCGCACGGCCCAUGCUCGUCGGCGGCGGCGACUACGGUCGUCGACGGCAUGCUCCUGUGGGACCAGCUACGCACCAGCUCAAUCCGGAGGAAGCUCUCCGGCGGCAGGGCCGGCGAUGGCCUGCCGGUCAUCCACUCCCGUGAAGCCAAAACUAGCAACAUCGACAGCAGUAUGACUGCGAAAAGCACGCUGGGGGGCAGCGGCGGGACAAGCUCCACGACAAUGGAAAGGACCAGCGAACACUUGUACUCCAAGGUGAGCCAAACGGUGGUGGUGGACACGAGCAGCGACAUUCCGUGGGUGCAGUGCCUCCCGUGCCCCGCCCCGCAGUGUCACCUCCAGAAGGACCAACUCUACGACCCCGCCAACUCCAGCACGUACGCACCUAUCCCCUGCGGCUCCCCUGCCUGCACGGAGCUCGGUAGCAGCCACAGCAGUGGCUGCUCCGCCGGCUCCGACCAAUGCAAGUACAUCCUCGACUACGGCGACGGCAGGGCCACCGCCGGGACAUACGUCACCGACACGCUGACCUUGUCGCCCACCAUCGCGGUCAAGGGCUUCCGGUUCGGGUGCAGCCACGCCGUGAGGGGCACCUUCAGUGACCAGACCGCCGGCGUCCUGGCCCUCGGCGGCGGCGCUGGGUCCCUCCUUGCGCAGACCGCGGAGACCUUCGGCAACGCCUUCUCCUACUGCGUCCCGCACCCGAGCUCCGAUGGAUUCCUCUCGCUGGGCGGGCCGGUGGGGAACUCGUCGCAGUUCACGAGCACGCCUCUNNNNNNNNNNCUCUGAUCAAGAACCAACACGCUCCGACGUUCUACAUCGUCCGCCUGGAGGCAAUCACCGUGGCCGGGAGGCGGCUCGACGUGCCGCCGGCUACGUUCGCCGGUGGUGCGGUGAUGGACUCAGGGGCGGUCGUCACGCAGCUGCCACCGUCGGCAUACGCAGCGCUGCGGGCAGCGUUCAGGAGCGCCAUGACGGCGUAUGGCCCGCUUGCGGAUCCCGUACGCAACCUUGACACGUGCUAUGACUUGACCCGCUUCCCCGAGGUCAAUGUCCCCAAGGUGUCCCUAGUGUUCGCAGGCGGUGCCACCUUGGAGCUCGAGCCGGCGUCCAUCAUGCUGGACGGCUGCCUGGCUUUCACGGCCUCCCCUGGCGGCCACGGCUCCAUCGGAUUCAUCGGCAACGUGCAGCAGCAGACCUACGAGGUUUUGUACGACGUCGGCAGCGGGAGCGUGGGAUUCCGCAGUGGCGCGUGCUGAUGUGGCAAGCUGCAGGCCAACCACGGCCACUUGUACGUGUGAUGCAUGAUUGGCCCCCUAAUAUAUAUCUGGGUCUACAAGCUAGCUUGCUCAUUGGGAUGGAGCUAGUUUGUGAGUAUAAAUAAAUGCAAGAAAGAAGAUUGAUGUAAUACUUAUAUAUGCAUGUAAUUUUAUAUAGUUUUAUAUAUGCAUGUAAUUUUGUUCAACGGUUGUAUGAUUGUAAACCUUAUAAUAUAACCUUACAGAUUGUCAAGGAAUUCAACCGAUAUAAUUACUCUACUUAUUGAUGUGCAAUAAUGUAAUAUGACUAUUAAGAAGCAUUCUGAUUGUGGAGGUGGUUUCGCACUUUUUACUACAACAAAGGUGUUUGAAGGAUUCCUCGGCAGAAACUAGAACGCACUCCUUCAAUAAUUGACGAGCUAAUUGGUUGUUGAACUUCAGACAAAGAUUGUUGGGCAUGAAAGCGGUCACCAGCGGGUUGAUUGGCCUCACCAGCUCAUACGUGUUCAUGAGGCGUGGUUUUUUUCUUUUCUUGAUUAAUAGUAUUUGUUUCUGGAUGCUUGCAUUGUUAGAUUUGGAAGCGUUCCUACUCCUCGAUGAGGAGCCGGGUUGGUUUAUAUUGAACGAGGCAGAACAGCCCUGCCGUGGCUUACAAGAAGAGGAAACUGAUCGCAAGGAUUGGGUUGUAAGGAGGACUCCUAAACAGCUACGCGAGGGAGAGAGAUAGAAUAGAGUUGAGAUUACAAUGCGGAGAUAAACAUGAAUUCUAACACCCUCCCUUAAUCUCAACUAUUCUAUGUUUAGAUUCCUCUUGAACUCAUCAAAUGGUUUUGCUGGUAGUGCCUUGGUGAACCCAUCAGCCACUUGAUCUUUGGAAGGGAUGAACCGUAUCUCAAGUUUCUUUGCUGCAACCCUUUCAGGCACAAAGUGAAAAUCAAUCUCUAUAUGCUUGGUUCUUGCAUGAAACACUGGGUUUGCAGACAAGUAUGUUGGUCCCAAAUUAUCACACCAUAAACAUGAGAUGCGAUUCUGCUUGACCCCCAUUUCAUCCAGUAGUGAUUCAAUCCAAAUGAUUUCUGCAGUGGCAUUAGCUAAGGAUUUAUACUCAGCCUCUGUAUUUGAACUUGAUACAGUGGCUUGUUUCCUACCACUUUAAGAAACAAGAUUAGGCCCAAAGAACACUGCAAAGCCUCCGGUUGAUUUUCUAUCAUCACUGCAACCUGCCCAAUCAGCAUCAGAGAAUGCACUCACAAGAGUAGAAUUAGAGCGUCUAAAAUGCAGUCCUACUCCCAUAGUAUGUUUGACAUAUCUUACAGUUCUCUUAAUAGCUGUCCAAUGUGCAGUAGUGGGUGCAUGCAGAUAUUGACAAACUUUGUUAACAGCAAAUGAGAUAUCUGGGCGAGUAAGAGUCAAGUACUGUAAUGCUCCAAUAGUACUUCUAUACUUUGUGCUAUCUUCCUCAUAAAGUGGCUCACCUUCAUAUGCUGAAAGUUUCUCCGAGGAGGACAAUGUGUAGGUACAGGUUUGCAGUUUUUCAUCCCCAUACGAGAUAGAAGCUUGGUAACAUAUUUCUCUUGUUUUAGUACCAUGCCAUCUUGAGUCAUCUUAACUUCAAUGCCUAGAAAGAAGUGCAAAUGUAACAUCCCAAAAUUCUAAAUUUUGGAAUGUUAUAUUAAAUAAUUAAUUAUGAUUGUUUGUUUGUUGUGUGAUUGAUUGUGUGAAAAUGAUUGGAAAUUGAAAACUUUUUGAAAGUUGAAUGAGAGGGAAUAAAAGGACUUUCUCGAAACUUUUCAUCUUGCAUUUUGAUCUUCCUGAAUUCAAAUUCAUUUCAUCACAAAACCCUAGAGUGAAGAUAAUAUGACUUCUUCCAUUUAAAGAAAUUAAAAAAGGGGUUUGAAAAUGAUUUGAAUUCCAUUUGAAACAUUUCGAAUUUAGAAACUUUAAGAGCAUCUCCAGCCGUUCGCCCCCCAGGACGCAUAAAAAUCGCCCCCAGGGGGCGAGCCGGCGAUACAAUCGGCGCUGGGAGCGGUUUCGCGCCCAGUCGUCGCCCCCAGCUCGCCCCAGGCGUCGAUAUUGGCCCACUUAUCCCAUUUCGGCGAAUAAAGGGCCCAUAUGGGCGACAAUAGGCCCAUAUUCGGCGUGGUUUGCCGUUGUUCGGCGUUCAAUUAUGCACAUAAAUUUUUUUAUCACAUAUUUCAUCACAGAAAUAUCAAAUACUUCAACAAAAUAGUACAACAACAAAUAGUUCAAUACAAUUUAUAUAGUUGAAGAAAUAAAAACUCAUAUUCCAUCACACGUCGCGCCCGACGUCGCCCUUGAGCCUCCAUAGAUGCUCUAUCAGAUCUUGCUGCACUUGAUGAUGCACCUGUGGGUCUCGGAUCUCCUGACGCAUACUGAGAUAGGCAGUCCAGGUUGCCGGUAGCUGGUGAUCAACUUCGGCUAGAGGACCCUGCCUGUAGUAUGGUUCAGUGUCAAACACUGGGUCUUCUUGCUCGCUCUCGAUGAUCAUGUUGUGCAAGAUGACACAACAAGUCAUAAUCUCCCACAUUUGAUCUUUCGACCAGGUCUGAGCAGGGUACCGGACAACAGCAAAUCGAGAUUGGAGCACACCAAAUGCCCUCUCGACAUCCUUCCUGCAAGCCUCCUGAACCUUCGCAAACCGGGCGUUCUUGCCUCCUGGCACAGGGUUUGAGAUUGUCUUCACAAAUGUCGACCAUCUCGGAUAGAUGCCAUCAGCUAGAUAGUACCUCUUAUUGUAGUGCCGCCCAUUGAUCUCGAAGUUCACCGGAGGAGAAUGACCUUCAACAAGCUUGGCAAAGAUAGGAGAGCACUGCAGCACGUUGAUGUCAUUGUGAGUUCCUAGCAUACCAAAGAAGGAGUGCCAAAUCCAGAGGUCCUGUGUGGCCACCGCCUCAAGUACCACACUGCAACCGUCUUUGGCGCCUUUGUACAUCCCCUGCCAAGCAAAUGGGCAAUUCUUCCAUUUCCAAUGCAUGCAGUCGACUCUUCCAAGCAUCCCAGGAAAUCCUCUUGCUGCAUUCUGUGCUAGGAUCCGAGAAGUGUCUUCCGCAUUGGGUGUUCUCAAGUAUUGCGGUCCAAACAUGGCCACCACUGUCCGAAAGAACUUGUAGAAACACUCUAUGCUGGUGGACUCAGCCAUGCGCCCAUAGUUGUCGAGUGAAUCACCGGGAGCUCCGUAUGCAAGCAUCCUCAUCGCUGUCGUGCACUUCUGAAUGGAGGUGAAUCCAAGGGCGCCGGUGCAAUCCAUCUUGCACUUGAAGUAUUUGUCGAACUACCGGAUGGAAUUCACAAUCUCGAGAAGAGCUUCCGGCUCAUCCGAUAACGGCGCCGAAAUGUUUUCUCGCCGUGAAGUGGAGCAUCGGCGAAGUAGUCGGAGUAGAGCAUGCAGUAGACUUCAAGACGAUGCCGGUUCAUUGCUUUCACACGCCCGGCGCCGAGCCACCUCGCUGCGGCUUUUUAUUGCUCGCCAGCAGCUGGGCGAGGGCGGCGAGCAACAUGAGAUGCUCUUCUUCCUGGACGUCGGCCUCGGCUUCCUCCUCCAGCAGCGCGGCGAGCGCUUCCUCGUCAUCCGAGUCCAUCGCCGAGGCAGGCAAAUCGCCGAACACCUUGCGCCCGGUGGGCGUGUACCCGCCGCUAAACUGCCCCUCCGCGGCCGGAAACGCCCAGCUGCUGUUGGAGGGGCUGCCGCGGCGAAGCUCUGCUAUUUUUUCGGCAGGGAAUGGCUAUCUAGCGGUGAAGGGCGGCGGGCGGCGCCUGGAUAUAGCUAGUGGCGGCCGAGGGCGCGGGGGUGGGAGGCGAGUCGGGGAAGAAAACCUUGACUUUUCCCCUGCCGGUGUGGGCCAGCCGCGCUUUUCCCUUGCGCCGGAGCUCCCAAUUGCCCCCAGUGCGCCGGGUUCGGCCUGUGACCGUCGAGCGGAAAAAAGGGCCGAACCGGCGAUUUUCGGCGUCCUGGGGGCGCGAGUGGGGAAUUUUUUUGGCACCGGCGGCGAAAAAGUGGCCUGGGGGGCCUGUUGGGGGCGCGGCCGGAGAUGCUCUAAGAAAUUCAAUGAGUUCAUGAGGGAAGAUAAAAUGACUUCUACAAAUCAAAGGAAGAGAGUUGGAAGUUUCAAAGGAAUAAUUCGAAGACACUUUGAAGUUAUUUGAAACUCAUUUUUCCAUUUGAAGUUGUUUGAAAUUCCAAAUUUCAAAUCCUCUUGGGAGUUAUUUAGUUUUAAUUCAAAUUAUUUUUCUCCUAAAAAUAAAUAGAUGGAAAUAAGGGUAAAAUGAUUCCCUUCAAUAGAAAAUUAGGAGAAAAUAUAUUUGAAAUCAUUUUGCUAUUUUAAAAACGAUUUUUAUUGAUUUUAAAUGUAAUAGUAGCACUGUUUGACUUUUAUGAAUUUUUAUAGAAUUUAGUUGAACUUGAAAAAUAAUUCAUCUUAUUGCUGCUAUUUUUCUGAGCAUUUUGGUAUAUAAUAUUCCUACGUAAUUUUUUAGUUAUUUUCCUAUGUUGAAGUUUUUGUUUCUGCAAAAAAAAACACGCGCCCGCCAGCCGGCCCAGGGUCUUCGGCCCAAGAGCCAGCCAGCACACCAAGCCGGCCCAGCAGCUCCCCAGGCCGCCCGAGGCCUUAUGCCUCGCUCGCCCACGCCCCUCUUCCCUCGCUCACUCUCUCCCACCGCCGCUGCCAGUGGGGCCCGCAACCCUUCGUCCCUAACCUACCGCUCCUCCCGUUGAGAUAGAGCACGCGUGUGCCGCCCGCAACUGCCGGCUGCUCCGCUUGGGAUAGAGCUCAUCCCCAGUGUCCGCAGCCUCUUCUCGCGCCUAUAAAUUCCCCCGACUCCCCUCGUUCGAUUUUGCCACUCCGCAACGACCCACGCCACUCAUAGCCGCCGCCUUCGUCGUUUGGAUCUCGCCCGCCGGAGCUACCUGGCCGGUCUGUUCCCCCGUCCGUAAGACUGCCUCGACCCGUUCUUCUUUGUCAAUUGACUCCCCGCGUCGAGGCGCAUCUGAUUGACAAAAAUUUGCCGCCUUGGUCGUACCAGAGACGACGCGCCGCGCUCUCGCCGGAGCACCGGAGCUCCGCCGCCUCCCUCCGCUCGUCGCUGGCCACCCCACCGCCGGCCAACCCCACCAGCAUGCCGCCCACGCCGCGCCCGACCUCCCCGACCCCUUCGUCGCCGCUGCCCGCUGAGGACCCCCGGAGACGCCGCCGUGUCCGCCGUCCGCCGCCUGACGCCAGUGCCGCCGCCCCUGUUCGCCGUCCUCGCUCGCUGUGAGCCGCUGACCCUUAGUCAUUUUUGUUGUUGUUGUAUUAGAUCGGGUAACCGUGGUUUUAUUAAACCGUACAGUUUAGUAAAAAACCGGUCUCCGGUUUUCUUUUUAUUUAGCCGCGGUAGCCGUUUUAUUUAUUCAGUGGCCGUCCGCCAUUUAGCCUGAGCCGCGAACGCUUCUCAGCAACCCGGAAGCCGCCACGUGGCCAGGGACCUGGUCACGAAUAAAACUUUCACAAUUAAGUCCCUGAGAUUUCAUUUUAGCCCCUAAACUUCGAAUGGUUGUAUCUUUUUAACCGUAACUGCAAAUUCGACGAAACCAGCGGAAAAAUGUUCGUGUCGAAUAGUUUUAUCCAGAGAACCAACUUUGAAAACUUUUGGACAAAUUCAAAUUUGAACUUUAUUCAGAUUUGAAUUCAAACUUCAACUGGCCAUAUCUGUUAAACCGUAGCUCCGAUUGGUGUGAUUCUUUUUGCAACGUGUCAUCGUAGCCAAACCCUACCACCUAGACCUUGUCACAAUCUGUCUAUGAUAGUUUUACUAUUAUGCCAUGUAUGGACUUUAGUACACAUCACAGUUUUGAACCCCAUGUCACAUGUUGUUUUGCACUUAGGAUAUUUCCAUGCUAGUUAACUGUGUUGAAUAUUCAUUUGGUUUUUCUGACACUUUGUGCUUUGCAUGUUCUUCUUGGUUCUCUGAAACGAUUGCUUAUGUGAGUGCAAUGUUUGACUUUAUAGAUUGUCAUCAGAGAGUGAAGAAUAGUUCUAUUAAGUAAAUUUCUGAGAGCGAUAUAAUCUUCAUCAACUAUUACCAGGCAAGUUCACAUUUGACCAUUUUUCCAAUUACCUAUGUUUAUAUUAUGCACUUAGUCCUUUUGUGGUAGUAUUGCAUGGUAGGUCUGAUCUAUACAUCCUUGUCACCACCGUGUAAGUUUAUUUUUGCCUCGCUAAAUGUAGACAUGGUUUGGGAAGCGAACAUGGCGAGACAUGAGUGACAAAGUAGUAAUCAGGACCAAGACUUGUAAAUGAACUACCUGGGCGGUAUUUGGUUUGAAUGGUGGCGAAGUACAGUGGGAGCAUGCAUGGUUAAUCCAUGGUGGUGCACCACUAGUGGUUGGCCGCUUAUGCUCAAAGAGAUCAAUCGUAUUCUCAUGUCUAGAAGCUUAAGUGUGCAGCCACAAGCCAAUAUGGGCUCUGGCUUAGUUGAGUAGUUAGUGUGACCCCUUCCGGGAUGGGCUAGCAGAUGUAGAAUGAUGUAGGUGUACCGGCCUAUCCAUGGGUUAAGGGGUGACAUUUUUGAAAGACUAUGUCUCGGUCAUCCUGUUCUCAAACGCCAGGCAGUGCGAGAACUCCAGGGGAGGCGAUCGAGUCUUGUGGGGAAAAGUGCGCAAACCUCUGUAGAGUGUUUUUUUUGAACUUGAUAGUGGGAGAGAACUCCCACUGUAUAUUUUCACAUAUCUAUGUAAAUGGGGUGUUUACAUAGACAUACCACUCACACACAUCCAGCUCCACUCUUGGUGGAACCACCAGGGGUGGGGAAACUACACCAUGGUCACUACUAUACACUUGUCUCUAAGUAUUUAAAGAGGGAAGAAUAAAACACAGUAUGUCUCAGCUAAGUGUGCCACAGUAUGAAAGCAGGGCAGCUCUACGUGUACCCUGAACUCUAUGUUGCAGAAGUCCCAAGUCCUCUUUGAAUCGUUGGAACCAAGAUGCAAUGCUUGGGGUUACACCUAUGAAGUGUUUAUUGUUUCUUUCCUUCCACAAACUCUAGGUAGCAGUGAAAAAUGCUUCAAUGAAGAAAGGAUUGGGCCAGUUGGGUUGUGCGUUUUGCAACGCAUCAAACCUAUUUUGAAAAUCAAUCCAGUGAACACCUAUCUUGGCCCAACACCUUUCGCUGAACUGGCAGGUGAAGAUCAUAUGCUCGAGAGUCUCAUCUGUAUUUUGCCCACAAAGGAGACAUGUGAAGUCAUUCCCAAUGUCAUAGUGUCUUCUUCUCAGCAUGUCACAUGUGUUCAACCUGUCGUGCAGCAGCAACCAUCCAAAUACUUUGAUUUUCAUUGUACAGUUUGAUUUCCAAAGGAGCGGGAAGCUGGGAUGAGCUGUUGCAUCACGGGAGAAGUUGUUAUAGUAGUCUUUUGGCUUGUACUCAGCUGUCCCCCAAGCAUAGAGCCAAACAUCAGAUAUUGUUGUGGAUGGGUGUAUGCGGAAUGCUGCAUGUUGGACAUCUUGCACCUCGUUGAGCGCACGAGCAGACAGCGGUAGGUGAAUGGUUUCAUGCAGUUCAGUGUUGGCCCAGAAGUCAGCGACCGUCAUGUCUUCCUGCAGAGCAAAUGAAAAGGCACGUGGGUGCGAUGUUUGUAGCACAUCAUUUGACCACAAGUCUUUCCAGAGCAGCGUAGUCGAGCCAUCAACUACUUGGACACGAGUGAUCCCUCGGUAGAUGGGCGUUAAUUUGAGAAUGUCUUUCCACCAGAAAGAACCGACUAGAUCAACCGCAUGAGGCACCUGGUUAGCAUACUGAUUAUCCCAAAGCAUAGUAACCCAUGGUACGUCCAGUUUGUUAUAGAACUUGUGGAGAAAUUUCAGCAGGAGGGCUUCGUUGUGGAUUUUAAUGUUGAUCACUCCUAACCCACCUUUACACUUGGGCUUGCACACUAGUUCCCAAGCUGCAAGCGAAUUACAUUUGUCACCUUGGUCGGUUUUCUUUGUCCAGAGACAUCUCCUUCUAAUCUUGUCAAGAAUUUCAAUUAGAUUCGGAGGGAACUUGAGCGUGCACAUGGCAAACACCAGAAGGGAUGUGACCGAUGCAUUGAGCCAGGAGAGGCGGCCCCCAUAGGACAUCAUAGCGAUCGUGGCAGUGAGACGACGCUCCAUUUUGCAAACUAGAGGCCUGAAUUCUUGAAUGGUUGGUCUUGUAGUGCCAAGUGGCAGGCCAAGGUAGGUGAAAGGCAUUGUACCUACAGUGCAGCCGAAAACGGCAGCAAGGCUAGAGGUUGCACCUGCGUCCAGGUUGAUUGGUAUGAGCGUCGACUUGUGAAAGUUAAUUUUGAGGCCAAUAGAGGAUGCAUAGUCAGAGAGAGUGUUCUUGACACGGGCAGCCUGUUGUGGGCAAGCAGGCAAGACAAGGAGGGUGUCGUCCGCAUAUUGGAUCACUGGGUAAUCAUUUUUCCCAUUGCAUGGAAAAGGCAGGCUGAUAUCUCCACGUCGAUAAGCAUCAUUGACCGUGGCUUGAAGUAGUUCAGCUGCCAGGACGAAAAUGAGGGGGGACAGAGGAUCACCUUGCCGCACACCGCAUCGACAAAGGAACUGUCGGCCUGGGACCCCAUUAAGAAGGACGGACGAGCGACCCGAGGAGAAGAGGCACUUGAUCCAGGAGAUCCACUUGUCAUUGAAACCCAUCUGCUGCAUAAUGCAAAUCAUUGGUUCAUGCGCGAUGGUAUCAAAUGCUUUGGCGAAAUCAAGUUUAAGAAUAAUGAUUGGCCGGCCCGAGUUUUGACAUUGAUAAAGAUAUUGAUAAGCCCAUGCCAGACAAUCCUGUAUAGUACGCCCUUUAAUGAACCCAUACUGAUUCCGGUGAAUGAGGGUGAAAAUGGCAAGUUGAAGUCUGUCUGCUAGCAGUUUGGUAAUCAACUUGAGGCAGCAGUUGAGCAAUGUAAUGGGUCUGAAAUCAUUGACUGUUUCUGGAGAGUUGGUCUUAGGUAUAAGUGUGAUAAGACCAUCAUUGAUACUAGUGACAUCUAACGUACCUUCAUAGAACUGAUCACAUAGGGUGUAAAAGUCAUGUCGAAUGAUGGGCCAGCAGGCUUUCAAAAACGCCCCACUAAAGCCAUCUGGGCCAGGUGCGCGGUCCGGAGGCAUACCUUUGACCACAUUAUCGAUUUCCUCAUGUGAAAAAGGCGUGGUAAGUUGGUCAAGAUUUGUAACGUGGGGGAUAAUGUUUGGAAGAUCAAAUUUCAUGUCUGAAUGGGAGACCGUACCCAGGCGGUUUUUGUAAGUUUGAAACAAGAGGGCCUCUUUUGCAGGAUGAUUGUCAACCAAUGUGCCAUCCUCAAGCUUGAGUGAGGAGAUAUUGUUUUGUCGAUAACGUUCCGUGGCCACUGCUUGGAAAAAUUUGGAGUUUUCAUCGCCAAACUUGAUCCAACGAAUAGUACAACGCUUCUUCUAAUAAAGUUUUUGAUAUUUGAGCAGUCUCAGCAAGUGUGACUUUAGGAUACGUCUGAAGUUCAUUUCUGGGAUUGAAAGGAUUCGUUUAUUCUCCAGCUCGUCUAAGUCUGCCAGGACAUGGUUAUAGUUCGUGAUGGCCACUAAUAGACGAGAAAUAUUCUUACUCCAGAUUUUGAUAGCAUGUGGAAUAGCUUUGAAUUUUCGGCAAAGGAUUGUGGCAGCAUUUGCGUUCCUAACUGGCCAUUCCCAAACCUCUCUAACUAUGUCCAUAAACCCUGAGUGUAAGGUCCAGUAAGAUUCAAAACGAAAGAGCUUGGAUCGGGGGAUUUUGGUCUCUAUGGUGACAACGCAAGGGAUGUGAUCAGAAACGGGCUUGCCAAGGGGUUUAAUGAGCGUCUUAGGAUAUGCAUUAGUCCAAUGCAAGGAUGUGAAGAACCAGCCAAUCUAUUCAAGCAAAGGAUCUGUCUGCAUAUUGCUCCAAGUGUAGGUUCUACCUUUCACCGAAAACUCAAUAAGUUGCUGCUGACGAAUGAUGUCAUUGAACGUAAUCAUGUCGUGAAUGUUACCCCCAGGUUUAUUACGAUUGUCCGGAGCUCUCAUGUAGUUAAAGUUGCCCAAAAGUAACCAGUGUUGGUUAUGGGGUGUUUGAACAUCGUACAACCAUUGCGUGAAAACUUCCCUGUCUGUACCAGUGCAAGGCCCGUACACGUUAACUAACGUCCAACGUUGAGAGGAUUAUGUGCUAACGAACUCGAUGGCUAGCGCAAAUGGAUCAGACGAGAGUACUAAACCAGAGAAAACCGAGCUUUUCCAGAUUGUAAGUAACCCCCCAGAGGCGCCGCGCGAAGGGACAAAAGCAAAACGAUCAAAUUGUCUAGGACAGCAAGUUUUAAUAGAAGCAAAAGUAACCUCAGGCAUCUUAGUCUCCUGAAGACAAACGAUAGCAAAACCACUGGUAGAGAUAGCAUUAUUCAGAGCCAGUCGCUUCUUCUCAGAAUUGAGCCCACGAAUAUUCCAUGAGAGCACAUCCCAGCAGCUCAACGAUGUCAUAUAGAACUCCAAUAUUAAGCAGAGGUGUGAGAGAGAUCCUCUCCCUGGUCAUCACUGUCAAUCGAAGAGGCAGAAGAUUCAGGCACGGCAGCAGUUUCAGCAAGCAGGGCUUCUUCAGAAAGUUCAGUAGCAGGUAUAGCACAUCUGUUAACUCCAAUGGAUUGCAGAGUAACUAUAGGAGUUGGGGGCGGGACCUCACCAGCAGAAGUAGCAGCAGAUGCUGAUGUGCCAAUAGACGGGAUGACAUGGGGCUUAACUUUGGAAUUGUUCUUGCGACUGUCAGAGAGGGGAGGAACCUUGAACCCAUCGUACGUGUUGGAGCAGAGACUGCGGCGCAAUUCAGUUGUGGAGAUAGGGGCAACAGCCCUGGUCCUACGGGGGCGCGGGCCAGUGGUGGCCAUAGAAGCAGUUGCCUCUGAGAUCAUAGAAGGUUCUGAAGGUGGAAUGUGCACGACUUGUUCUGUGUCCAUUGGGGCGUCUUCAGUGUUGGGCGGCAUGGCGGGCUCAAUGGCGUUUUCCACACUAGCAUGUUCAGAUAGGUCCUCAAUGAUCACAGCGAAGGUAGCCAAAGCAGAAGUAGAGCUUGAUUGCUGGGAAAAGGUCAGACCAGUAGAAUCCUGUGUGAUCAAGACAGACAACUGAACCUGGUUUGUUCUCAGACCAAACCCCUCUCUCCAAGGUCCAAAAGUUGCAAGCAUUGGACUAACAGCUUGGAAGAUGAAUGUGUUAAGAUUCAGGCGUGGGAUUGGGUCAUUCAGCAGCCUGGAAAGGAUCUCAUCUCCUUGAGCAGAUAAACCAAAUCUGACACCUUGAUCAUUGAUCUCCAGUGUGAUGUUAAGAGAUUCAGAGCUUGCACUGUCAGACAGCUGUAUAGCUGGAUCAGCCGGGAUGAGAAUGUCAGACUGGGUCGAGCUUGAACUGUCAGACUGGGUGAUCGAAUCAUUCCAAGCUUGGAGAGCAUUAUCAAUGACAUUAUUUUCAGGGACUAACCCAUGUUGCACAGUCAGACCCUGCGCAACAAGCCAGGCUUGGUAGUUCACCAAAUGGGGCGGCAUUUGCGGGAGUGGAGGAGCAGCGGGCGCCUCCCAAGUGCCCCAGCCAGUGUUGUCAUCCACUUCUUGAGCCUCAUUGUUGCCAGCUGCAGGUGCACCAUUCUAAACGAGCCAAUUGUGAACUUGCUGCUAAUAUAACUGUUCUGCAGUGAGUUCAGGGCCAAACUGCGGAUGUGGUUUGCCAUCGGGGGGUGGCAUUUCCUCAGAUGCAGCAGGUACAUCAGGGAGGAGGCCAUUCCAGUCGUUGUUGCGACGGAUGGUCACUACUAGUGUCUAACUGUCACGCGCACCACCCAGCUGCCAUACCACAAAGCUCAUGGGGAUGAGGCGUAGACUAAGUGCUCUUACUUUCAGAAGGAUGAAUCUGCGGUCCUGACGCGGAUUAUACCAGGAAACUAAGGAACCAUAUCCACCCAAGGCCUUAGUGAUGUAAUAGUCCGUUUGGUAGUCAUACGGAAAGCCGAAGAACAUAAUGCAAAUCUCAGGCCCAAACGGUGCAGCUCUACGAUAAAGAGCCACAUUGUGUGAAACGAAGGUGAUCAACAAAUCUUCAUCUUCAAGCUCAAGCGGUGUGUUGACAGCAUUACCUCUCAUAAAGGAAUCCACAAAACCGAAAAUCCCAACACCAAGGGGGUGAUCACUGACCUCUGUAGUAAAAAGCUGUGAUUCUUGAAGCAGAGUUGUGAUUCGAUGGCGGACGGUGGCCCGGCGAUGCAGGGGCACAGACUCACUGGCUUCUGCAAUGGCCAGGAACUCAUGGCUGAGUGGAGCAAUCGGGCCAACGACCAUGCCGCUGCGCACAAGACUAUCGGCCGGCCCUGGCUCAGCGGCAAAACCUGGCAGGAGGAAAGGCACAGGGUUCAGUGGGUAGUUCGCCAUUGUGGUGGAAGGGAUCAGAGGGGAGGACGGUGGUGCGGAGAUGGGAUGCAACUGCAAUGGCGCAAGCUGCAGCAAAGCGUCAGACUAUGGCGAUGGGACUGGACGGGAUGUGGCCCAUUGGGUUCUCGAGGCGGAAGCUGAAGCGUGAAUGGGGGCGGUAGAAGGCAAAGUUGCCUUUGCAACCUCUGUAGAGUGUUGAAACCUAAUCGAUUAACCAUGUCCCCGGUUACGGACAACUUGAGCAUCUAGUAGUGGAAAUGAUGGGAGAUCUCAUCACUCUUAAUUAAACAGUUGGUUUUUAAAUGAAACAUUGGGAAUGGAUUGAGUUGGGUUUGCCAACUCAUCCUAUGCUAUACUGUAGUGAUAGACUAAUGUCUUUUAUUCUAGGGAAAAACUAGCUUUAUGCAAAAACUAAACUUAGAGCUUUCCACCAGCCAAAUUGCAUGUACAAAUAGGUUCAUUAUUCUUAUGAUGUGACUUGCCAGUACAUUCAAUGUACUGACCUAUAGGGCUACAACGUCUUAUGUUGCAGGAAUUUCUACGACGAGUAAGAAUUAUGUUGUAGGGUUAUGGUCUACACUUAACUUGCCGUUGGCGUUGAUGGGACUCCACACUCGUUCGAUUGUUUCCAUUGAGAUUUAUGAGGUAUAUAUCAGUUUUACGUUAUUUAUACAUUUGAUUGAACUUUGAUAUAUACAUUGAUGUACUGUGUGUGCCAGCAUACCGAUCCAGGGAUGGCCCGGAUACACAGAGGCUUGACAGUUUGAGCUCGGGUCGCUACAGAGAUGGUAUGAGAGCACAUGUUGACUGUAGGACGUGACCCUAGAAACUGGAAAGCCCUUAGGAAAAGAUUUCUCUAAAAGUUUAUUUUCAAAAAGAUCCUUUACCUCUCUUCUUUUCUGAGCUUUAUCAAAUCUUCCCUUUUACCCCAAAUAGGUAGGCAAUAUCCCUUUUCCCUUUCACCACGAGGAGGAUCAACUGAUGAGACCACUCCGAGAAGGGCAAGAUAUCGGCCAACUGAUGGCCACUUCAAAGUAAAGAGGAUUUCAUCAUGCAUUAGAAUAGUUAAUGCUACGACAGUCGAAGACUCGAAGAAUUUGAAGACACUGAAGAAUUCCAAGAUUUAUAUGACCUUUAGAAGACCAAACCCUUGUUGUGUACUCACGUUAGAUGCGAUGAUUUGUGAGAUGUCAUAUUUGGUGUGUGUUUUCCGAUGCAACAAAUAAAAUUUAUUUUCAAAACUAUAUUGUUUGUAUUGUGUGUAUCUCUAUCUAUCCCUCUUAUCUCAUCCCAAAACCCUUGGACCCAAUAGAUGAUGAAUGAAGAUGGACUUGUAUUCUCUGGACCGAUCACUCAGUUAGAGGCAGAGCUAUGGAUUCAAAACAUGGAGAGUCACUUCGAGAGCAAUUUGGUUGCAAGGAAGUAUGAGGUUCAAUAUGCUCUUCAAUACUUUACAAAAAGUGCUACAACAUGGUGGAAAAUGCAUCAAGCCAUACAAGGAUGUAAUGGAGCAAAAACUUGGGAGGAAUUGAAGAAGACUCUAUUGGGAUCCCGUCUUAUCCGGAAGCACGGUGAUAAUCCGAUGAAGAAACCUUGUGCCUGCAAGAUAUGUGGAGAAAUAGGACACACCCAUGAAGAACACAAGGAUGGAUGCCCUCAUUAUGAAGGAAAUCACCCAGCGGAAGAGUGCCCAACUAGGCAGGUUACUUGUUACUUGUGUGAAGGAACUACGCACUACCCUGCCCAGUGUCAUAUUUACCCCAGGGUACAAGAAAUUACCAAGAACCAGAAGGAAGAAGUGAAAGAAGCCCUCAGGGAAAGUUUAAGAAAACUGGUGAUGAAAGAAGAUGUUGACGACCCUGAUGGAGAAAGCCUAAACAGAUUUUACUCCAAUGCUUGCUAUGCAUGUGGAGAAGAAGGACAUUUCUCACAAUAUUGCGUGAAGGAAAACCAAGAGUAUCUGGGAGACUUCCCGAUAGAAGAAGUGGGGUUUGAUAGACAAGAGAUAGAAGAAUUGAUCGGAACGAAGAAGUCGAGGAAGAGAAAGAGCAUGUAUCCCCAGAACAACCCAGUUUCUGCAGAAAAGGACCUGAGUCAUAUCACUUGUUACAGGUGCAAGGAUUUAGGUCAUUAUUCUAGCAAAUGCCCACCAAGGAAGCCAAGAACCCAAGGAGACAAGAUAACCACCAGGAACCCCUGGAUUUGUCUGACGCCAUUUGUCUACGCUGCAAAGGAGUAGGACAUUUUGUUAGAGAAUGUUCAGACCCGAGGAAAGCUAGAGCAGAGUAGUUGAGAUCUUGAUAUUGGAAUAAAGCAUGUAAUAAAUGUGGAACGCACUUUUAUUUUCGUGGGGGGUGUUGAUACGUCUCCAACGUAUCUAUAAUUUUUGAUUGCUCCAUGCUAUAUUAUCUACUGUUUUGGACUAUAUUGGGCUUUAUUUUCCACUUUUAUAUUAUUUUUGGGACUAACCUAUUAACCGGAGGCCCAGCCCAGAAUUACUGUUUUUUGCCUAUUUCAGUGUUUCGGAUAAACGGAAUAUCAAACGGAGUCCAAACAGAAUAAAAUCUUCGGGAACGUGAUUUUCUCACCAAACGUGAUCCAUGAGACUUGGACCCUGCCCUAAGGAACAAAAGAGGCGGUCACGAGGGUGGGGGGCGCCCCCCCUAGGGCGCGCCCCCCUGCCUCGUGGGCCCCUCGUUGCUCCUCGUGAAGGGUAACGUAGUAAUUUCAAAAAAUGUCCUACGCACAUGCAAGAUCAUGGUGAUGCAUAGCAACGAGAGUGGAGAGUGUGAUCUACGUACCCUUGUAGACCGACAACAGAAGCGUUAGCACAGCGCGGUUGAUGUAGUCGUACGUCUUCAUGGCCCGACCGAUCAAGCACCGAAACUACGACACCUCCGAGUUUUAGCACACAUUCAGCUCGAUGACGAUCCCCGGACUCCGAUCCAGCAAAGUGUCGGGGAAGAGUUCUGUCAGCACGACGGCGUGGUGACGAUCUUGAUGUACUAUCGUCGUAGGGCUUCGCCUAAGCACCGCUACAAUAUUAUCGAGGAUUAUGGUGGAAGGGGGCACCGCACACGGCUAAGAAUAUGAUCACGUGGAUCAACUCGUGCGUCUAGGGGUGCCCCCUGCCCCCAUAUAUAAAGGAUCAAGGGGAGGAGGCCGGCCGGCCCCUAUGGUGCGCCAAGGAGGAGUCCUCCUCCUAGUAGGAGUGGGACUCCUACUAGGAGGGGGAAAGAAGUGGGGAGGGAGAAGGAAAGGGGGGCGCCGCCCCCCCCCCUCUCCUAGUCCAAUUCGGACCAGGGGGAGGAGGCGCGCGGACCACCUUUGGCUGCCCCUCUCUCUCCACUAAGGCCCAUAUGGCCCAUUACUUCUCCCGGGAGGUUCCGGUAACACUCCGGCUCUCCGGUUUUCUCUGAAAUCACCCAGAACACUUCCGGUGUCCGAAUAUAGCCGUCCAAUAUAUCAAUCUUUAUGUCUCGACCAUUUCGAGACUCCUCGUCAUGUCCGUGAUCACAUCCGGGACUCCGAACUAACUUCGGUACAUCAAAACUCAUAAACUCAUAAUAUAACUGUCAUCGAAACCUUAAGCGUGCGGACCCUACGGGUUCGAGAACAAUGUAGACAUGACCGAGACACAUCUCUGGUCAAUAACCAAUAGCGGAACCUGGAUGCUCAUAUUGGCUCCUACAUAUUCUACGAAGAUCUUUAUCGGUCAGACCGCAUAACAACAUACGUUGUUCCCUUUGUCAUUGGUAUGUUACUUGCCCGAGAUUCGAUCGUCGGUAUCUCAAUACCUAGUUCAAUCUCGUUACCGACAAGUCUCUUUACUCGUUCCGUAAUACAUCAUCUCGCAACUAACUCAUUAGUUGCAAUGCUUGGAAGGCUUAUGUGAUGUGCAUUACCGAGAGGGCCCAGAGAUACCUCUCCGACAAUCGGAGUGACAAAUCCUAAUCUCGACAUACGCCAACCCAACAUGUACCUUUGGAGACACCUGUAGAGUACCUUUAUAAUCACCCAUUUACGUUGUGACGUUUGGUAGCACACAAAGUGUUCCUUCGACAAACGGGAGUUGCAUAAUCUCAUAGUCAUAGGAACAUGUAUAAGUCAUGAAGAAAGCAAUAGCAACAUACUAAACAAUCGGGUGCUAAGCUAAUGGAAUGGGUCAUGUCAAUCAGAUCAUUCACCUAAUGAUGUGAUCCCGUUAAUCAAAUAACAACUCUUUGUUCAUGGUUAGGAAACAUAACCAUCUUUGAUUAACGAGCUAGUCAAGUAGAGGCAUACUAGUGACACUCUGUUUGUCUAUGUACUCACACAUGUAUUAUGUUUCCGGUUAAUACAAUUCUAGCAUGAAUAAUAAACAUUUAUCAUGAUAUAAGGAAAUAAAUAAUAACUUUAUUAUUGCCUCUAGGGCAUAUUUCCUUCAGUCUCCCACUUGCACUAGAGUCAAUAAUCUAGAUUACACAGUAAUGAUUCUAACACCCAUGGAGCCUUGGUGCUGAUCAUGUUUUGCUCGUGGAAGAGGCUUAGUCAACGGGUCUGCAACAUUCAGAUCCGUAUGUAUCUUGCAAAUCUCUAUGUCUCCCACCUGGACUAGAUCCCGGAUGGAAUUGAAGCGUCUCUUGAUGUGCUUUGUUCUCUUGUGAAAUCUGGAUUCCUUUGCCAAGGCAAUUGCACCAGUAUUGUCACAAAAGAUUUUCAUUGGACCCGAUGCACUAGGUAUGACACCUAGAUCGGAUAUGAACUCCUUCAUCCAGACUCCUUCAUUUGCUGCUUCCGAAACAGCUAUGUACUCCGCUUCACAUGUAGAUCCCGCCACAACGGUUUGUUUAGAACUGCACCAACUGACAGCUCCACCAUUUAAUGUAAACACGUAUCCGGUUUGCGAUUUAGAAUCGUCCGGAUCAGUGUCAAAGCUUGCAUCAACGUAAACUUUUACGAUGAGCUCUUUGUCACCUCCAUAUAUGAAAAACAUAUCCUUAGUCCUUUUCAGGUAUUUCAGGAUGUUCUUGACCGCUGUCCAGUGAUCCACUCCUGGAUCACUUUGGUACCUCCGUGUUAAACUUAUAGCAAGGCACACAUCAGGUCUGGUACACAUCAUUCCAUACAUGAUAGAGCCUAUGGCUGAAGCAUAGGGAACAUCUUUCAUUUUCUCUCUAUCUUCUGCAGUGGUCGGGCAUUGAGUCUUACUCAACUUCACACCUUGUAACACAGGCAAGAACCCUUUCUUUGCUUGAUCCAUUUUGAACUUCUUCAAAAACUUUGUCAAGGUAUGUGCUUUGUGAAAGUCCAAUUAAGCGUCUUGAUCUAUCUCUAUAGAUCUUAAUGCCUAAUAUGUAAGCAGCUUCACCGAGUUCUUUCAUUGAAAAACUCUUAUUCAAGUAUCCCUUUAUGCUAUCCUGAAAUUCUAUAUCAUUUCCAAUUAGUAAUAUGUCAUCCACAUAUAAUAUCAGAAAUGCUACGGAGCUCCCACUCACUUUCUUGUAAAUACAGGCUUCUCCAAAAGUCUGUAUAAAACCAAAUGCUUUGAUCACACUAUCAAAGCGUUUAUUCCAACUCCGAGAGGCUUGCACCAGUCCAUAAAUGGAUCGCUGGAGCUUGCACACUUUGUUAGCUCCCUUUGGAUCGACAAAACCUUCUGGUUGCAUCAUAUACAACUCUUCUUCCAGAAAUCCAUUCAGGAAUGCAGUUUUGACAUCCAUCUGCCAAAUUUCAUAAUCAUAAAAUGCGGCAAUUGCUAACAUGAUUCGGAUAGACUUAAGCAUCGCUACAGGUGAGAAGGUCUCAUCGUAGUCAAUCCCUUGAACUUGCCGAAAACCUUUUGCGACAAGUCGAGCUUUGUAGACAGUAAUAUUACCGUCAGUGUCAGUCUUCUUCUUAAAGAUCCAUUUAUUCUCAAUUGCUUGCCGAUCAUCGGGCAAGUCAACCAAAGUCCAUACUUUGUUCUCAUACAUGGAUCCCAUCUCAGAUUUCAUGGCUUCAAGCCAUUUUGCGGAAUCUGGGCUCAUCGUCGCUUCUUCAUAGUUCGUAGGUUCAUCAUGAUCUAGUAGCAUGACUUCCAGAACAGGAUUACCGUACCACUCUGGUGCGGAUCUCACUCUGGUUGAUCUACGAGGUUUAGUAGUAUCUUGUUCUGAAGUUUCAUGAUCAUCAUCAUUAGCUUCCUCACUAACUGGUGUAGGUCUCACAGAAACAGUUUUCUAUGAUGCACUACUUUCCAAUAAGGGAGCAGGUACAGUUACCUUGUCAAGUUCUACUUUCCUCCCACUCACUUCUUUCGAGAGAAACUCCUUCUCUAGAAAGUUUCCGAACUUAGCAACAAAAGUCUUGCCUUCAGAUAUGUGAUAGAAGGUGUAUCCAAUAGUCUCCUUUGGAUAUCCUAUGAAGACACAUUUCUCCGAUUUGGGUUCGAGCUUAUCAGGUUGAAGCUUUUUCACAUAAGCAUCACAGCCCCAAACUUUCAGAAACGACAACUUUGGUUUCUUGCCAAACCAUAGUUCAUAAGGCGUCGUCUCAACGGAUUUUGAUGGUGCCCUAUUUAACAUGAAUGCGGCCGUCUCCAAAGCAUGACCCCAAAAUGAUAGCGGUAAAUCAGUAAGAGACAUCAUAGAUCACACCAUAUCUAGUAAAGUACGAUUACGACGUUCGGACACACCAUUACGCUGUGGUGUUCCGGGUGGCGUGAGUUGCGAAACUAUUCCGCAUUGUUUCAAAUGUACACCAAACUCGUAACUCAAAUAUUCUCCUCCACGAUCAGAUCGUAGAAACUUUAUUUUCUUGUUAUGAUGAUUUUCAACUUCACUCUGAAAUUCUUUGAACUUUUCGAACGUUUCAGAAUUAUGUUUCAUUAAGUAGAUAUACCCAUAUCUCCUUAAGUCACCUGUGAAGGUGAGAAAAUAACGAUAUCCGCCACGAGCCUCAAUAUUCAUCGGACCACAUACAUCUGUAUGUAUGAUUUCCAACAAAUCUGUUGCUCUCUCCAUAGUACCAGAGAACGGUGUUUUAGUCAUCUUGCCCAUGAGGCACAGUUCGCAAGUACCAAGUGAUUCAUAAUCAAGUGGUUCCAAAAGUCCAUCAGUAUGGAGUUUCUUCAUGCGCUUUAGACCGAUAUGACCUAAACGGCAGUGCCACAAAUAAGUUGCACUAUCAUUAUCAACUCUGCAUCUUUUGGCUUCAACACUAUGAAUAUGUGUGUCACUACUAUCGAGAUUCAAUAAAAAUAGACCACUCUUUAAGGGUGCAUGACCAUAAAAGAUAUUACUCAUAUAAAUAGAACAACCAUUAUUCUCAGAUUUAAAUGAAUAACCGUCUCGCAUCAAACAAGAUCCAGAUAUAAUGUUCAUGCUUAACGCUGGCACCAAAUAACAAUUAUUUAGGUCUAAUAUUAAUCCCGAAGGUAGAUGUAGAGGUAGCGUGCCGACUGCGAUCACAUCGACUUUGGAACCGUUUCCCACGCGCAUCGUCACCUCGUCCUUAGCCAAUCUUCGCUUAAUCCGUAGUCCCUGUUUCGAGCUGCAAAUAUUAGCAACAGAACCAGUAUCAAAUACCCAGGUGCUACUGCGAGCAUUGGUAAGGUACACAUCAAUAACAUGUAUAUCACAUAUACCUUUGUUCACCUUGCCAUCCUUCUUAUCCGCCAAAUACUUGGGGCAGUUCCGCUUCCAGUGACCAGUCUGCUUGCAGUAGAAGCACUCAGUUUCAGGCUUAGGUCCAGGUUUGGGUUUCUUCUCUUGAGUAGCAACUUGCUUGCUGUUCUUUUUGAAGUUCCCCUCCUUCUUCCCUUUGCCCUUUUUCUUGAAACUAGUGGUCUUGUUGACCAUCAACACUUGAUGCUCCUUCUUGAUUUCUACCUCCGCAGCUUUCAGCAUUGCGAAGAGCUCGGGAAUAGUCUUAUUCAUCCCUUGCAUAUUAUAGUUCAUCACGAAGCUCUUGUAGCUUGGUGGCAGUGAUUGGAGAAUUCUGUCAAUGAUGCAAUCAUCUGGAAGAUUAACUCCCAAUUGAAUCAAGUGAUUAUUAUACCCAAACAUUUUGAGUAUAUGUUCACUGACAGAACUGUUCUCCUCCAUCUUGCAGCUAUAGAACUUAUUGGAGACUUCAUAUCUCUCAAUCCGGGCAUUUGCUUGAAAUAUUAACUUCAACUCCUGGAACAUCUCAUAUGCUCCAUGACGUUCAAAACGUCGUUGAAGUCCCGAUUCUAAGCCGUAAAGCCUGGCACACUGAACUAUCGAGUAGUCAUCAGCUUUGCUCUGCCAGACGUUCAUAACAUCUGUUGUUGCUCCAGCAGCAGGCCUGGCACCCAGCGGUGCUUCUAGGACGUAAUUCUUCUGUGCAGCAAUGAGGAUAAUCCUCAAGUUACGGACCCAGUCCGUGUAAUUGCUACCAUCAUCUUUCAACUUUGCUUUCUCAAGGAACGCAUUAAAAUUCAAUGGAAUAAUAGCACGAGCCAUCUAUCUACAAUCAAGCAUAAACAAGCAAGAUACUAUCAGGUACUAAGUUUCAUGAUAAAUUUAGGUUCAAUUAAUUUACUUAAAGAACUCCCACUUAGAUAGACAUCCCUCUAAUCCUCUAAGUGAUUAUGUGAUCCAAAUCAACUAAACCAUGUCCCAUCAUCACGUGAGAUGGAGUAGUUUCAUUGGUGAACAUCACUAUGUUGAUCAUAUCUACUAUAUGAUUCACGAUCGACCUUUCGGUCUCCGUGUUCCGAGGCCAUAUCUGUAUAUGCUUGGCUCGUCAAGUAUAACCUGAGUAUUCCGCGUGUGCAACUGUUUUGCACCCGUUGUAUUUCAACGUAGAGCCUAUCACACCCGAUCAUCACGUGGUGUCUCAGCAUGAAGAACUUCCGCAACGGUGCAUACUCAGGGAGAACACUUCUUGAUACUUAGUGAGAGAUCAUCUUAUAAUGCUACCGUCAAACAAAGCAAGAUAAGAUGCAUAAAAGAUAAACAUCACAUGCAAUCAAUAUAAGUGAUAUGAUAUGGCCAUCAUCAUCUUGUGCUUGUGAUCUCCAUCUUUGAAGCACCGUCGUGAUCACCAUCGUCACCGGCGCGACACCUUGAUCUCCAUCGUAGCAUCGUUGUCAUCUCGCCAAUCUUAUGCUUCCACGACUAUCGCUACCGCUUAGUGAUAAAGUAAAGCAUUACAGCACGAUUGCAUUGCAUACAAUAAAGCGACAACCAUAUGGCUCCUGCCAGUUGCCGAUAACUCGGUUACAAAACAUGAUCAUCUCAUACAAUAAAAUUUAGCAUCAUGUCUUGACCAUAUCACAUCACAACAUGCCCUGCAAAAACAAGUUAGACGUCCUCUACUUUGUUGUUGCAAGUUUUACGUGGCUGCUACGGGCUUAAGCAAGAACCAAUCUUACCUACGCAUCAAAACCACAACGAUAGUUUGUCAAGUUGGUGUUGUUUUAACCUUCGCAAGGACCGGGCGUAUCCACACUCGGUUCAACUAAAGUAGGAGAAACUGUCACCCGCAAGCCACCUAUGUGCAAAGCACGUUGGGAGAACCGGUCUCGCGUAAGCGUGCGCAUAAUGUCGGUCCAGGCCGCUUCGUCCAACAAUACCGCCGAACCAAAGUAUGACAUGCUAGUAAGCAGUAUGACUUAUAUCGCCCACAACUCACUUGCGUUCUACUCGUGCAUAUAACAUCAACAUAUAAAACCUAGGCUCGGAUGCCACUGAAGGGUAACGUAGUAAUUUCAAAAAAUUUCCUACGCACACGCAAGAUCAUGGUGAUGCAUAGCAACGAGAGGGGAGAGUGUGAUCUACGUACCCUUGUAGACCGACAGCGGAAGCGAUAGCACAACGCGGUUGAUGUAGUCGUACGUCUUCACGGCCCGACCGAUCAAGCACCGAAACUACGGCACCUCCGAGUUUUAGCACACGUUCAGCUCGAUGACGAUCCCCGGACUCCGAUCCAGCAAAGUGUCGGGGAAGAGUUCCGUCAGCACGACGACGUGGUGACGAUCUUGAUGUACUAUCGUCGCCGGGCUUCGCCUAAGCACCGCUACAAUAUUAUCGAGGAUUAUGGUGGAAGGGGGCACCGCACACGGCUAAGAAUAUGAUCACGUGGAUCAACUUGUGUGUCUAGGGGUGCCCCCUGCCCCCGUAUAUAAAGGAUCAAGGGGAGGAGGCCGGCCGGCCCCUAUGGCGCGCCAAGGAGGAGUCCUCCUCCUAGUAGGAGUCCUACUCCUACUAGGAGGGGGAAAGAAGUGGGGAGGGAGAAGGAAAGGGGGGCGCCGCCCCCCUCUCCUAGUCCAAUUCGGACCAGGGGGAGGAGGCGCGCGGCCCACCUUUGGCUGCCCCUCUCUCUCUCCACUAAGGCCCAUAUGGCCCAUUACUUCUCCCGGGGGGGUUCCGGUAACCCUCCGGCUCUCCGGUUUUCUUUGAAAUCACCCGAAACACUUCCGGUGUCCGAAUAUAGCCGUCCAAUAUAUCAAUCUUUAUGUCUCGGCCAUUUUGAGACUCCUCGUCAUGUCUGUGAUCACAUCCAGGACUCCGAACUAACUUCGGUACAUCAAAACUCGUAAACUCAUAAUAUAACUGUCAUCGAAACCUUAAGCGUGCGGACCCUACGGGUUCGAGAACAAUGUAGACAUGACCGAGACACGUCUCCGGUCAAUAACCAAUAGCGGAACCUGGAUGCUCAUAUUGGCUCCUACAUAUUCUAUGAAGAUCUUUAUCGGUCAGACCGCAUAACAACAUACGUUGUUCCCUUUGUCAUCGGUAUGUUACUUGCCCGAGAUUCGAUCGUCGGUAUCUCAAUACCUAGUUGAAUCUCGUUACCGGCAAGUCUCUUUACUCAUUCCGUAAUACAUCAUCUCGCAACUAACUCAUUAGUUGCAAUGCUUGCAAGGCUUAUGUGAUGUGCAUUACCGAGAGGGCCCAGAGAUACCUCUCCGACAAUCGGAGUGACAAAUCCUAAUCUCGAAAUACGCCAACCCAACAUGUACCUUUGGAGACACCUGUAGAGUACCUUUAUAAUCACCCAUUUACGUUGUGAAGUUUGGUAGCACACAAAGUGUUCCUCCGACAAACGGGAGUUGCAUAAUCUCAUAGUCAUAGGAACAUGUAUAAGUCAUGAAGAAAGCAAUAGCAACAUACUAAACGAUCGUGUGCUAAGCUAAUGGAAUGGGUCAUGUCAAUCAGAUCAUUCACCUAAUGAUGUGAUCCCGUUAAUCAAAUAACAACUCUUUGUUCAUGGUUAGGAAACAUAACCAUCUUUGAUUGACGAGCUAGUCAAGUAGAGGCAUACUAGUGACACUCUGUUUGUCUAUGUAUUCACACAUGUAUUAUGUUUCCGGUUAAUACAAUUCUAGCAUGAAUAAUAAACAUUUAUCAUGAUAUAAGGAAAUAAAUAAUAACUUUAUUAUUGCCACUAGGGCAUAUUUCCUUCACCUCCGGCGUACUUCUUCCUCGUAUAUAUACACAUGUACCCCCAAACAAUCAGAAGAGGAGCCAAAAACCUAAUUCCACCGCCGCAACUUUCUGUAUCAGAAGAGAUCCCAUCUUGGGGCCUGUUCCGGAGCUCCGCCAGAAGAGGGCCGUCAUCACGGAGGGCUUCUACAUCAUCCUAGCCGCUCCGAUGAAGUGUGAGUUGUUUACCUAUGACCUUCGGGUCCAUAGUUAGUAGCUAGAUGGCUUCUUCUCUCUCUUUGAAUCUGAAUACAAAGUUCUCCCCCUCUCUUGUGGAGAUCUAUUCGAUGUAAUCUUCUUUUUGCGGUGUGUUUGUUGAGACCGAUGAAUUGUGGGUUUAUGAUCAAGUCUAUCUAUGAAUAAUAUUUGAAUCUUCUCUGAAUUCUUUAUGUAUGAUUGGUUAUCUAUGCAAGUCUCUUCGAAUUGUCCGUUUGGUUUGGCCAACUAGAUUGGUAGUUCUUGCCAUGGGAGAAGUGCUUAGCUUUGGGUUCGAUCUUGCGGUGUCCUUACCCAGUGACAGAAGGGGCAGCAAGGCACGUAUUGUAUCGUUGCCGUCGAGGAUAACAAGAUGGGGUUUAUUUCAUAUUGCAUGAAUUUAUCUCUCUACAUCAUGUCAUCUUGCUUAAGGCGUUACUCUGUUUUUAACUUAAUACUCUAGAUGCAUGCUGGAUAGCGGUCGAUGAGUGGAGUAAUAGUAGUAGAUGCAGAAUCAUUUCGAUCUACAUGUCACGGACGUGAUGCCUAUAUACAUGAUCAUGCCUAGAUAUUCUCAUAACUAUGCUCAAUUCUGUCAAUUGCUCCACAAUAAUUUGUUCACCCACCAUAGAAUACUUAUGCUCUUGAGAGAAGCCACUAGUGAAACCUAUGGCCCUCGGGUCUAUUCUCAUCAUAUCAAUCUCCAUCACUUUAAAUCUUGCUUUGUUUUUACUUUGCUUUUACUUUUUAAUUUGCAUCUUUAUACCAAAAAUACCAAAAAUAUUAUAUCUAUCAGAUCUCAUUCUCGUAAGUGACCGUGAAGGGCUUGACAACCCCUAAUCGCGUUGGUUGCGAGUAGCGAUCGCUUUGUGCAGGUACGAGGGACUUGAGCGUGGGCUCCUACUGGAUUGAUACCUUGGUUCUCAAAAACUAAGGGAAAUAUUUACGCUACUCUGCUGCAUCAUCCCUUCCUCUUCGGGGAAAACCAACGCAAGCUCAAGAUGUAGCAGGUGUUGAGUUGAGUUACCGAAUGGAAAUUGUAAUAGCUCAUGAAGCAGUAAAAAUUGAGGUGUUUGGAAUCUCAUAUGAAAUGUUAUGAGUUGUUUGUUGAUUGUGAGUGCCUCUCUCACUAUGUCACCCAGACAUAAACCUUGAACCCAUGGACAAGUUGACCCCAAAACCUUCACUAAAAAACCACAUUUCACCCAAGGAAAUACAUGCAUUAUCCUAAGUACCCCUUCUAUCUUAUACCUGCAGAUGGCAACCCUUUACGAGUCUUUUCUCAAGGGCCCGGAAACGAUCAUGACCCUAACUAGUGAUCAGGAUUACCCAAAGAUCCUCAAGGACAUGAUGAAGCAUAUUCAUCUUGAAGGAGAUGCAGUCUACAAGGGUUAUCCUUUCAUGGAGAAUGGAGUUGAACUUUGGUACAUGGAAGUACACCUCCACCGUGUGAAGGGAGUUUUCCCAAAGACUAUGGGGCAAUACUUUUUCAUUUCUCGAGUACCCCGAGCAACAUUCUUCGACUCUGUUCGUGAAGCUGCUACGGAAGCCAUAUGUCAGAUUGGAGAAAUACUUGAAGCCAGACUUCGUUAUACUCAGGAAUACCCGAGGGAGGUGCAUGCAGUGAUGAUGGAGAUGAAGCUCAUGGCCACCAUGAUGAAGCAAAAGGUCGAUGAUUUCAAGGACCACAUUGUACAAUUCCAGUGGUACUAAAUUAUCUUCAAGAAGGGCAAAUGAAUAAAGAUGGAAGUAAUGCUUGACCAUACCAAACUAUGUGGAUGGCAGCUUUUUGUAAUAGAGUACUUUUGAAAUUUGAGUUUUGAGUAGUGGUUAAGGAUGUAAUAAAGGAUUUAAUAUGAAGAGAAUUGUGGAUGAACCGGUGCAUUUUUUUGGCGAUACCUGUCUGUGUGAACACUUGACCAAUGGAAAAGGAAAUGUAUUCCAUAGAGUGAAGUUUGGACAAAUGAGUUGGAGUUUGGUUUUAGUUAUGAUGGUUACCCCAAGAGUAUGAAUGAAUGAAGUACUAUUGGAUUUAAAGGAGAUGUAAUGUUGGAAUAUGGAACAAUAGUAACUCCAAGGAUGAGUUAAAGAUAUACAAGUGUUGAAAUGGGCCAUAACCCACAGGACCCAGGAUUUGAUAAGGAAACAAGCACAAUCUUGUUGAAGAAAAUAAUUCUGAAAGAAGCCAUGAUUUCAUCAGCAUAUUCAUAGGAGGUUACAUAAACCCAGGAGUUGUGAAUAAACGAUAGAGGUUUUCUUUGGCUUGCAGAACCAAUGGAUUUAUUCGAACCCAGUUCAUGGAGAAGAGAAGUUCUGCAAUGCUUGUGAGGAUGCCCAAGGGCUAGAAUGCGUGAUUCACUAUCUGCGUAUGUGGUACUGAUUCAAGUACGACAUGGAUUGGACCCCAUACCGGAGACUUCUAUCAUGAGCUAUCAUAUGAUUGAUAGAAAAUCAGAGAGCCUUAAAACCCUAGAAGAGUGUCGACACGACAAGCCAAAAGCCUUAGAAUGGCAGGAUGAUGGAAACCCUGUACAGGCACCUAUUGCCAAUCGUAGGUUAUGCAGUGAGGUUCAACCCAGACCCAUUUCCUGUAGGAGGAACCAGAAAUUGUCGACCACCAUGAGGUUUUCGAUAGUUGUUUAGCAUUGGCGCCAGACCUGUCAAGUCUCAGAAGGAUCCUAUUUUGAUGCAAGGACUCCUGAUUUUGAGGAAAAGGCCAUGCCCUUACCAGAAGAGCAAAAGUGAAGGUGUUAUCUCGGAGAAUAUGAGAAGACCGACACCGUCAACGCAAAGGAUGGAGUACAUGAGUUUUGUUGGAACUGUAACCAUGCUUCUAAGGGUGGUAGCACCCCAUUCCUUGUGUUGAUGAAUGGAUUUUCAAGGAGAACCCCCAAACCUAACAUUCUUUCUAGCCUCUUCGAAUCUCGAGGACGAUAUUCAUUUUAAGGGUGGUAGUUUGUAACAUCCCAAAAUUCUAAAUUUUGGAAUGUUAUGUUAAAUAAUUAAUUCUGAUUGUUUGUUUGUCGUGUGAUUGAUUGUGUGAAAAUGAUUGGAAAUUGAAAACUUUUUGAAAGUAGAAUGAGAGGGAAUAAAAGGACUUUCCCGAAACUUUUCAUCUUGCAUUUUGAUCUUCCUGAAUUCAAAUUCAUUACAUCAUAAAACCCUAGAGUGAAGAUAAUAUGACUUCUUCCAUUUAAAGAAAUGAAAAAAGGGGAUUGAAAAUGAUUUGAAUUCCAUUUGAAACAUUUUAAAUUUAGAAACUUUAAGCAACUCAAUGAGUUCAUGAGGGAAGAUAAAAUGACUUCUUCAAAUCGAUGGAAGAGAGUUGGAAGUUUCAAAGGAAUAAUUUGAAGUCACUUUGAAGUUAUUUGAAACUCAUUUUUCCAUUUGAAGUUGUUUGAAAUUCCAAAUUUCAAAUCCUCUUGGGAGUUAUUUAGUUUUAAUUCAAAUUAUUUUUCCCCUAAAAAUAAAUAGAUGGGAAUAAGGGUAAAAUGAUUCCCUUCAAUAGAAAAUUAGGAGAAAUAUAUCUGAAAUCAUUUUGCUAUUUAAAAAAUGAUUUUUAUUGAUUUUAAAUGCCAUAGUAGCACUGUUUGAAUUUUAUGAAUUUUUAUGGAAUUUAGUUGAACUUGAAAAAUAAUUCAUCUUAUUGCUGCUAUUUUUCUGAGCAUUUUCGUAUAUAAUAUUCCUACGUAAUUUUUUUAGUUAUUUUCCUAUGUUGAAGUUUUUGUUUCUGCAAAAAAAAACACGCGCCCGCCAGCCGGCCCAGGGCCUUCGGCCCAAGAGCCAGCUAGCGCACCGAGCCGGCCCAGCAGCGCCCCAGGCCGCCCCAGGCCUUACGCCUCGCUCGCCCGCGCCCCUCUUCCCUCGCUCGAUCUCUCCCACUGCCGCUGCCAGUGGGGCCCGCAACCCUCCGUCCCUAACCUCCCGCUCCUCCCGUUCAGUUAGGGCACGCGCGUGCCGCCCGCAACUGCCGGCAGCUCCGCUCGGGAUAGAGCUCAUCCGCAGUCUCCGCAGCCUCUUCUCGCGCCUAUAAAUUCCCUCGACUCCCUUCGUUCGAUUCUGCCAUUCCGCAACGAUCCACGCCGCUGACAGCCGCCGCCUUCGUCGUUUGGAUCUUGCCCGCCGGAGCUACCUCGCCGGUCCGUUCCGCCGCCCGUAAGACUUCCUCGACCCCGUUCUUCUUUUUCAAUUGACUCCCCGCGUCGAGGCGCAUCUGAUUGACAAAAUUUUGCCGCCUAGGUCGUACCAGAGACGCCGCCCCGACGCGUCGCGCUCUUGCCGAAGCACCGGAGCUCCGCCGCCUCCCUCCGCUCGUCGCUGGCCACCCCACCACCCGCCGACCCCACCAGCACGCCGCCCACGCCGCGCCUGACCUCCCUGACCCCUUCGUCGCCGCUGAGGACCACCAGAGACGCCGCCCUGUCCGCCGUCCGCCGCCUGACGCCAGCGGCGCCGCCCCUGUUCGCCGUCCUCGCUCGCUAUGAGCCGCUGAUCCUCGCUCAUUUUUUGUUGUUGUUGUAUUAGAUCGGGUAACCGUGGUUUUAUUAAACCGUGCGGUUUAGUAAAAAAAGGUCUCCGGUUUUCUUUUUAUUUAGCCACGGUAGCCGUUUUAUUUAUUCAGUGGCCGUCCGCAGUUUAGCCUGAGCCGCGAACGCUGCUCAGCCACCUGGAAGCCGCCACGUGGCCAGGGAUCUGGUCGUGAAUAAAACUUUCAUAGUCAAGUCCCCGAGUUUUCAAUUUAGCCCCUAAACUUCGAAUGGUUGUAUCUUUUUAACCGUAACUCCAAAUUCGACGAAACCAGUGGCAAAAUGUUCGUCUCGAAUAGUUUUAUCCAGAGAACCAACUUUGAAAACUUCUGGCCAAAUUCAAAUUUGAACUUUAUUCAGAUUUGAAUUCAAACUUCAACUGGCCAUAUCUCUUAAACCGUAGAUCCGAUUGGUGUGAUUCUUUUUGCAACGUGUCAUCAUAGCCAAACCCUACCACCUGGACCUUGUCACAAUACUUUUCACACAACUAGAAUCUGUCUAUGAUAGUUUUACUAUUAUGCCAUGCAUGCACUUUAGUACACAUCACAGUUUUGAACCCCAUGUCACAAGUUGUUUUGCACUUAGGAUAUUUCCAUGCUAGUUAACUGUGUUGAAUGUUCAUUUGGUUUUUCUGAGACUUUGGGCUUUGCAUGUUCUUCUUGGUUAUCUGAAAUGAUUGCUGAGAGUGACGAAUAGUUCUAUGAAGUAAAUUUCUGAGAGUGGUAUAAUCUUCAUCAACUAUUACCAGGCAACUUCACAUUUGACCAUUUUUCCAAUUACCUAUGUUUAUAUUAUGCACUUAGUCCUUUUGUGGUAGGAUUGCAUGGUAGGAUUUAUUGUUUCCAGAUGGCUAUGCCGUUACCUAGUAGUUCAUUUGAGGUAGGUAUGAUCUAUACAUCCUUGUCACCACCGUGUAAGUUUAUUUUUGCCUCUCUAAAUGUAGACGUGGUUUGGGAAGCGAAAAUGGCGAGACAUGAGUGACAAAGUAGUAAUCAAGACCAAGACAUGUAAAUGAACUACCUGGGCGGUAUUUGGUUUGAAUGGUGGCGAAGUACAGUGAGAGCAUGCAUGGUUAAUCCAUGGUGGUGCACCACUAGUGGUUGGCCGCUCAGGCUCAAAGAGAUGAAUCGUAUUCUCAUGUCUAGAAGCUUAUGUGUGCAGCCACAAGCCAAUAUGGGCUCUAGCUUAGUUGAGUAGUUAGUGUGACCUCUUCCGGGAUGGGCUAGCAGAUGUAGAAUGAUGUAGGUGUACCGGCCUAUCCGUGGGUUAAGGGGAACAUUUUCGAAAGACUAUGUCUCGGUCAUCCUGUUCUCAAACGCCAGGUAGUGCGAGAACUCCAGGGGAGGCGAUCGAGUCUUGUGGGGAAAAGUGCGCAAACCUCUGCAGUGUUAAAACCUAAUCGAUUAGCCGUGUCACCGGUUACGGAAAACUUGAGAAUCUAGUAGUGGAAAUGCUGGGAGAUCUCAUCACUCUUAAUUAAACAAUUGGGUUUUAAAUGAAACUUUGGGAAUGGAUUGAGUUGGGUUUGCCAACUCAUCCUAUGCUAUACUAUAGUGAUAGACUAAUAUCUUUUAUUCUAGGGAAAAACUAGCUUUAUGCAAAAACUAAACUUAGGGCUUUCCACCAGCCAAAUUGCAUGUACAAAUAGGUUCAUUAUUCUUAUGAUGUGACUUACCAGUACAUUCAAUUUACUGACCUACAAGGCUGCAACGUCUUAUGUUGCAGGAAUUUCUAUGACGAGUAAGAAUUACGUGGUAGGGUUACGGUCUACACUCAACUUGCCGUUGGCGUUGAUGGGACUCCGCACCCAUUCAAUUGUUUUCGCUGAGAUUUAUGAGGCAUAUAUCAGUUUUACGUUAUUUAUACAUGUGAUUGAACUUUGAUAUAUACAUUGAUGUACUGUGUGUGCCAGCAUACCGAUCUAGGGAUGGCACGGAUACACAGAGGCUUGACCAUUUGAGGUCGGGUUGCUACAGCAAAUAACCUAGAUCUUUCAAGGCAAACUCUGAGCUCAAAUCAUGCAGAAUGGCAUUAGCAACACUUUGUGAUGAACUUGCAACUAUGAUGCAUCCACAUAUAUGAGAACAAUGAUAACUACUUUUCCCUUGUUAUAAAUGAACAAAGAUGUAUCAGCUUUGGAAGCACUAAAACCAAGACAUUUCAAUUGAGAGCUCAACCUGGAGUACCAUGCUUUAGGUGCUUGUUUCAAGCUAUAGAGUGCUUUGUCAAGCUUGCACACAUAAUGUGGUGUUUUCUUACUCUCAUAUCCUGGUGGUUGUCUCAUGAAUACCUCCUCUUCCAGAACACCAUGUAAAAACGCGUUCUGUACAUCUAGCUAUCUCAAGCUCCAUCCCUUGGAUACAGCAAUAGCUAACACAAAUCUUAUAGUUGCAGCUUUUACAACCGGACUGAAGGUAUCCUCAUAGUCUAUGCCAUAGCAUUGUUUAAAGCCCUUUGCAACUAGACGUGCCUUAUAUCUAUCAAUGGAGCCAUCUGCUUUCUUUUUAAUUCUAUACACCCACUUGCAAUCAAUAAUAUUUUUACUUCUCUGAUCAGGCACAAGAUGCCAAGUUUUGUUCCUCAUAAGUGCAGAAUAUUCCUCAUCCAUUGCUUUCUUCCAUUUAGGGUCACCAAGUGCAUCAUUCAGUGUCAUUGGUUCCCCUGAAAUACAUAGCAUGCCAUACCGUAUAGUACCAUCAGUUCGUAUUUUGGGAUUAUGGAUACCUUUUUGUAACCUUGUCAUAACUCGCAAGGGAGCUUCUUGUUGCAUGUGUACAGGAACAAGAUCCAUUGGCGCAGAAGAUCCGCCUCUUGCUACUUAAUCUGCUGGUGAUGCAGAAGAUCCAUCGGAUACUGGCGCGGAAGAUCCAGUGGACCUUGGUGUGGCCCCCCUGCCACUGGACGCCCAGGAAACCACAGGGCUUGCAGCAUAGACGAUCCGCUGCCAGGUUGCAUGUGCGCGGGACGCGAGGAGGAGCCGACCGCGCGACUGGUCCCACUAGGCCCGCUGUCGGGUGACGCGUCGGCAUGGGAGUGGCCCUCCCAGGAAUAUGGGCCGCUGCCGCCUUGUACGCGAUCCAAGAAAGAUCUGUGCGCAUGAUCCGAGGCCUGCAAGAGAGCAUGAGUACCAAGGAAUUCAACUGAUAUGAUUACUCUACUUAUUGAUGUGCAAUAAUGUAAUAUGACUAUUAAGAAGCAUUCUGACUGUGGAGGUGGUUUCACACUUCUUACUACAACAAAGGUGAUUGAAGGAUUCCUCGGCAGAAACUAGAACGCACACCUUCAAUAAUUGACGAGCUAAUUGGUUGUUGAACUUCAUGUUGAAGAUAUCUCAUGUAGGCCCAGGCCGGCGCAUAUAGUUAGUUGAGGAGUUGGUUAGAUUAGAGAUAGACUAUCAUCUAAUUAAACUUUUGUAUCUCUAUCUCCUAAUCUCUUGUACUCCAAAUUAUGUAUGCGUACAUGGGAUAAGCCUCAUCUCAAUCAAUAAAUACCCACGGCCCUCUCUCAUGGAGGGUAGAACGCUUCCGAUAUAUUUCCUAUAUGGUCAUCAGAGCUUUCUCUUCCUUCUCGUCCAAAAACCAGAAAACCUAGAUUGUCGUCCUUCCCACCAUGUCGUCCUCCUCCAACCCCCUGACUCUCUCUGGUCUUGGUUCCCAAAUCAGCGAGAAGCUCACCCCCGAGAACUACCUGCUGUGGAAGGCACAUAUCCUCCAGCACUUCCUUGGUGCCGGGCUCUAUGGCUAUCUAGACGACACUAUCGUCGAACCAGAGAAGCUCAUGGUCGCGAAGGACAAUGAUGGAAAGGAUCAAGCGAUCCCUAAUCCGGCGCAUGAUGCUUGGGUGCGGCAGGACCAACAGGUCCUUGGCCACAUCAUCAACAAUCUCUCGAAGGAGGUGCUGGUCUCGGUCGUCUCCAUUGGCGUGAGCUCUCUGGACAUCGAUGCGUAACAUGUUUGCUUCACAAUCUCAUUACCGCAUUAAUAAUAUCCGGAUUUCCCUGUCCAGUGCCCAAAAGGGCAAUCAGCGUCGGCAUACUUUGCUCGGAUGCGCAGAUAUGUUGAUGAACUUGCUGCUACUGGGAGACCUCUGCAAGAGGAUGAGCUCACCUCCUUCCUCCUGGCUGGGAUGGACCUCGACUACAACCCCCUUAUCUCAGCCCUCGAUGCCCGGACGGAUCCUAUCACCAUCGAUGACCUGUACUCACAGGUCUACAACUUCGACCAGUGGGUGUCGCUGCUCACGGGAGGCGUGGGCUUCAAGUCCUCUGCAAACUCUGCCCAGCAUGGUGGGCCACCUCCAUCUCGAGGCUUUGGAAAGCCGAGGGAUCAGAAGAAGCAAGGUGGUGGCGGCGGCUACAAGACGAAACAAGGUGGCGGUGGUCAUCCCUACUACAUCAACACCAAGGGAGCUCGCUCUGGUGCCCCUGGAGGGCCAGGAGGUCUAGGAGGCCCCGAUGGUCCUCCACCCGCCAACAACCACAAGGGGAAUGACCCCAUCCAGUGCCAGAUAUGCAUCAAGUUCGGGCACAGCACCAAGGACUGCUGGUAUCAUUUUGAUGAUGAUGCCCUUGAAUAAAAAGUUGUUGCUGCCACCUAGUAUGGGGUGGAUACAAAGUGUUAUGUUGACAGCGAUGCAACCGUUCAUCUCAUCGGCGAACUAGAGAAGUUGACAGUCCGCGACAAGUAUCGUGGGCAGGGUGAAAUCCAUGGCGCAAACGGAUCAGGUAUGAGGAUAGAUCAUGUUGGUCAUUCAGUUUUUCAAACCCCUAGCCGUCCCAUCCAUCUUAAAAGAAUUUACAUUAUCCUCACGCCCAAACCAAUCUUCUUUCUGUACAUCAUAUUGCCUUGGAAAAUCAAGUAUUUCUUGAAUUUCACCCCUUCUACUUUUCGAUCAAGGACCAGGCAACGAGGAGAAUCCUCUACAUAUGUAGAUGCGUUGGUAGGCUCUAUCCAUUGAUUCCUCGCUUUAGGAGUUCAAAUAAACAAGUUCUUGGUCUCACCAAAUUAUCUUCGGCAAGGUGUCACGAUCGAUUUGGGCAUCCUUCUUUUUCUAUAGUUCAGCAAGUGCUUAGGAAAAAUAAGCUCCCUUUUGUUGGUGAGCCUAGUAGUGAAAAAAAAUUGUGAUUCAUGUCAACGAGAAAAAAGUCAUCAACACCCUUACCCUGUGUCAACUAGCAUUUCUUCCAAACCAUUAGAACUAUUUUUUUCUGAUGUAUGGGGCAAGCAGCUCUUUCUAUUGGGAGACACAAGUAUUAUGUAAACUUUAUUGAUGAUUAUAGUAAGCAUACUUGGAUCUACCUUAUCAAGCAUAAAUCUGAUGUGUUUCAAGUAUUCCAAAAUUUCCAAGCACUUGUUGAAUGAAAAUUCUCUAGCAAAAUAAUCUCUGUCCAAUCGGACUGGGGUGGCGAGUAUGAAAAAUUAAACUCAUUCUUUCAAAAACUGGGAAUUUCCCAUCAUGUCUCUUCUCCCCAUGCGCACCAACAGAAUGGUUCUGCAGAACGCAAGCAUAGACAUAUUGUCAAAGUUGGUCUUUCUCCUUGCUAAUGCAUCCAUGCCAUCGAAGUUUUGGGAUGAAGAAUUCAUCACUGCUACACAUCUCAUUAAUAUGUUGCUAAGCAGGGUUAUCAAUUUUGAAACACCCACCAUGUUGGGGAACACAAUAUUUUAAAAAAAUUCCCACGAUCACACAAGAUUUAUCUAGGAGAUGCAUAGCAACGAGAGGGGAGAGUGUGUCCAUGUAUCCUCGUAGACCGAAAGCGGAGGCAUUUAGUAACGCGGUUGAUGUAGUCGAACGUCUUUGGGAUCCAACCGAUCAAGUACCGAAUGCACAACACCUCCGCGAUCUGCACACGUUCAGCUCGGUGACGUCCCUCGUACUCUUGAUCCAGUUGAGGCCGAGGGUGAGUUGCGUCAGCAUGAUGGUGUGCUGAUGGUUAUGAUGAAGUUACCAACGCAAGGAUUCGCCUAACCACUACGACAAUAUGACCGAGGUGGAAAACUAUGGAGGGGGGAACCGCAACGGUUAAAGAUCAACUUGUGUGUCUAUGAGGUGCCCCCUCCCCCAUAUAUAAAGGAGGGGAGGAGGAGGAGGGCCGGCCUCAAGGGGCGCGCCCAAGGGGGGAUUCUUACUCCUAGUAGGGGUAGGUUUCCCCUUUCCUAGUCCAAGUAGUAGAAGAAGGAAGGAGAGGAAGAAGAGAAGGAAAGGGGGGCCGCCCCCCUUAGCCCUAGUCCAAUUUGGUUUGGGCUACGGGAGGCGCGCGCCACCUCUUGGCCUACCUCCUCUCUUCCACCACUAGGCCCAUAAGGCCCAAUAACUUCCCGACGGGGGUUUCGGUAACCCCCAGUACUCCGAAACUUAUCUGAAACGACCCGAACCAUCCCAGUGUCCAAAUGUAACCUUCCAAUAUAUGAAUCUUUAUGUCUCAACAAUUUCGAGACUCCUCGUCAUGUCCAUCAUUAUCCUCGAACGUUAAGCGUACGGACCCUACGGGUUCGAGAACUAUGUAGACAUGACCGAGACUCAUCUCCCAUCAAUAAACAAUAGCGGAACCUAGAUGCUCAUAUUGGUUCCUACAUAUUCUACGAAGAUCUUUAUCAGUGAAACCGCAUAACAACAUACGUUGUUGCCUUUGUCAUCGGUAUGUUACUUGCCCGAGAUUCAAUCGUCGGUAUCAUCAUACCUAGUUCAAUCUCGUUACCGGCAAGUCUCUUUACUCGUUCCGUAAUGCUCAUCCCGUGACUAACUCAUUAGUCACAUUGCUUGCAACGCUCAUAGUGAUGUGCAUUACCGAGAGGGCCCAGAUAUACCUCUCCGAUACAUAGAGUGACAAAUGCUAAUCUCUAUCUAUGCCAACUCAACGAACACCAUCGGAGACACCUGUAGAGCAUCUUUAUAAUCGCCCAGUUACGUUGUGAUGUUUGAUAGGACACAAGGUGUUCCUCCGGUAUUCGGGACUUGCAUAAUCUCAUAGUCUGAGGACCAUGUAUAAGUCAUGAGAAAAAUAAUAGCAAUAAACUAAAUGAUCAUAGUGCUAAGCUAACGGAUAGGUCUUGUCCAUCACAUCUAAAUGGUUUUUUCUUUUCUUGAUUACUGCUCCCUUCGUCCCAUAAUAUAAGACAUUUUUUGACAUUACACUAGAGUCAAAAAACGUCUUACAUUAUAGGACGGAGGGAGUAGUAUUUGUUUUUGGAUACUUGCAGGUGUUGGAAGAGAACUACUAGCUUUUUGUCCAAGUCGCUGCUCACAAAUGUGUGACGCCCACCCUCACACGUGAGCCAGCGCAGCCGGAGGCGGCGCACUACCAACGAAACCUAACAAAUUAACUGGCCACACGUGCCAGCCGGUUCCCACGGGUGCGAUGCAUGCCCCCACUUGCAAGCCAGAGGGAGGCCCUACGGACGAGCCGGCAUAGGUGUACAUGAGGCACGCACUAUCUGUUGCGACCGGACCAGCUCGGCGCAUUGCCAGCGGAUGCCGACGGCAAAAUUUCGUGUUUUGACCCUUUUCUGAAACCUAUUAAAGAUCUGACCCUAGGUAGCAGAAGACAUCCUUCAAAUUGAUCACAAUCUUCUUACCCCAACUGAGACCGAGGCUUUCAAGAUGAUUGAGUUAUCCCUUAUACAAAACAAGUAUGUCACACAUGAAAAUAUUUUGUUGAAGGAGCAUAUCAUCGCACUCAAGGGCAUUAUCCGCAAGUUGGAGGACCUCCUACGCUCGAUGUGCGACUAUCCAUCAUCAACAACUCCACCUUCUUCGCAAACAAAGAAGAACUGAGUAUCUGGUAUGGGCACUCCGCUUGGCAACUGCCAAGCUUAGGGGAGUGCCCCGGUAUCGUAUCACCAUCACUUCUAUCUUUACCGUUUUCCUUAGUUCGAUCCUUUUGAUAAUAUUUUGAUCUAGUAGAAUAAAACUUCUUAUUAUGAUCUAGUUGUGAGUUUUGCUUUAUGAUCCUUCUAUGUAAUCAAGUCCGUGAGCUAUAUAUAAUAAAGAUUAGUGUUGAGUCAAGGACUUGAUUAUUUUGCCAUAAUAUUGAGUGAAUAAAAGAAAAGAGAAGAAAUAAAAAGAAACAAAGAGAACAUAUGGAUCUUAUGGAGAGUAAUGAGCUCACAUAGAAAGAGUAUGAUGAAUAAAAGUUGUUGAGAGUUGACAAACAUAGUUUCGGUCAUCGUUGCAAUUAAUAGGAAGUAAUAAAAAAAAAGAGGUCUUCACAUAUAAAUACACUAUCUUGGACAUCUUUUAUGAUUGUGAGCACUCAUUAAAAUAUGACAUGCUAAAGAGUUGACGUUGGACAAGGAAGACAACGUAAUGGGUUAUGUUUUCUUACAUCUGAGAUAAAUUAUAUUGUCAUGGAUCAUCCAACAUGAUUGAGCUUGCUUUUCCCCCUCAUGCUAGCCAAAUUCUUUGCACCAAGUAGAGAUAUUACUUGUGCUUCCAAACACCCUUAAACCAAUAUUUCCAUGAGUGUCCACCAUACCUACCUAUGGAUUGAGUAAGAUCCCUCAAGUAAGUUGUCAUCGGUGCAAGCAAUAAAAAUUGCCCUCUAAAUAUGUAUGACUUAUUAGUGUGGGAGAAAAUAAGCUUUAUACGAUCGUAUGAUAUGGAAGAAAUAAAAGCGGCGGACUGCAUAAUAAAGGUCCAUAUCACAAGUGGCAAUAUAAAGUGACUUUCUUUCGCAUUAAGAUUUUGUGCAUCCAACCAUAAAAAUGCAUGACAACCUCUACAUCCCUCUGUGAAGGGCCUAUCUUUUUCUUUUAUCUCCUACCUUGCAUAAGAGUCAUGGUGAUCUUCACCCUUCCUUUUUACAUUUUAUCUUUUGGCAAGCACAACAUGUUGGAAAGAUGCUGGUAUAUAUGGCUAAUUGGAUGUGAAUUUUCAUGAACUAUUAUUGUUGACAUUACCCUUGAGGUACAACGUUGGGAGGCAAAACUAUAAGCCCCUAUCUUUCUCUGUGUCCGAUUAAAACUCCAUACCCAUAAGUAUUGCGUGAGUGUUAGCAAUUGUGGAAGACUAUAUGAUAGUUGAGUAUGUGUACUUGCUGAAAAGCUCUUGUAUUGACUCUUUCCUAUGUUAUGAUAAAUUGCAAUUGCUCCAAUGACUGAGAUUAUAGUUUGUUAGUUUUCAAUGAAGUUUGUGAUUCAUACUUGAAAUUGUGAUUGAAUUGUUACUCUAGCAUAAGAGAUCAUAUGACAAGAAUUAUAUAAGUUGUUGUUUUAAGAAUGAUCAUAAUGCCCUCAUGUACGUAUUUUAUUUUUAUCGACACCUCUAUCUCUAAACAUGUGGACAUAUUUUUCGAUUUCGGCUUUCGCUUGAGGACAAGCGAGGUCUAAGCUUGGGGGAGUUGAUAUGUCCAUUUUGCAUCAUGCUUUUAUAUUGAUAUUUAUUGCAUUAUGGGAUGUUAUUACACAUUAUGUCACAAUACUUAUGCCUUUUCUCUCUUAUUUUACAUGGUUUACAUAAAAAGGGAGAAUGCCGGCAGCUGGAAUUCUGGGCUGGAAAAGGAGCAAAUAUUAGAGACCUAUAGUACACAGCUCCAAAAGUCCUGAAACAUCACGGAAGUCAUUUUUAGAAUAUAUAAAAAAUAUUGAGCGCAAGAAGUUCCAGAGGGAGGCCACACCCUGGCCACGAGGGUGGGGGCCAGGCUUACCCCCUGGGUGCGCCCCUGCCUCGUGGGCCACCUGGUGGCCCUCCGAUGCCCAUCUUCUGCUAUAUGGAGUCCUUCGAUGAGAAAAAAAUGAUAAGCAAGCUUUCGGGAUGAGACUCCGCCGCCACUAGGCGGAACCUUGGCGGAACCAAUCUAGGGCUCUGGCAUAGCUAUUCUGCCAGGGAAACUUCUCUCUGGGAGGGGGAAAUCAUUGCCAUCGUCAUCACCAAUGAUCUUCUCAUUGGGAGGGGGUCAAUCUCCAUCAACAUCUUCACCAGCACCAUCUCCUCUCAAACCCUAGUUCAUCUCUUGUAUCCAAUUCUUGUCUCUAAGUCUGGGAUUGGUACCCGUGGGUUGCUAGUAGUGUUGAUUACUCCUUGUAGUUUAUGCUAGUUGGUUUAUUUGGUGGAAGAUCAUAUGUUCAGAUCCUAUAUGCAUAUUAAUACCCCUCUGAUUAUGAACAUGAAUAUGCUUUGUGAGUAGUUACGUUUGUUCCUGAGGACAUAGGGGAAGUCCUGCUAUUAGUAGUCAUGUGAAUUUGGUAUUCGUUCGAUAUUUUGAUGAGAUGUAUGUUAUCUCUCCUCUAGUGGUGUUAUCACUACAAAAAAAGACACAUCCGUGACAUUUUGGGCCGAACAAUUUUUUUUUCUGUCAUACAUGUGACACUUCUAUGACGAUAAUUGUGACAAAACCCGGUAUCAUCAUAGAUGUGGUGGGAUCCUACUUCUAUGACAAAAAAUCAUGACAGAAAAUGGGCUUUUCGUCCUGGGCGGGCCGGAGACGCAGCUGCAUGACAUUCUUUGGGCCGUCCAUGACGGAAAAAACCAUGGUAGAAGCGAGGGGGAGGAAAAUUUCGGGAAGUUCCCGGUUACGGUGGGAGGUCGGGGGCCAAGCGAUGCGCGUUUCUCUCGUACACGUACGCACGUGUGUGCGAGGCGUUGGCUCUAACUGAACCCGAGCGAUUGCACUGCAGGCUAGGCGUUACUGAACUCGAGCGAUCGAUCAAUGGCUGUUAACUGAACCCGAUCGAGCGAUUCCUUUGCUACUGCUGCUAACUGAAUCCGAUCGAUNNNNNNNNNNNNNNNNNNNNNNNNNNNNNNNNNNNNNNNNNNNNNNNNNNNNNNNNNNNNNNNNNNNNNNNNNNNNNNNNNNNNNNNNNNNNNNNNNNNNNNNNNNNNNNNNNNNNNNNNNNNNNNNNNNNNNNNNNNNNNNNNNNNNNNNNNNNNNNNNNNNNNNNNNNNNNNNNNNNNNNNNNNNNNNNNNNNNNNNNNNNNNNNNNNNNNNNNNNNNNNNNNNNNNNNNNNNNNNNNNNNNNNNNNNNNNNNNNNNNNNNNNNNNNNNNNNNNNNNNNNNNNNNNNNNNNNNNNNNNNNNNNNNNNNNNNNNNNNNNNNNNNNNNNNNNNNNNNNNNNNNNNNNNNNNNNNNNNNNNNNNNNNNNNNNNNNNNNNNNNNNNNNNNNNNNNNNNNNNNNNNNNNNNNNNNNNNNNNNNNNNNNNNNNNNNNNNNNNNNNNNNNNNNNNNNNNNNNNNNNNNNNNNNNNNNNNNNNNNNNNNNNNNNNNNNNNNNNNNNNNNNNNNNNNNNNNNNNNNNNNNNNNNNNNNNNNNNNNNNNNNNNNNNNNNNNNNNNNNNNNNNNNNNNNNNNNNNNNNNNNNNNNNNNNNNNNNNNNNNNNNNNNNNNNNNNNNNNNNNNNNNNNNNNNNNNNNNNNNNNNNNNNNNNNNNNNNNNNNNNNNNNNNNNNNNNNNNNNNNNNNNNNNNNNNNNNNNNNNNNNNNNNNNNNNNNNGACGGUGGAGAUGAACAGUAUCCCGUGGAGUCCCGUUUUGCGGUACGCCACACCCCUCCCGGUAAACAGGAACCCCGUUUCGACCGGAGUGCUCCAACACAAGUCAGUUUCCUCCAUUUUGCGGUACGGCACACCCCUCCCGAUCAACAGGACCCCCGUUUCAACCGUAGGAGGUCCGUUUCCUCCGUUUUGCGGUACGCCACAUCCCUCCCGAUGAACAGGAUCCCGUUUCGAACAUGGCCGGUCGAACACAAGGCCGUUUCCUCCAUUCUGCGGUACGCCAGGCCUCGUUUCCAUCGCCUGUUCCAUCCAAGCCCUCCCGAUGAACACAACGCAUUCCGUUGCCUUCCAAUGAACACGACGCAUUUUGUUGCCUCCCCAUGAACACGACACAUUUCGUUCCCUCCCCAUGAACACGACGACGAUGCUGUUUCUCCGUUCCGACCCAGCCUUGUACACGAGCCCUCGUCGUACGUAUGCGCGAGUAGGCGUUCGAGACCCCGCCCGUAUGUACACAUACGUGGCCGUAUUUUCUUUCUUGCACCCUGACCGCUGUACGUACGUGUACAUGCUACGUGCGCGCCUCUACUACGACACAUGCGCGCCUCUACAUCGACCAGUAUAUAUGUACGUACACGUUCGCAACCGGAAUGACAACGCUACGUACGCUUCGACCAGGUAGGUCCCGACUGCCAGGCACUUCCUUGCGUGCGAAGAUGUAGCUGGUGGGUCCCAGGAGUCAAGGCACUACUAGGGAAAAGCCUAUACACAGAAUCUUACCAGCAGCGCGCUUUAAAAUCAGGCGCUGCUACUAAGUAGCAGUAGCGCGGGUUUUUAACCCUCGCUACUACUAAGUUGAUAGCAGUAACGCUGGUUUUUUACCCUCGCUACUACUAAGCGGUCUCUACCGUGCCCCCGGGACAUGCCAUAGUAGUAGCGUGGGUUUUUAACCCUCGCUACUACUAAGUUGAUAGCAGUAGCGUUGAUUUUUACCCCUCGCUACUACUAAGCGGUCUCUAACGUGCCCCUGGGCCAUGCCAUAGUAGUAGCGAGGGUUAUAAACCCGCGCUACUACUAAGUUUUUACCCCUCGCUACUACUAAGAGGUCUCAACCGUGCCCCUCCGGGNNNNNNNNNNNNNNNNNNNNNNNNNNNNNNNNNNNNNNNNNNNNNNNNNNNNNNNNNNNNNNNNNNNNNNNNNNNNNNNNNNNNNNNNNNNNNNNNNNNNNNNNNNNNNNNNNNNNNNNNNNNNNNNNNNNNNNNNNNNNNNNNNNNNNNNNNNNNNNNNNNNNNNNNNNNNNNNNNNNNNNNNNNNNNNNNNNNNNNNNNNNNNNNNNNNNNNNNNNNNNNNNNNNNNNNNNNNNNNNNNNNNNNNNNNNNNNNNNNNNNNNNNNNNNNNNNNNNNNNNNNNNNNNNNNNNNNNNNNNNNNNNNNNNNNNNNNNNNNNNNNNNNNNNNNNNNNNNNNNNNNNNNNNNNNNNNNNNNNNNNNNNNNNNNNNNNNNNNNNNNNNNNNNNNNNNNNNNNNNNNNNNNNNNNNNNNNNNNNNNNNNNNNNNNNNNNNNNNNNNNNNNNNNAAUGAUAAAAACUUCAAAAAUUAAAAUCCUUCGAGAUGUAGUUAUGUUACUAUAUCUACUAGUUAGGAAAAUUUAAAAACUUAAAUUUGGACAUGUUUUGCAAAAAGUGUAGGAAAAAAGUUAAACGGCUAUAACUUUUGCAUACGAUGUUAGAAAAAACGUAUAAUAUAUCAAAAUGUUUCAAAAAUUAAAAUCCUUCGAGAUGUAGUUAUGUUACUACAUCUACUAGUUAGGAAAAUUUAAAAACUUAAAUUUGGACAUGUUUUGCAAAAAGUGUAGGGAAAAUGUAAAACGGCUAUAACUUUUGCAUGCGAUGUCAGAAAAAAACGUAUAAUAUAUCAAAAUGUUCAGCACGAAAAUCCGCAUACGAUGGAGACAGCUACGGCCUGUUUGCAAAUUUUUAGAAUCCUCAAAUUCUAAAAGGAAAAAAAGUGAUGCUCAAAUUUCAGUUUUUUUUAAUUUUGGUCAAAUCUGGUCAAACUGUGGCCAAACUACUUAUUCAAGAAGUAUUAGUGUUACUAAAUAAUUAUUUCAGUUUUUGGAAUUUUGGUCAAAUCUGGUCAAACUGUGGUCAACCUUUGGUCAAAAUGUGGUCAAACUCCUUAUUCAAGAAAUAUUAGUGUUACUAAAUAAUUAUUAUUUUUUAGAACAACAGUUUUAAACUCAAACAGCGAAAUGUGUGACUUCAUGCUCAAGCUAAACUCCCGAGGGUUAAUAGGAUUGACAUCUUACUAUUGUCAGAAAAACAACAAGUGCAGACCUGGAAUCGAGGGAGAAUAGAACCCGGAAGUUAAGCGUGCUCAGGCUGGAGUAGUGAGAGGAUGGGUGACCGUCCAGGAAGUUAGAUGAUUUGGAAUGAUGAGGGGUGAUUAGAGAUUAAAUUGAGCAGCGAUGAGGGUGAUUAGAGAUUAGAGGUUAAAAUAAUUCAGAAAUUUGAAAAUUCGCGCAAAAAAUUCGAUCCGCGGGUUAGUAGUAGCGCGGGUUUUUAACCACACUACUACUAAUGGACGUAGUAGUAGCGCGGGUGGCACCCGCGCUGCUGCUAUACGUUAGCUAUAGCGCCUUAUUAGUAGCGCCGGCCCCCGCGCUGCUAAUAGUCCCAAAACCCGCGCUGCUGCUAGGCUUUUCCCUAGUAGUGAGGGGGCGAAUCGUUUUCUUUCGUUUUGCCCGAACGCACUUCCUUGCGUCCGAAGGUGUAGCUGGUGGGUCCCAGCAGUCAGGGGGGAAACGUUUUUUUCAUGAAAUACGGUGGCCUGUCUGGUGGUCCCCGCUGUCCGGUGGAGGAAUAAUUAUUUUGCACAUAAUAAGGAGGCACUUCCUUGCUGCGGCCGUGGACCCAGGUGUCAGCCUCUCCACGUACAGUCCACGUCCGAUGGAAGUCGUUCCUUGACCACGUUGACCACGCCGCGCCGAGAGCACCAGGGCAGUCGACGACGGCGAGGCCUAGGAAGGGGACGACGGGGAGCCAGGGAAGACGCGGCAGAGGAAGCUUGUGCGGAGAGGAGUACGAGGGUUCACUGGUUCGGCUACGGUGUGAGGCUGCCGUCGCCGCAGGGCCUGGCCAGCGGUGGGAAGAGUAGGGGGCGGUGAGGCCUCCGCGGCAGCACAGCCGGCCAUGGGAGGCAGGAGCAUGUGGCACGACCGGCGCGGCUUUGGGCGGCUGGAGCAAGAAGACCAGAGGUUGAAGAAGCACUACGGCUGUUGGAUGGACAUCGUACGGUGCGGCUUGAGCCAUGUAGAGCGAUUGCGAUGGAGCCAGGGUUUUUGGUUGGGUGCGGCCGUUCGACCCGGAAAUAGACUUUAUAUAUAUAUAUAUAUAUAUAUAUAUAUAUAUAUAUAUAUAUAUAUAUAUAUAUAUAUAUAUAUAUAUAUAUAUAUAUAUAUAUAGCGUGUCAAUUAUAUAAAUGUAGAGAUACAUGAACAGACUGGUGCUUUAUGCUUUGGCUGUCAGUCACGGUUAGUAUAUGUGCAAGAAAAUAUUCCAAGUGUUUGAGGGAACUAACCAAAUGAACCACGAAAUCAGUGGCCCGCAAGAACCGAUAAUAAUUCUGUCGACUAAAACUGCUUUCUAGACAAGUCAGUGUAUGAUUACACUUAUUUAUAUUUUGUACAAUCAAGCUUUACAUUCACGGAUUUGUUUCUAAACGCCUGGGUCAUUAAUUUAGUUUGUUGUCAAAUCAAUUACCUCCCACGGAUUUGUUUCCACAGCCGGUCAAAAUAUACAGAAUAUCAUAGUUUUGCAACUGGGCAUAAUCUGAUAUAUAUAUGCAAGGAGGAUCUGUUACAUUUUUCAGGAAGUAGGUAGUCCGUCACUGUCUAGAAUGUGGUUCUUAAAGUUGUAUUCUUCUUUUUGGAUGGCCCUAAGAGCAAUUUCAAUGAGGCGACCCAUUUCGUCCGCCGUCUUUCGUUUGGAUCGGCACGGACACAAAAGCUGACCCAAUGCACCGACCUAAAUGGAUGCGCGUCCGAUUUUGUUCGUCUGCUGACCCAUUCCCGGCCCAUUUUUGAGCCGAAUUUGCAUCGGCGCAGACACAAGGCGGACGCACGCGCGCUCGCCCUCUCUCCUUCCCGGGCCCAUUGGUCGGUGGCACAUUGGCCUCUCCACAUCCAACAGCACACCGUCACCGCCUGCUUCGUCACCAACGCCGCCAGCCAUUUUUUCCGAUAGAACAAGAAUACAUAGAUAGUUCUAGCGUACACAGGUAAAAGAAAAGACUAACUACUCGUCGUCGCUUUCCGACUCUGACUCGGUAAUGUCCUCCUCCGACGUAUGAAUGUAGGCGUCAGCAUACAGCUCGUCCUUGAAGUACCACCCCGAUGUUUCGGGUAGCUUCAGUUUCAAUUAAGCGGCUUGCUUCCGCGCACGCUUGUCCUCCCGAUAGGCGGCUCGCUCCGUCCUCCUCGCCUCCCUCUCCGUCCUCCUUUGCUUGUAGAACUGGCGCUCGUCGACGAUGUCCUGCGGGAAGCGGUCGCGCCACACCACCAUGGCUUCCACGUCCAUCUCGGCGAUGGCGAGGCGACACUGCUGCCUCCGGUGGACAUAACGAUCCUUAUCGGUGAAAAGCCGCAGGAGAGACGCUAGAUCCUGCGCCCGCUGGCUCGACACGUCAGGAAAAUUCAUCUCCCCACGAGGCCUCAGGAGGCGCUAGGCCGCCACGUCGUGCGCGCGGGCCGCCUCCUCUGCGGUGUCGAAGGUGCCGAAGAUAAGGCGUUUAUCGCCAAAACAGAUCUCGGAGGAGAAGGCAUCGGAGCGGCGCUCACGGACUCCGCGAAAAUCUGAUGCGCCCAGGCGGCGAAUAAACAUCGUGGCGCAGAGGCGGCGAGGCUAGUGAGGCGACGAGUGGGCGACGGACAAAGUGUGGAGGGAGCGCCUUCUUAUAACGAGUGCCGGCCGCGGCACGCGCGAACCUUUCCCGCGCGCUGGAGCGCCAAAACCAGCGCGCGCUAGCCCGAUUUUCGUCCGCGCGCGCGAACCUUUCCCGCGCGCUGGAGCGCCAAAACCAGGACGACGACAUGGCCGCUGGCAUGAUCUACAGCGCGUGCAUUCAUGGAAUGGGCCGGCGCAUUGGGUGCACUACCGACUCAAAUGAAAAAUUAGACGGACAACUGGUGGGCGGCCGAUCCAAACGGACAAAAAACGGACAGAAGCGUCAUUCAUUUGGGUCGAUCCGUUGGAGUUGCUCUAAGUGUUCUUUUCUUCGUUGGACUAAGUCCUGGCGGUAAGUGCUUUCUGACAACAGCGACGAUGAACUAUGACGACAAUGAUGAACGAAGCAGACUAGUGUGAUCCUGGCAAAAUACCUUGUACACCGAGUGGCACAGCGGUACAAAGCUAACUUCCGAUCCCUAAUCGAUCGUUUGCUGGACGUGAACUAGUACUGUUAUGCACUAGUACUUCUAGCCGGACAGGGACACGCAACAAUAGUCAUAGUUGUUGAAAUUUGCCUGUCUUUCUUCAUCUGUUCAGACUUUUGAAUGAGUUAGAUGGUGUAUGAAUUCAAUACGGCAUCCGAUUUAAGAGGUUUAAAGUUCAAAACCGUGCCUAUGCAGUAAUUAAAAAAGAAAUUUUCUACCUACAUAAAUCCCACGUCGGAAGACUAAAUAAGUCUAGACGUGGUGGGUGGGGGGGAGGGGGGGUUAAAUAUAUUGGCAGUCUUUCUCCAUCAGUCAGACUUUUGGAUGAGUUGGUUGGUGUACUAGACUGAAUUUAAAGUCUUCUGCUUUCCUUAUCUUCUUCGUUGCACCAUCAGUAACUGUGUCUCUGAUGGGUCAGCAUCUAGGGCGGUGUCUGUGUCCCCUUAUGAUGACUUCCUUGUCUCUCCUCUAUUUUUUGCGGGUAUUGUUCAUUGCUUCGACUCACGGUACAAACUUUACAGCAGUGCUUACAUGUAUAUAUAGCUGCUAGUCUCUAGGAAAUACUCCCUCCAUUCCCAAAACUUGUCUUUCUAGGCAUUUUCAAAUGGACACAACGUACGGAUGCAUGUAGACAUAUUUUAUAUUAUAGAUUCACUCAUUUUGCUUCGUAUGUAGUUAUUUGUUGAAAUCUUUAGAAAGACAAAUAUUUGGGAACGAAGGGAAUAUCAAACUAAAUUGGUCCCUGCAAAAAAAAAAAUCAUACUAAAUCAGUGACUAGUACUAAUCCUACUCGGCUACAUGUAAGUUGUGUUUAACUGCAGCAUCACCCUCUAAGCACGACGUGGUCACUUCACAGCUUGAACGACAAUUCUACUUCACGUCUUCAAGAACUACUCACAAUACAAAAGCAUUGCUUAGGAUGUCCGAUAGAUGAUUAUCGGUGCAAAUAUAGUAGACAUUAAUCUUACCGUCUUCCGUGCAUUCCGUUAUGCAGUGAUCAUUUGUGGAGUACCUGUCCACCGGCGGCCGGGGUCCGUGGAAACUUGCCGUCGGGCACUCAGCGCGACAGAUCUGCCACCAUGGACCUCUCGGCCACAAACUGGUCAAGUUCCACAACAGGGACAGCCGACAAGACCACUUCCUUGUGAGAGCGUUCGCCGCCCCUGGCUUUUUCUUUCUGUCGCCGGCACCGAUGGUCCUUUCAUUCUGUGCUCCGCUGCGGCAGUGGACUAGUGUAUCAACGAAGGAAGGAAUAUGGUUACUACCCAUGUGUGGCUGCUGUACUGUUGUGAAGAAUCUACAAAAAUAGUUCACUACAGUUAGUCUUUUGUGCCGAUCGCUGCGCUUGGUCUUUUUAAUUAGUUCACAUAACUUUCAUUUUAUGUAUCAAAUAGUUAACUUUUGGGCUGCAGUUAUUCUCUACACCAAUGGUGUAACGGGUCAUCUAAUAUAUGAGUUAAGGAAGGGUUAUGGCUACUACCCACGCAAGGGGGCCCGAACUGUAGUAAACUUGUGCCCCGUGUUCUUUCAAUGGCAUGUGGUGACUCUCCACUACCGAAUAAAUCACAUGCGACUAUUGUACUAUUGUGAAGAAUCUACAAAAAUAUCCUCAACAACAUUCUCCCGUGUCGUCGCGGCCACGCCCACUUUCUCUUGGGUAGACAUAUUUGUGAUGGUUGGUCGAUGUUAUCAUAUUUUUGGGAACAUUUUCAUCUCUUGAGCUCUAGCACACUUAUACACCUAACUAAUGUGCCCUAUUGCAGAUCACCCAAAGGCCGAAAGAUACGCAAUUAUGCACGCAUGAUUGAAAGAGUGACUAAGCUUAUGGCAAUUGGUCACAUACGAUCUGCUGAGAUACAUCCCACAAAUCAAGCAUGAAAAAGAAAAAGAAAAGGUUGUAAAUCAUCGAUAUUUUUCCUUCUUUUAUCUCCCUACCAUUGUUCUAUUCUUAAAGGCCCUGAUGGGAUUGCGAGUAGUAUCUCUGAUGGGACCUUGUUUCUUUGUUCCCGGUACUAAUGUUAAUAGUUUAUUGAUAUUUAUACAUAAAGCAGAAGAACCUAGCUAGCUAGCUUACUACUUUAGCCUUUCUUUAUGUAUCUUAGUCUAAUCAUGGAACUUGUGCCUCAAUUCUAUAUUUAGAGACAUAUUAGCAAAGAGAUGCUCUACGCUUUGGAUGUCACUCACGGUUAGUAUAUGUUCAACGAAAUAUUUAUAUGUUAUUUCCCAGUAUUGAUCAAAAUAAACACAUGGACCAAGAAAACAGUGGCCUGCAGAAAACGGUAUAACUGCUUUCUAGAAAACUGAGUAUUUGGUUACUUGCUAUAUUUUUUGUACAUCAAACAUUUUUACUUGCUUUAGUUAGUUGUCAACAAAUUACAUAGCACGGAUUUGUUUUCACAACCUCUUAAAAUACAUAGAACAUCUUAGUUCGGCAAUCCUGCCUAAUCGGGUAAAUAAGCAGGAAAAUAUCUAUUACGUUUUCCGUACAGGAGCCAGUCCAUCCCUGUCUAGAAUGUGAUUCUGAAAGUUGUAUUCUUUGUUGGAAGCCUGUGAGAGUUUUUCCUUAGCUCUAAAAGGUUAGCCCAAUNNNNNNNNNNNNNNNNNNNNNNNNNNNNNNNNNNNNNNNNNNNNNNNNNNNNNNNNNNNNNNNNNNNNNNNNNNNNNNNNNNNNNNNNNNNNNNNNNNNNNNNNNNNNNNNNNNNNNNNNNNNNNNNNNNNNNNNNNNNNNNNNNNNNNNNNNNNNNNNNNNNNNNNNNNNNNNNNNNNNNNNNNNNNNNNNNNNNNNNNNNNNNNNNNNNNNUCAGAUUUUUAUUAUUUAGACAUCAUGAUGGUAUAGGAUGAUAAAGAGAAAUAAAGUGGACGUGAAAUUUCUUUGUAUGAUAUUGGCGUGAAUUUAGUGCAUAUUAUAUAGCAAUUCAACAACGGUGAUUUUGACCAUUGGAUCUUCAUCUAAUUAACGGAUGUAUUCAUGUUUUCUUUUAAUAGAUUUUGAGCUGCCAAUUAAACUGCAGAAAUCAUGCAUCAACCAUCCCAUCGAUGUUAGAACUAUUAGUUAUCUUAUUAUCAGGAUUCGGCCAAUAUGUUUGUCACACACACAUAAGCGACAAGGGUAUGUAUCAAGCUUUGUUGGUUUAUCACGUACGCCACAAGCGUGCCACUAGGAACAAGUGCACAUGUUCUUUUAUAGGAUUUACAGACCAACGCGUGUUUAAUCGUGUAAUGCAUAUAUAGGGUUAGGGUUCGAGACGAGGUGUUUGUGAAGACAUUCACUCGUUCCUGGGAUUUGGAAUGUCGAGAAAACCGACAGCCCCUUGUGCUUCCAGAUGGUGCAGGGAAUAAAACUGGAGCAGCAGAGGCAGAUUUAAAUGUAUUUAUUUCCAUCAUCCAUGGUUCUACAUGUAAAUAUCAAUUUUUCCCACAGAAAAGUGUAAAUGUAUACAUAUGAAUUGAUUUCCAUGGCGAAUGUACAUGUACCAAAAUUCUAGCUAGCUUCCCCUAGAAAAACAUUUUAGCAAGGUAGUCAGAAGCUUCCUUAAGAAAGAACAGAAAAGAAAAGAAAAGAAAAGAAAUGGUACGUGAUUCGUGCCCUUUGUUUGUUGAAGGAAGUAGUUUAUAGUAGUAUAACAGUGCAUGCAUGGCUACCGCUUGGUCCGUCCAUGCGUACGUAGUUUUCCUAUAUAUAGAGAGAGAUUAGAGAGCGGAGGACCAACACAAGUCAUAAGCGGCCAUCGAUCUAUCCCAGGCCACACGUAGUAGCACAACAAUCAUGACGAUUUCCGCUAUGCCGCUGCUAUUGCUUCUUCUUGUCAGCUUGUCUGUAGGUUCUUGUGUGGGUGACCAUCAUCAGCUCCUCAACUUCAUGACAGUGAAAACAAGCUCCCUAAAGCAUAUCGCAGAAGGCGCCGUCUGCUCCGGACACAAGGGUGAGUAUCUAAGGGUACUGCAUGCAUGCAUAUGCAUACGUUAUUUAGUACAUACUCGCUCCGUUCGGAAUUACUUGUCGCAGAAAUAGAUGUAUUCGAAAUAUGUCUAGAUACAUCCAUUCCUGCGAUAAGUAAUUCCCGAUACAUCCAUUCCUGCGACAAGUAAUUCCGAACGGAGGAAGUACGUCAUAUAGUAGCUAGCUUAAUAUUGAGCUCAUUGAUGGAUAUGCAUGCGUGUUAACCUGUCGCCUUCGUCUGUCGACAAACAGUGACAAUGCCGUCCGGCGACGGUGUCAGGUGGGUACCGAUGAACCGCCCGCACGGCCCAUGCUCGUCGGCGGCGGCGACUACGGUCGUCGACGGCAUGCUCCUGUGGGACCAGCUACGCACCAGCUCAAUCCGGAGGAAGCUCUCCGGCGGCAGGGCCGGCGAUGGCCUGCCGGUCAUCCACUCCCGUGAAGCCAAAACUAGCAACAUCGACAGCAGUAUGACUGCGAAAAGCACGCUGGGGGGCAGCGGCGGGACAAGCUCCACGACAAUGGAAAGGACCAGCGAACACUUGUACUCCAAGGUGAGCCAAACGGUGGUGGUGGACACGAGCAGCGACAUUCCGUGGGUGCAGUGCCUCCCGUGCCCCGCCCCGCAGUGUCACCUCCAGAAGGACCAACUCUACGACCCCGCCAACUCCAGCACGUACGCACCUAUCCCCUGCGGCUCCCCUGCCUGCACGGAGCUCGGUAGCAGCCACAGCAGUGGCUGCUCCGCCGGCUCCGACCAAUGCAAGUACAUCCUCGACUACGGCGACGGCAGGGCCACCGCCGGGACAUACGUCACCGACACGCUGACCUUGUCGCCCACCAUCGCGGUCAAGGGCUUCCGGUUCGGGUGCAGCCACGCCGUGAGGGGCACCUUCAGUGACCAGACCGCCGGCGUCCUGGCCCUCGGCGGUGGCGCUGGGUCCCUCCUUGCGCAGACCGCGGAGACCUUCGGCAACGCCUUCUCCUACUGCGUCCCGCACCCGAGCUCCGAUGGAUUCCUCUCGCUGGGCGGGCCGGUGGGGAACUCGUCGCAGUUCACGAGCACGCCUCUGAUCAAGAACCAACACGCUCCGACGUUCUACAUCGUCCGCCUGGAGGCAAUCACCGUGGCCGGGAGGCGGCUCGACGUGCCGCCGGCUACGUUCGCCGGUGGUGCGGUGAUGGACUCAGGGGCGGUCGUCACGCAGCUGCCACCGUCGGCAUACGCAGCGCUGCGGGCAGCGUUCAGGAGCGCCAUGACGGCGUAUGGCCCGCUUGCGGAUCCCGUACGCAACCUUGACACGUGCUAUGACUUGACCCGCUUCCCCGAGGUCAAUGUCCCCAAGGUGUCCCUAGUGUUCGCAGGCGGUGCCACCUUGGAGCUCGAGCCGGCGUCCAUCAUGCUGGACGGCUGCCUGGCUUUCACGGCCUCCCCUGGCGGCCACGGCUCCAUCGGAUUCAUCGGCAACGUGCAGCAGCAGACCUACGAGGUUUUGUACGACGUCGGCAGCGGGAGCGUGGGAUUCCGCAGUGGCGCGUGCUGAUGUGGCAAGCUGCAGGCCAACCACGGCCACUUGUACGUGUGAUGCAUGAUUGGCCCCCUAAUAUAUAUCUGGGUCUACAAGCUAGCUUGCUCAUUGGGAUGGAGCUAGUUUGUGAGUAUAAAUAAAUGCAAGAAAGAAGAUUGAUGUAAUACUUAUAUAUGCAUGUAAUUUUAUAUAGUUUUAUAUAUGCAUGUAAUUUUGUUCAACGGUUGUAUGAUUGUAAACCUUAUAAUAUAACCUUACAGAUUGUCAAGGAAUUCAACCGAUAUAAUUACUCUACUUAUUGAUGUGCAAUAAUGUAAUAUGACUAUUAAGAAGCAUUCUGAUUGUGGAGGUGGUUUCGCACUUUUUACUACAACAAAGGUGUUUGAAGGAUUCCUCGGCAGAAACUAGAACGCACUCCUUCAAUAAUUGACGAGCUAAUUGGUUGUUGAACUUCAGACAAAGAUUGUUGGGCAUGAAAGCGGUCACCAGCGGGUUGAUUGGCCUCACCAGCUCAUACGUGUUCAUGAGGCGUGGUUUUUUUCUUUUCUUGAUUAAUAGUAUUUGUUUCUGGAUGCUUGCAUUGUUAGAUUUGGAAGCGUUCCUACUCCUCGAUGAGGAGCCGGGUUGGUUUAUAUUGAACGAGGCAGAACAGCCCUGCCGUGGCUUACAAGAAGAGGAAACUGAUCGCAAGGAUUGGGUUGUAAGGAGGACUCCUAAACAGCUACGCGAGGGAGAGAGAUAGAAUAGAGUUGAGAUUACAAUGCGGAGAUAAACAUGAAUUCUAACACCCUCCCUUAAUCUCAACUAUUCUAUGUUUAGAUUCCUCUUGAACUCAUCAAAUGGUUUUGCUGGUAGUGCCUUGGUGAACCCAUCAGCCACUUGAUCUUUGGAAGGGAUGAACCGUAUCUCAAGUUUCUUUGCUGCAACCCUUUCAGGCACAAAGUGAAAAUCAAUCUCUAUAUGCUUGGUUCUUGCAUGAAACACUGGGUUUGCAGACAAGUAUGUUGGUCCCAAAUUAUCACACCAUAAACAUGAGAUGCGAUUCUGCUUGACCCCCAUUUCAUCCAGUAGUGAUUCAAUCCAAAUGAUUUCUGCAGUGGCAUUAGCUAAGGAUUUAUACUCAGCCUCUGUAUUUGAACUUGAUACAGUGGCUUGUUUCCUACCACUUUAAGAAACAAGAUUAGGCCCAAAGAACACUGCAAAGCCUCCGGUUGAUUUUCUAUCAUCACUGCAACCUGCCCAAUCAGCAUCAGAGAAUGCACUCACAAGAGUAGAAUUAGAGCGUCUAAAAUGCAGUCCUACUCCCAUAGUAUGUUUGACAUAUCUUACAGUUCUCUUAAUAGCUGUCCAAUGUGCAGUAGUGGAUGCAUGCAGAUAUUGACAAACUUUGUUAACAGCAAAUGAGAUAUCUGGGCGAGUAAGAGUCAAGUACUGUAAUGCUCCAACAGUACUUCUAUACUUUGUGCUAUCUUCCUCAUAAAGUGGCUCACCUUCAUAUGCUGAAAGUUUCUCCGAGGAGGACAAUGUGUAGGUACAGGUUUGCAGUUUUUCAUCCCCAUACGAGAUAGAAGCUUGGUAACAUAUUUCUCUUGUUUUAGUACCAUGCCAUCUUGAGUCAUCUUAACUUCAAUGCCUAGAAAGAAGUGCAAAUGUAACAUCCCAAAAUUCUAAAUUUUGGAAUGUUAUAUUAAAUAAUUAAUUAUGAUUGUUUGUUUGUUGUGUGAUUGAUUGUGUGAAAAUGAUUGGAAAUUGAAAACUUUUUGAAAGUUGAAUGAGAGGGAAUAAAAGGACUUUCUCGAAACUUUUCAUCUUGCAUUUUGAUCUUCCUGAAUUCAAAUUCAUUUCAUCACAAAACCCUAGAGUGAAGAUAUUAUGACUUCUUCCAUUUAAAGAAAUUAAAAAAGGGGUUUGAAAAUGAUUUGAAUUCCAUUUGAAACAUUUCGAAUUUAGAAACUUUAAGAGCAUCUCCAGCCGUUCGCCCCCCAGGACGCAUAAAAAUCGCCCCCAGGGGGCGAGCCGGCGAUAUAAUCGGCGCUGGGAGCGGUUUCGCGCCCAGUCGUCGCCCCCAGGCGUCGAUAUUGGCCCACUUAUCCCAUUUCGGCGAAUAAAGGGCCCAUAUGGGCGACAAUAGGCCCAUAUUCCGCGUGGUUUGCCGUUGUUCGGCGUUCAGUUGUCACACCCUAGCUAGUCAUGCAUUAGAGUGUUGCAUCAUGUUUACUCUUUCAUCAGAAACUUGAAAUGGGGAUGACAGAACCCCCAGUCCCCUCUGAAACCAACUAGGGUUACUAAAAUAAUUUUUCAAUGAACCUGAAAUGCCCUUCUAAAAUGCCCAUCAUUUUUGCCUUGGUUCAGAACCUUUGCCAAAAGUGGUGCACAUUUUCCUAGGCCAUCCUAGGGUUUUUGAAUUAAGUCAUAAGUAUUUGAAUUUGGGCAUUUAAAAUUAUAUAAAAUAUUUAAAUGCUCAAAUAUCUCCAAACUAAAAUGUUUCAUGUUGGAAAUAAUCCAACUAUGGACCAGGAGUAGUUUGGUGAUUUUUGGAGUUGCCUAGGUAUUUUAUUUAAUUCAACAAAGUUGCAGAUAUAUUAAAUAAAAACAGAAAACAGAAAAAUAAAUAAAAGGAGUAGACUUACCUGGACCUACCUGCCCAGCCCAGCCGGCCCAGCACUGUGCUGGCCCGUGCCAGCCAGCUGCUUCCCCUUGCCAGAGCAGGCAGGGAGGUGAGCAUGGCGCGCCCGAGCUCGCCACGCACCACCCAGCCUCUCUGCAUCGCCCUGGUCGCCGUUGCGCCGCGUGGAUCGUCUUCUGGUCGUCGCCCCGACCUCGCCGACACCCCAUUCAUUCUCCCCCGGCUCUCCCUCGCUCUCUCCCCCGCCCGACCGAACACCACCGUCGCCGCCGUUCGCCAUAGCCACCGUCUCCGACCACCCCUCGCUCCCCCGACCAGCUCAGAAGCUCCGCCACAACUCCCUCUUCCUCCCCACCGCUCCACAGCUCCCCGGAAGCCCUGCAUUGCCGCCACGUCGCCGUUCCCCUCUUCGGGCUCCGACCACCGCCGCCGUCGAAUUCGCCGUCUCCAGCGCGUCCCCGAGCCCGCUUCGACGCCCACUGCAACCGCGGUGAGCUACGCCACCGUUUCCCCCUCUCCUUCCCCUCGUUCCCUCACCGUAGCUUCCUCCCCACCACGGCCGAACCUCCGCCGUCGCCGAGCUCGCCGUCGACGCAGCUCCGGUGACCAUUUGGUCACCCCGGCGAGUCCAACGGGUUCACAGAACCCCGUAGAGCAUCCCUAGCGCCUCGCCUUGCUCGACUUCGAGCUCCAGCACCGUUCCCGGACUGCUCAACUCACCCAUCCUUCGGGAAAGAUAGUCAAUGUCUUGACCCGAAUAGCCAAGCGACAAUUAUACUCUCUUAACGCCAGCCCCUUGCCAGACCUUGAGGACGUGCCGGUAGUCUGUGACUUCCCGGAUGUCUUUCCAGAAGAAUUGCCAGGUGUUCCACCUGACAGGGAUGUUGAGUUCGUAAUAGACCUCAUCCCCGGAACCGUUCCGAUUGCUAGAAGACCUUAUAAGAUGGCACCCCUAGAACUAGCCGAGCUUAAGAAACAACUCGAUGAAUCCUUGAAAAAGGGUUUCAUCCGCCCUAGUUCAUCUCCGUGGGCUUGCCCCGUCCUAUUCGUCAAGAAGAAGGAUGGUACGGACCGAAUGGUUGUAGAUUACCGACCUGUCAACUUGGUCACAAUCAAGAACAAAUACCCGCUUCCCAGGAUCAACGAUCUGUAUGAUCAGCUCGCUGGAUCCUCAGUCUUCUCCAAGAUGGAUUUGAGGUUGGGAUACCAUCAAAUCAAAAUCAGAAACGGGGACAUUCCUAAAACGGCCUUUGUUACUCGUUAUGGCCAAUACGAGUACACCGUCAUGUCCUUCGGUUUAACCAACGCUCCAGCCACCUUUUCUCGGUUAAUGAACUCAAUCUUCAUGGAGUAUUUGGACAAAUUCGUCAUAGUUUAUCUCGAUGAUAUACUCAUCUACUCCAAGAACGAGGAAGAACAUGCCGAACAUUUAAGGCUAGUGUUGAAGAAACUUCGAGAGCAUCGCCUUUAUGCCAAAUUUUCUAAAUGUGAAUUCUGGUUAUCAGAAGUGACCUAUCUGGGUCAUGUAAUAUCUGGUAAAGGUAUUGCUGUUAACCCUGAGCGAGUUCAAGCCGUCCUUGAUUGGACUCCACCCGAAUCGGUCAAGCAAGUUCGGAGUUUUCUAGGCUUAGCGAGCUAUUGUCGUCGCUUUGUCGAGAACUUCUCCAAAGUUGCUAAACCUCUAACCGAACUCCUCAAGAAAGAUAAGAAGUUCGAAUGGACUCCACAAUGUGAGCACAGCUUUCAGGAACUGAAAAGACGCCUGACUUCUGCUCCCGUGCUGGUACCGCCAGACUUCUCCAAGGACUUCGUUAUCUACUGCGACACCUCGCGACAAGGACUAGGUUGCAUUCUCAUGCAAGAUCGACACGUAAUUGCUUACGCUUCACGGCAAUUGCACCCACAUGAGGAGAAUUAUCCUACUCAUGAUCUAGAGCUUGCAGCCGUAGUCUAUGCACUUAAGACCUGGCGACAUUACCUCCUCGGUAAUCGUUGCGAAAUAUUCACUGAUCACCAAAGUCUGAAGUAUAUUUUCACCCAACCGGAUUUGAAUCUCAGGCAGAGAUGUUGGGUUGAAUUGAUCACAGACUUCGACUUAGGAAUAACCUACACCCCAGGGAAAGCCAACGUCAUGGCUGAUGCGCUAAGUCGUAAAUCUUAUUGUAACAACCUGAUGUUACAACAAAGUCAACCGCUUCUCCAUGAGGAAUUUCGGAAGCUUAACCUUCACAUUGUACCUCAAGGUUUUCUUUCCACCUUGGUGGCAAAACCUACCCUUACGGAUCAAAUUAUCAAAGCACAGAAGGUAGAUCCGGGAAUCUCCCGCAUCAAGAGAAACAUUCAGAAAGGAAUUGCGAAUUGCUUCUCCAUUAAUGAUCAAGGGGUCGUAUACUUCGGGGAUCGACUAGUGGUUCCCAAAGUGCGAAACCUGAGGCGAUUGAUCCUUAAGGAAGCUCAUGAAUCUCCUCUCACCAUUCAUCCCGGUAGUACUAAGAUGUAUCAGGACCUACGCCAGAGGUUCUGGUGGACUAGGAUGAAGAGAGAAAUUGCUCAGUAUAUUGCUAAUUGCGACGUCUGUCAUCGUGUAAAAGCAGAGCAUCAACGGCCUGCUGGCACCCUUCAACCCUUAGCUAUUCCUGAAUGGAAAUGGGAUAAAAUUGGUAUGGAUUUCAUUACCGGGUUUCCCAGGACCAAGAGAGGGAAUAAUGCUAUUUUCGUCGUGGUCGAUCGUCUCUCCGAAGUAGCUCAUUUCUUACCUGUUCGUGAGAGUAUAACCGCUAGUCAGCUGGCAGAUUUGUACAUCUCCCGAAUAGUGUCUCUACAUGGUGUUCCUUUGGAAAUUAACUCGGAUCGAGGAAGUCUUUUCACCUCUCGAUUUUGGGAAAGUUUCCAAAAUGCUAUGGGAACUCGUCUCUUCUUUAGCACCGCUUUCCACCCUCAGUCGAGUGGUCAAGUGGAACGCGUCAACCAAAUUCUAGAAGACAUGCUUCGAGCCUCUGUUAUCUCUUUCGGAAUGGACUGGGAGAAGUGCCUUCCAUUUGCCGAAUUCGCUUACAACAACAGCUAUCAAUCUAGCUUGGGUAAAGCCCCUUUUGAAGUUCUCUAUGGACGACGAUGUCGAACACCCCUUAACUGAUCAGAGACCGGGGAAAGACAAUUCUUUGGCCCGGAUAUGAUUCAGGAAGCAGAAGAACAAGUUCGUAUCGUUCGUGAAAAGUUGAAAACAGCCCAAUCUCGUCAAAAGAGUCAAUAUGACCGAAAACAUAAGGCUAUGACUUUCGAGGUUGACGAGAAGGCUUAUCUUCGGGUCACCCCUCUGAAGGGAACCCAUCGUUUCGGUAUCAAAGGCAAAUUGGCUCCUCGUUACAUUGGACCUUUUCGCAUUCUUGCCAAACGAGGAGAAGUUGCCUACCAGUUGGAACUACCUCCGCACCUCUCCAGAGUUCACGAUGUCUUCCACGUUUCUCAACUCAGGCGUUGCUUCUCGGAUCCUAUCCGUGAAGUGGACCACGAAACGCUUGAUCUCCAAGAUGAUCUUACAUAUCGAGAGUACCCCAUUCGUAUCCUCGAUCAAGCCGAACGUACCACGCGACGUCAUAAUAUCAAGUUUCUCAAGGUUCAAUGGUUGCACCAUUCUGAGGAUGAAGCAACUUGGGAAAGGGAGGAUCGUCUUCGACUCGAGUAUCCCGCCUUCUUCUCGGAGAAACCCAAAUCUCGGGACGAGAUUCUUUUGAGUGGGGGUGAGUUGUCACACCCUAGCUAGUCAUGCAUUAGAGUGUUGCAUCAUGUUUACUCUUUCAUCAGAAACUUGAAAUGGGGAUGACAGAACCCCCAGUCCCCUCUGAAACCAACUAGGGUUUACUAAAAUAAUUUUCAAUGAACCUGAAAUGCCCUUCUAAAAUGCCCAUCAUUUUUGCCUUGGUUCAGAACCUCUGUCAAAAGUGGUGCACAUUUUCCUAGGCCAUCCUAGGGUUUUUGAAUUAAGUCAUAAGUAUUUGAAUUUGGGCAUUUAAAAUUAUAUAAAAUAUUUAAAUGCUCAAAUAUCUCCAAACUAAAAUGUUUCAUGUUGGAAAUAAUCCAACUAUGGACCAGGAGUAGUUUGGUGAUUUUUGGAGUUGCCUAGGUAUUUUAUUUAAUUCAACAAAGUUGCAGAUAUAUUAAAUAAAAACAGAAAACAGAAAAAUAAAUAAAAGGAGUAGACUUACCUGGACCUACCUGCCCAGCCCAGCCGGCCCAGCACUGUGCUGGCCCGUGCCAGCCAGCUGCUUCCCCUUGCCAGAGCAGGCAGGGAGGUGAGCAUGGCGCGCCCGAGCUCGCCACGCACCACCCAGCCUCUCUGCAUCGCCCUGGUCGCCGUUGCGCCGCGUGGAUCAUCUUCUGGUCGUCGCCCCGACCUCGCCGACACCCCAUUCACUCUCCCCCGGCUCUCCCUCGCUCUCUCCCCCGCCCGACCGAACACCACCGUCGCCGCCGUUCGCCAUAGCCACCGUCUCCGACCACCCCUCGCUCCCCCGACCAGUUCAGAAGCUCCGCCACAACUCCCUCUUCCUCCCCACCGCUCCACAGCUCCCCGGAAGCCCUGCAUCGCCGCCACGUCGCCGUUCCCCUCUUCGGGCUCCGACCACCGCCCCCGUCGAAUUCGCCGUCUCCAGCGCGUCCCCGAGCCCGCUUCGACGCCCACUGCAACCGCGGUGAGCUACGCCACCGUUUCCCCCUCUCCUUCCCCUCGUUCCCUCACCGUAGCUUCCUCCCCACCACGGCCGAACCUCCGCCGUCGCCGAGCUCGCCGUCGACGCAGCUCCGGUGACCAUUUGGUCACCCCGGCGAGUCCAACGGGUUCACAGAACCCCGUAGAGCAUCCCUAGCGCCUCGCCUUGCUCGACUUCGAGCUCCAGCACCGUUCCCGUGCACGACCGAACCCCGGCGGCCGCAGCCGAGCUCGCCGCCGUCGACUCCGGCCACCCCGACCCCAACGGGCUCCGCCAAGAGCUGCGGGUUGUCCUCAGCUCCACUCAGGUGGCCUCCGCGAUCCAUUUGGUGGCCGAAACGACCAAAAUCACUUCCGCCGCCGCGUCGGGCUCGCCGGCGACUAAACGCCGGCAGCCGACACUGACUUUGACCACGGGUGGGCCCUGGUUGACUCCCCUGAGUCAAUGACAGGUGGGGCCCAGCCCUGUUAAUUAAACAGGAUUAGUUUUAAUUAAGUUUUAAUUAAAAUAAUCACCCUGACAUGCGGGACCCACUGUCAGGUUUGACCUGGACCAGUUCCGUUGACCUGCUGACGUCACACUGACGUCAGGCUGACGCAGUAAAUUAAUUUCUGGAUUUAAAUUAAAUCAGGAAAUUCCAGAAUAUUAUUUAAACUUCAAAAAUUCAUAACUUUUAUUCUGUAACUCCAAAUUGGACAAAUUAUAUAUGAAAAAUGAUCAGAAAAAUCCAAUCUAUCCAUCUGUACCAUUUUCAUGCAUGAUCAAACAAGUUAAGUUGAUGUUUUAAUCAGAACAAGAAAAGGCACUUUAAAAGGCCAUAUUUGAAUUUGAAAUCUGAAUCUUUGAUUCAAAUUUGUUCAAACCCUUCUGGUUUUUAGUUGCAUUAGCCCAACACACUCAUAUUGCCAUGUUUCAUGCAUGCAUCAUAUUGUUGCAUAUUGUUUGGUGAUGUUUGUGUAUCGAUGUCCUUUGCGACAGGAUCUGUCCCCGAGGAGUAUCGUGAUUACCCUAACGAAGAACCGUAUCCGUGCAACGAACCAUCAGGCAAGCAACCAACCAUUUGAUCAUAUCAAUACAAUCCCAUGUUCUCGCUCCUGCUCUCAUUUACUGCAUUAAGACAACGCGAUUCAAACUGCUGUGUGCUACGGUAGUUGAACCCAUUUCAUCUGCAUGACCUGUCAUUGCCACAGUAACUAGAUGAAACCCACUAGCAUGUGUAGGAGUUGAUUGAGCCAUAUGUAUGUGUUGUUCCUACCUUGCUAUGCCUGCUAUGCUUAGAGUCGUGUCAGGUCUGGUUCAUCUGGGUGAUGGGCUAGAGUGAAAUGAUUAUGUCGGUAAUGAGAGUGGUGUGGUGAACACGAUUUGGUAAAGGUAUCGAUGAGAGGCCAUGUAGGAGUACAUGGUGGGUUGUUUCAUUGAAGCCGACCUUAAGCACUGAGAUCUGUAUGUGUGAUUUAAGAUACAGCUACUACCAUGCAUUGGGCCCUGAAAUAUGACCCCGCUCGACUUCUUAUUCACCCUAGCUCUCUGUCUAGGAGUUGCAAGUAGUUUCUGGUGUUUGUAGCCUACUGGAGGCCGUGGACAGCGCUGACCGUAGGGGUGGGCUGUGAUGCGGUAGGUACGUGGCACGGUGUACCGAAUACCCGUUAGGUAUCUCGGGAACCCUGUUCACAUCGUUCGGGGCCGUAUGGGAAACCUCGGCCGGACUCCCUGCGGAUGGAACCUGAAUAGGCGAUAAACCUGGACUAGAGGCUUAAGUGUUUAGGUAGGUCGUGGUCUACACCCACGUCGGUUUUCGCUUGAAGUCUGCCGAGCACAUGUCGUGUGCAGACGCUAAGUGGUGGAAACAUGUAUGAAGAAGUACACCCCUGCAGGGUUAUCAUAAUCUAUUCGAAUAGCCGCGUCCGUGGUAAAGGACUACUUGGUUGCCUAUACAGUUCAUAGACAAGUAAAUGGAAACUACUAAAAGCCUCAAGAUAAGUGUGAGUGCCGAGGAUGGCUCUUCCGUAGGAAGACGGAGGUGAAUCCUCGGUAGUGUAUUGAAGUGGUGAGUAGUGGACUCGUGUGCGCAAAACUAUUUCAAGUUGGAGUAUCGUAGGUUAGCCUAGCCAAGAGUCAAAGCUGGCUUGCUGCAAUAACUCCACCAACCCUUCUUGAUACUAUGCAUGUAUGUAGGAUCUGAUGUAAGUCUUGCUGAGUACCUUUGUACUCAUGUUGCUAUAAUCUACAUUUUUUACAGAAGACGCUGCAACCCCUUCUGAUGGGUUCUAUGUAGACGUUGACAUCAACGAGUAGGCUAAAGACCCAGGUGGUGACCCUGAGCUUGUGAUGGACCACGUAGUAUAGCUAGGCUUUCCAAGCCUCUUUUAUUUUACUAGUUGUCUGUACCCAGACAAAGUACUUCCGCUGUUGGCUUGUAUGACUGUAUGAUUUGUAUGUUGGGUCGUGAGACCCGUACCUGUGUGUAUGAUAUGUAUGGCUCCCUGAGCCUUAAAUAAAGUACUUGUGUCAUAGAGUCAUGUUGUGAUGCUUCGUUGUAUUUGCACAUAUCGAGCAUAUUGUGUGUAUGAUUGAAAUGCUUGGUAUGUGUGGGAUCUGACUAUCUAGUUGUUUAUCUUUAGUAGCCUCUCUUACCGGGAAAUGUCUCCUAGUGUUACCGCUGAGCCAUGGUAGCUUGCUACUGCUCUGGAACACUUAGGCUGGCCGGCAUAUGUCCUUCUUCGUUCCUGUGUCUGUCCCUUCGGGGAAAUGUCACGCUUUGAGUACCGGAGUCCUGUUAGCCCGCUACAGCCCGGUUUACCGGAGUCCUGCUAGCCCAGUGCUACAGCCCGGACCCACUUGCUGAUGACCGACACGUUCGAAGCUGGGUCAUGGAUGCCUGUCCCUGUAAGUCUGUGCCACUUUGGGUUUACGACUAGUCAUGUCAGCCCGGGCUCUUUAUCAUAUGGAUGCUAGCGACACUAUCAUAUACGUGAGCCAAAAGGCGCAAACGGUCCCGGGAAAAGGUAAGACGACACCCGUGGGGAUACCGUGCGUGAGGCCGCAAAGUGAUAUGAGGUGUUACCAGCUAGAUCGAUGUGACAUCGAGUCGGGGUCCUGACAUCAAUUAUGCACAUAAAUUUUUUAUCACAUAUUUCAUCACAGAAAUAUCAAAUACUUCAACAAAAUAGUACAACAACAAAUAGUUCAAUACAAUUUAUAUAGUUGAAGAAAUAAAAACUCAUAUUCCAUCACACGUCGCGCCCGACGUCACCCUUGAGCCUCCAUAGAUGCUCUAUCAGAUCUUGCUGCACUUGAUGAUGCACCUGUGGGUCUCGGAUCUCCUGACGCAUACUGAGAUAGGCAGUCCAGGUUGCCGGUAGCUGGUGAUCAACUUCGGCUAGAUGACCCUGCCUAUAGUAUGGUUCAGUGUCAAACACUGGGUCUUCUUGCUCGUUCUCGAUGAUCAUGUUGUGCAAGAUGACACAGCAAGUCAUAAUCUCCCACAUUUGAUCUUUCGACCAGGUCUGAGCGGGGUACCGGACAACAGCAAAUCGAGAUUGGAGCAUACCAAAUGCCCUCUCGACAUCCUUCCUGUAAGCCUCCUGAACCUUCGCAAACCAGCCGUUCUUGCCUCCUGGCACAGGGUUUGAGAUCGUCUUCACAAAUGUCGACCAUCUCGGAUAGAUGCCAUCAGCUAGAUAGUACCCCUUGUUGUAGUGCCGCCCAUUGAUCUCGAAGUUCACCGGAGGAGAAUGACCUUCAACAAGCUUGGCAAAGACAGGAGAGCACUGCAGCACGUUGAUGUCAUUGUGAGUUCCUGGCAUACCAAAGAAGGAGUGACAAAUGCAGAGGUCCUGUGUGGCCACCGCCUCAAGUACCACACUGCAACCGUCUUUGGCGCCUUUGUACAUCCCCUGCCAAGCAAAUGGGCAAUUCUUCCAUUUCCAAUGCAUGCAGUCGACUCUUCCAAGCAUCCCAGGAAAUCCUCUUGCUGCAUUCUGUGCUAGGAUCCGAGAAGUGUCUUCCGCAUUGGGUGUUCUCAAGUAUUGCGGUCCAAACACGGCCACCAUUGUCCGAAAGAACUUGUAGAAACACUCUAUGCUGGUGGACUCGGCCAUGUGCCCAUAGUCGUCGAGUGAAUCACCGGGAGCUCCGUAUGCAAGCAUCCUCAUCGCUGUCGUGCACUUCUGAAUGGAGGUGAAUCCAAGGGCGCCGGUGCAAUCCAUCUUGCACUUGAAGUAGUUGUCGAACUCCCGGAUGGAAUUCACAAUCCUGAGGAAGAGCUUUCGGCUCAUCCGAUAACCGCGCCGAAAUGUUUUCUCGCCGUGAAGUGGAGCAUCGGCGAAGUAGUCGGAGUAGAGCAUGCAGUAGCCUUCGAGACGAUGCCGGUUCAUUGCUUUCACCCGCCCCGGCGCCGAGCCACCUCGCUGCGGCUUUUCAUUGCUCGCCAGCAGCUGGGCAAGGGCGGCGAGCAACAUGAGAUGCUCUUCUUCCUGGACAUCGGCCUCGGCUUCCUCCUCCAACAGCGCGGCGAGCGCUUCCUCAUCAUCCGAGUCCAUCGCCGAGGCAGGCAAAUCGCCGAACACCUUGCGCCCGGUGGGCGUGUACCCGCCGCUAAACUGCCCCUCUGCGGCCGGAAACACCCAGCUGCUGUUGGAGGGGCUGCCGCGGUGAAGCUCUGCUAUUUUUUCGGCGGGGAAUGGCUAUCUAGCGGUGAAGGGCGGCAGGCGGCGUCAGGAUAUAGCUAGUGGCGGCCGAGGGCGCGGGGGUGGGAGGCGAGUCGGGGAAGAAAACCUUAACUUUUCCCCUGCUGGUGUGGGCCAGCCGCGCUUUUCCCUUGCGCCGGGGCUCCCAAUUGCCCCUAGUGCGCCGGGUUUGGCCUGUGACCGCCGAGCGGAAAAAAGGGCCGAACCGGCAAUUUUCGGCGUCCUGGGGGCGCGAGUGGGGAAUUUUUUUGGCGCCGGCGGCGAAAAAGUGGCCUGGGGGGCCUGUUGGGGGCGCGGCCGGAGAUGCUCUAAGCAAUUCAAUGAGUUCAUGAGGGAAGAUAAAAUGACUUCUUCAAAUCAAAGGAAGAGAGUUGGAAGUUUCAAAGGAAUAAUUUGAAGACACUUUGAAGUUAUUUGAAACUCAUUUUUCCAUUUGAAGUUGUUUGAAAUUCCAAAUUUCAAAUCCUCUUGGGAGUUAUUUAGGUUUAAUUCAAAUUAUUUUUCUCCAAAAAAUAAAUAGAUGGAAAUAAGGGUAAAAUGAUUCCCUUCAAUAGAAAAUUAGGAGAAAAUAUAUUUGAAAUCAUUUUGCUAUUUUAAAAACGAUUUUUAUUGAUUUUAAAUGCAAUAGUAGCACUAUUUGACUUUUAUGAAUUUUUAUGGAAUUUAGUUGAACUUGAAAAAUAAUUCAUCUUAUUGCUGCUAUUUUUCUGAGCAUUUUGGUAUAUAAUAUUCCUACGUAAUUUUUUUAGUUAUCUUCCUAUGUUGAAGGUUUUGUUUCUGCAAAAAAAAACACGCGCCCGCCAGCCAGCCCAGGGUCUUCGGCCCAAGAGCCAGCCAGCACACCAAGCCGGCCCAGCAGCGCCCCAGGCCGCUCGAGGCCUCUUGCCUCGUUCUCCCAGGCCCCUCUUCCCUCGCUCGCUCUCUCCCACCGCCGCUGCUAGUGGGGCCCGCAACCCUUCGUCCCUAACUUCCCGCUCCUCCCGUUGAUAUAGAGCACGUUGAUAUAGAGCACGCGUGUGCCGCCCGCAACUGCCGGCUGCUCUGCUCGGGAUAGAGCUCAUCCCCAGUGUCCGCAGCCUCUUCUCGCGCCUAUAAAUUCCCCCGACUCCCCUCGUUCGAUUUUGCCACUCCGCAACGACCCACGCCACUCACAGCCGCCGCCUUCGUCGUUUGGAUCUCGCCCGUCGGAGCUACCUGGCCGGUCCGUUCCCCCGUCCGUAAGACUGCCUCGACCCGUUCUUCUUUGUCAAUUGACUCCCCGCGUCAAGGCGCAUCUGAUUGACAAAAAAUUGCCGCCUUGGUCGUACCAGAGACGACGCCCCGACGCGCCGCGCUCUCGCCGGAGCACCGGAGCUCCGCCGCCUCCCUCCGCUCGUCGCUGGCCACCCCACCGCCCGCCGACCCCACCAGCACGCCGCCCACGCCGCGCCCGACCUCCCCGACCCCUUCGUCGCCGCUGCCCACUGAGGACCGCCGGAGACGCCCCCGUGUCCGCCGUCCGCCGCCUGACGCUAGCGCUGCCGCCCCUGUUCGCCGUCCUCGCUCGCUGUGAGCCGCUGACCCUCAGUCAUUUUUGUUGUUGUUGUAUUAGAUCGGGUAACCGUGGUUUUAUUAAACCGUGCAGUUUAGUAAAAAACCGGUCUCCGGUUUUCUUUUUAUUUAGCCGCGGUAGCCGUUUUAUUUAUUCAGUGGCCGUCCGCCGUUUAGCCUGAGCCGCGAACGCUUCUCAGCCACCCGGAAGCCGCCACGUGGCCAGGGACCUGGUCACGAAUAAAACUUUCACAAUUAAGACCCUUAGAUUUCAGUUUAGCCCCUAAACUUCGAAUGGUUGUAUCUUUUUAACCGUAACUGCAAAUUCGACGAAACCAGCAGCAAAAUGUUCAUGUCCAAUAGUUUUAUCCAGAGAACCAACUUUGAAAACUUUUGGACAAAUUCAAAUUUGAACUUUAUUCAGAUUUGAAUUCAAACUUCAACUGGCCAUAUCUCUUAAACCGUAGCUCCGAUUGGUGUGAUUCUUUUUGCAACGUGUCAUCGUAGCCAAACCCUACCACCUAGACCUUGUCACAAUCUGUCUAUGAUAGUUUUACUAUUAUGCCAUGUAUGGACUUUAGUACACAUCACAGUUUUGAACCCCAUGUCACAAGUUGUUUUGCACUUAGGAUAUUUCCAUGCUAGUUAACUGUGUUGAAUAUUCAUUUGGUUUUUCUGAGACUUUGUGCUUUGCAUGUUCUUCUUGGUUCUCUGAAACGAUUGCUUAUGUGAGUGCAAUGUUUGACUUUAUAGAUUUUCAUCGGAGAGUGAAGAAUAGUUCUAUUAAAUAAAUUUCUGAGAGCGAUAUAAUCUUCAUCAACUAUUACCAGGCAAGUUCACAUUUGACCAUUUUUCCAAUUACCUAUGUUUAUAUUAUGCACUUAGUCCUUUUGUGGUAGGAUUGCAUGGUAGGAUUUAUUGUUACCAGAUGGCUAUGCCGUUACCUAGUAGUUCAUUUAAGGUAGGUAUGAUCUAUACAUCCUUGUCACCACCGUGUAAGUUUAUUUUUGCCUCACUAAAUGUAGACGUGGUUUGGGAAGCGAACAUGGCGAGACAUGAGUGACAAAGUAGUAAUCAGGACCAAGACUUGUAAAUGAACUACCUGGGCGGUAUUUUGUUUGAAUGGUGGCGAAGUACAGUGGGAGCAUGCAUGGUUAAUCCAUGGUGGUGCACCACUAGUGGUUGGCCGCUUAGGCUCAAAGAGAUCAAUAGUAUUCUCAUGUCUAGAAGCUUAAGUGUGCAGCCACAAACCAAUAUGGGCUCUAGCUUAGUUGAGUAGUUAGUGUGACCCAUUCCGGGAUGGGCUAGCAGAUGUAGAAUGAUGUAGGUGUACCGGCCUAUCCAUGGGUUAAGGGGUGACAUUUUUGAAAGAGUAUGUCUCGGUCAUCCUGUUCUCAAACGCCAGGCAGUGCGAGAACUCCAGGGGAGGCGAUCGAGUCUUGUGGGGAAAAGUGCGCAAACCUCUGUAGAGUGUUUUUUUUGAACUUGACAGUGGGAGAGAACUCCCACUGUAUAUUUUCACAUAUCUAUAUAAAUGGGGUGUUUACAUAGACAUACCACUCACACACAUCCAGCUCCACUCUUGGUGGAACCACCAGGGGUGGGGCAACUACACCAUGGUCACUGCUAUACACUUGUCUCUAAGUAUUUAAAGAGGGAAGAAUAAAACACAGUAUGUCUCAGCUAAGUGUGCCACAGUAUGAAAGCAGGGCAGCUCUACGUGUACCCUGAACUCUAUGUUGCAGAAGUCCCAAGUCCUCUUUGAAUCGAUGGAACCAAGAUGCAAUGCUUGGGGUUACACCUCUGAAGUGUUUAUUGUUUCUUUCCUUCCACAAACUCCAGGUAGUAGUGAAAAAUGCUUCAAUGAAGAAAGGAUUGGGCCAGUUGGGUUGUGCGUUUUGCAACGCAUCAAACCUAUUUUGAAAAUCAAUCCAGUGAACACCUAUCUUGGCCCAACACCUUUCGCUGAACUGGCAGGUGAAGAUCAUAUGCUCGAGAGUCUCAUCUGCAUUUUGCCCACAAAGGAGACAUGUGAUGUCAUUCCCAAUGUCAUAGUGUCUUCUUCUCAGCAUGUCACAUGUGUUCAACCUGUCGUGCAGCAACAACCAUCCAAAUACUUUGAUUUUCAUCAUACAGUUUGAUUUCCAAAGGAGCGGGAAGAUGGGAUGAGCUGUUGCAUCACGGGAGAAGUUGUUAUAGUAGUCUUUUGGCUUGUACCCAGCUGCCCCCCAAGCAUAGAGCCAAACAUCAGAUAUUGUUGUGGAUGGGUGUAUGCGGAAUGCUGCAUGUUGGACAUCUUGCACCUCGUUGAGCGCACGAGCAGAUAGCGGUAGGUGAAAGGUUUCAUGCAGUUCAGUGUUGGCCCAGAAGUCAGCGACCGUCAUGUCUUCCUGCAGAGCAAAUGAAAAGGCACGCGGGUGCGAUGUUUGUAGCACAUCAUUUGACCACAAGUCUUUCCAGAGCAGCGUAGUCGAGCCAUCAACUACUUGGACACGAGUGAUCCCUCGGUAGAUGGGCGUUAAUUUGAGAAUGUCUUUCCACCAGAAAGAACCGACUAGAUCAACCGCAUGAGGCACCUGGUUAGCAUACUGAUUAUCCCAAAGCAUAGUAACCCAUGGUACGUCCAGUUUGUUAUAGAACUUGUGGAGAAAUUUUAGCAGGAGGGCUUCGUUGUAGAUUGUAAUGUUGAUCACUCCUAACCCACAUUUACACUUGGGCUUGCACACUAGUUCCCAAGCCGCAAGCGAAUUACAUUUGUCACCUUGGUCGGUUUUCUUUGUCCAGAGACAUCUCCUUCUAAUCUUGUCAAGAAUUUCAAUUAGAUUCGGAGGGAACUUGAGCGUGCACAUGGCAAACACCAGAAGGGAUGUGACCGAUGCAUUGAGCCAGGAGAGGCGGCCCCCAUAGGACAUCAUAGCGAUCGUGGCAGUGAGACGAUGCUCCAUUUUGCAAACUAGAGGCAUGAAUUCUUGAAUGGUUGGUCUUGUAGUGCCAAGUGGCAGGCCAAGGUAGGUGAAAGGCAUUGUACCUAUAGUGCAGCCAAAAAUGGCAGCAAGGCUAGAGGUUGCACUUGCGUCCAGGUUGAUUGGUAUGAGCGUCGACUUGUGAAAGUUAAUUUUGAGGCCAAUAGAGGAUGCAUAGUCAGAGAGAAUGUUCUUGACACGGGCAGCCUGUUGUGGGCAAGCAGGCAAGACAAGGAGGGUGUCGUCCGCAUAUUGGAUCACUGGGUAAUCAUUUUGCCCAUUGCAUGGAAAAGGCAGGCUGAUAUCUCCACGUCGAUAAGCAUCAUUGCCGUGGCUUGAAGUAGUUCAGCUGCCAGGACGAAAAUGAGGGGGGACAGAGGAUCACCUUGCCGCACACCGCAUCGACAAAGGAACUGUCGGCCUGGGACCCCAUUAAGAAGUUUGGACGAGCGACCCGAGGAGAAGAGGCACUUGAUCCAGGAGAUCCACUUGUCACUGAAACCCAUCUGCUGCAUAAUGCAAAUCAUUGGUUCAUGCGUGAUGGUAUCGAAUGCUUUGGCGAAAUCAAGUUUAAGAAUAAUGAUUGGCCGGCCCAAGUUUUGACAGUGAUAAAGAUAUUGAUAAUCUCAUGCCAGACAAUUCUGUAUAGUAUGCCCUUUAAUGAACCCAUACUGAUUCCGGUGAAUGAGGGUGAGAAUGACAAGUUGAAGUCUGUCUGCUAGCAGUUUGGUAAUCAACUUGAGGCAGCAGUUGAGCAAUGUAAUGAGUCUGAAAUCAUUGACUGUUUCUGGAGAGUUAGUCUUAGGUAUAAGUGUGAUAAGACCAUCAUUGAUACUUGUGACAUCUAACGUACCUGCAUAGAACUGAUCACAUAGGGUGUAAAAGUCAUGUCGAAUGAUGGGCCAGCAGGCUUUCAAAAACGCCCCACUAAAGCCAUCUGGGCCAGGUGCGUGGUCCGGAGGCAUACCUUUGACCACAUUAUCGAUUUCCUCAUGUGAAAAAGGCGUGGUAAGUUGGUCAAGAUUUGUAGCGCGGGGGAUAAUGUUUGGAAGAUCAAAUUUCAUGUCUGAAGGGGAGACCGUACCCAGGCGGUUUUUGUAAGUUUGAAACAAGAGGGCCUCUUUUGCAGGAUGAUUGUCGACCAAUGUGCCAUCCUCAAGCUUGAGUGAGGAGAUAUUGUUUUGUCGAUAACGUUCCCUGGCCACUGCUUGGAAAAACUUGGAGUUUUCAUCGCCAAACUUGAUCCAACGAAUAGUACAACGCUUCUUCCAAUAAAGUUUUUGAUAUUUGAGCAGUCUCAGCAAGUGUGACUUUAGGAUACGUUUGAAGUUCAUUUUUGGAAUUGAAAGGAUUCGUUUAUUCUGCCAGGACAUGGUUACAGUUCGUGAUGGCCACUAAUAGACGAGAAAUAUUCUUACUCCAGAUUUUGAGAGUGUGUCGAAGAGCUUUGAAUUUUCAGCAAAGGAUUGUGGCAGCAUUUGCGUUCCAAACUGGCCAUUCCCAAACCUCUCUAACUAUGUCCAUAAACCCUGGGUGUAAGGUCCAGUAGGAUUCAAAACGAAAGAGCUUGGAUCGGGGGAUUUUGGUCUCUAUGGUGACAACGCAAGGGAUGUGAUCAGAAACGGGCUUGCCAAGGGGUUUAACGAGCAUCUUAGGAUAUGCGUUACUCCAAUGCAAGGAUGUGGAGAACCAGUCAAUCUGUUCAAGCAAAGGAUCGGUCUGCAUAUUGCUCCAAGUGUAGGUUCUACCUUUUACCGGAAGCUCAAUCAGUUGCUGCUGACGAAUGAUGUCAUUGAACGUAAUCAUGUCGUGAAUGUUACCCCCAGGUUUAUUAUGAUUGUCUGGAGCUCUCAUGUAGUUAAAGUCGCCCAAAAGUAACCAGUCUUGGUUACGGGGUAUUUGAACAUCGUACAACCAUUGCGUGAAAACAUCCCUGUCUGUACCAGUGCAAGGCCCGUACACGUUAACUAACGUCCAAUGUUGAGAGGAUUGCGUGCUAACGAACUCGAUGGCUAGCGCAAAUGGAUCAGACGAGAGUACUGAACCAGAGAAAACCGAGCUUUUCCAGAUUGUAAGUAACCCCCAGAGGCGCCGCGCGAAGGGACAAAAGCAAAACGAUCAAAUUGUCUAGGACAGCAAGUUUUAAUAGAAGCAAAAGUAACCUCAGGCAUCUUAGUCUCCUAAGGACAAGCGAUAGCAAAACCACUGGUAGAGAUAGCAUUAUUCAGAGCCAGUCGCUUCUUCUCAGAAUUGAGCCCACGGAUAUUCCAUGAGAGCACAUUCCAGCAGCUCAACGACGUCAUAUAGAACUCCAAUAUUAAGCAGAGGUGUGAGAGAGAUCCUCUCCCUGGUCAUCACUAUUAAUCGAAGAGGCAAAAGAUUCGGGCACGGCAGCAGUUUCAGCAAGCAGGGCUUCUUUAGAAAGUUCAGUAGCAGGUAUAGCACAUCUGUUAACUCCAAUGGAUUGUAGAGUAACUAUAGGAGUUGGGGGCGGGACCUCACCAGCAGAAGUAGCAGCAGAUGCUGAUGUGCCAAUAGACGGGAUGACACGGGGCUUAACUUUGGAAUUGUUCUUGCGACUGUCAGAGAGGGGAGGAACCUUGACCCCAUCAUACGUGUUGGAGCGGAGACUGCGGCGCACUUCAGUUGUGGAGAUAGGGGCAGCAGCCCUGGUCCUACGGGGGCGCGGGCCAGUGGUGGCCAUAGAAGCAGUUGCCUCUGAGAUCACAGAAGGUUCUGAAGGUGGAAUGUGCACAACUUGUUCUGUGUCCAUUGGGGCGUCUUCAGUGUUGGGCGGCAUGGCGGGCUCAAUGGCGUUUUCCACACUAGCAUGUUCAGAUAGGUCCUCAAUGAUCACAGCGGAGGCAGCCAAAGCAGAAGUAGAGCUUGAUUGCUGGGAAAAGGUCAGACUAGUAGAAUCCUGUGUGAUCAAGACAGACAACUGAACCUGGUUUGUUCUCAGACCAAACCCCUCUAUCCAAGGUCCAAAAGUUGCAAGCAUUGGGCUAACAGCUUGGAAGAUGAAUGUGUUAAGAUUCAGGCGUGGGAUUGGGUCAUUCAGCAGCCUGGAAAGGAUCUCAUCUCCUUGAGCAGAUAAACCAAAUCUGACACCUUGAUCAUUGAUCUCCAGUGUGAUGUUAAGAGAUUCAAAGCUUGCACUGUCAGACAGCUGUAUAGCUGGAUCAGCCGGGAUGAGAAUGUCAGACUGGGUCAAGCUUGAACUGUCAAACUGGGUGAUCGAAUCAUUCCAAGCUUGGAGAGCAUUAUCAGUGACAUUGUUUUCAGGGACUAACCCAUGUUGCACAGUCAGACCCUGCGCAGCAAGCCAGGCUUGUUAGUUCACCAAAUGGAGCGGCAUUUGCGGGAGUGGAGGAGCAGCGGGCGCCUCCCAAGUGCCCCAUCCAGUGUUGUCAUCCACUUGUUGAGCCUCAUUGUUGCCAGCUGCGGGUGCACCAUUCUGAAUGAGCCAAUUGUGAACUUGCUGCUGAUAUAACUGUUCUGCAGUGAGUUCAGGGCCAAACUGUGGAUGUGGGUUGCCAUCGGGGGGUGGCAUUUCCUCAGGUGCAGCAGGUACAUCAGGGAGGAGGCCAUUCCAGUCGUUGCUGCGACGGAUGGUCACUACUACUGUCCAACUGUCGUGCGCACCACCCAGCUGCCAUACCACAAAGCUCUUGGGGAUGAGGCGCAGACUAAGUACUCUGACUUUUAGAAGGAUGAAUCUGCGGUCCUGACGCGGAUUAUACCAGGAAACUAAGGAACCAUAUCCACCCAAGGCCUUAGUGAUGUAAUAGUCCAUUUGGUAGUCAUACGGAAAGCCGAAGAACAUAAUCCAAAUCUCAGGCCCAAACGGUGCAGCUCUACGAUUAAGAGCCGCAUUGUGCGAAACGAAGGUGAUCAACAGAUCUUCAUCUUCAAGCUCAAGCGGUGUGUUGACAGCAUUAUCUCUCAUAAAGGAAUCCACAAAACCAAAAAUCCCAACACCAAGGGGGUGAUCCGAUGGCGGACGGUGGCCCGGCGAUGCAGGGGCAGAUACUCACUGGCUUCUGCAAUGGCCAGGAACUCAUGGCUGAGUGGAGCAAUCGGGCCAACGACCAUGCCGCUGCGCACAAGACUAUCGGCCGGCCCUGGCUCAGCGGCAAAACCCGGCGGGAGGAAAGGCACAGGGUUCAGUGGGUAGUUCGCCAUUGUGGUGGAAGGGAUCAGAGGGGAGGACGGUGGUGCGGAGAUGGGAUGCAACUGCAAUGGCGCAAGCUGCAGCAAAGCGUCAGACUGUGGCGAUGGGACUGGACGGGAUGUGGCCCAUUGGGUUCUCGAGGCGGAAGCUGAAGCGUGAAUGGGGGCGGUAGAAGGCAAAGUUGCCUUUGCAACCUCUGUAGAGUGUUAAAACCUAAUCGAUUAACCAUGUCCCCGGUUACGGACAACUUGAGCAUCUAGUAGUGGAAAUGAUGGGAGAUCUCAUCACUCUUAAUUAAACAGUUGGUUUUUAAAUGAAACAUUGGGAAUGGAUUGAGUUGGGUUUGCCAACUCAUCCUAUGCUAUACUGUAGUGAUAGACUAAUGUCUUUUAUUCUAGGGAAAAACUAGCUUUAUGCAAAAACUAAACUUAGAGUUUUCCACCAGCCAAAUUGCAUGUACAAAUAGGUUCAUUAUUCUUAUGAUGUGACUUGCCAGUACAUUCAAUGUACUGACCUAUAGGGCUGCAACGUCUUAUGUUGCAGGAAUUUCUACGACGAGUAAGAAUUAUGUUGUAGGGUUAUCGUCUACACUCAACUUGCCGUUGGCGUUGAUGGGACUCCACACCCGUUCGAUUGUUUCCACUGAGAUUUAUGAGGUAUAUAUCAGUUUUGCGUUAUUUAUACAUUUGAUUGAACUUUGAUAUAUACAUUGAUGUACUGUGUGUGCCAGCAUAUCAAUCCAGGGAUGGCCCGGAUACACAGAGGCUUGACAGUUUGAGCUCGGGUCGCUACAGAGAUGGUAUCAGAGCACAUGUUGACUAUAGGACGUGACCCUAGAAACUGGAAAGCCCUUAGGAAAAGAUUUCUCUAAAAGUUUAUUUUCAAAAAGAUCCUUUACCUCUCUUCAUUUCUGAGCUUUAUCAAAUCUUUCCUUUUACCCCAAAUAGGUAGGCAAUAUCCCUUUUCCCUUUCACCACGCGGAGGAUCAACUGAUGAGACCACUCCGAGAAGGGCAAGAUAUCGGCCAACUGAUGGCCACUUCAAAGUAAAGAGGAUUUCAUCAUGCAUUAGAACAGUUAAUGCUACGACAGUCGAAGACUCGAAGAAUUUGAAGACACUGAAGAAUUCCAAGAUUUAUAUGACCUUUAGAAGACCAAACCCUUGUUGUGUACUCACGUUAGAUGCGAUGAUUUGUGAGCUGUCAUAUUUGGUGUGUGUUUUCCAUUGCAACAAAUAAAACUUAUUUUCAAAAACUAUAUUGUUUGUAUUGUGUGUAUCUUUCUCUAUCCCUCUUAUCUCAUCCCAAAACCCUUGGACCCAAUAGAUGAUGAAUGAAGAUGGACUUGUAUUCUCUGGACCGAUCACUCGGUUAGAGGAAGAGCUAUGGAUUCAAAACAUGGAGAGUCACUUCGAGAGCAAUUUGGUUGCAAGGAAGUAUGAGGUUCAAUAUGCUCUUUAAUACUUUACAAAAAGUGCUACAACAUGGUGGAAAAUGCAUCAAGCCAUACAAGGAUGUAAUGGAGCAAAAACUUGGGAGGAAUUGAAGAAGACUCUGUUGGGAUCCCGUCUUAUCCGGAAGCACGGUGAUAAACUGAUGAAGAAACCUUGUGCCUGCAAGAUAUGUGGAGAAAUAGGACACACCCAUGAAGAACACAAGGAUGGAUGCCCUCAUUAUGAAGGAAAUCACCCAGCAGAAGAGUGCCCAACUAGGCAGGUUACUUGUUUCUUGUGUGAAGGAACUACGCACUACCCUGCCCAGUGUCAUAUUUACCCCAGGGUACAAGAAAUUACCAAGAACCAGAAGGAAGAAGUGAAAGAAGCCCUCAGGGAAAGUUUAAGAAAACUGGUGAUGAAAGAAGAUGUUGACGACCCUGAUGGAGAAAGCCUAAACAGAUUUUACUCCAAUGCUUGCUAUGCAUGUGGAGAAGAAGGACAUUUCUCACAAUAUUGCGUGAAGGAAAACCAAGAGUAUCUGGGAGACUUCCCGAUAGAAGAAGUGGGGUUUGAUCGACAAGAGAUAGAAGAAUUGAUCGGAACGAAGAAGUCGAGGAAGAGAAAGAGCAUGUAUCCCCAGAACAACCCAGUUUCUGCAGAAAAGGACCUGAGUCAUAUCACUUGUUACAGCUGCAAGGAUUUAGCUCAUUAUUCUAGCAAAUGCCCACCAAGGAAGCCAAGAACCCAAGGAACCAAGAUAACCACCAGGAACCCCUGGAUUUGUCUGACGCCAUUUGUUUACGCUGCAAAGGAGUAGGACAUUUUGUCAGAGAAUGUUCAGACCCGAGGAAAGCUUGAGCAGAGUAGUUGAGAUCUUGAUAUUGGAAUAAAGCAUGUAAUAAAUGUGGAACGCACUUUUAUUUUCGUGGGGGGUGUUGAUACGUCUCCAACGUAUCUAUAAUUUUUGAUUGCUCCAUGCUAUAUUAUCUACUGUUUUGGACUAUAUUGGGCUUUAUUUUCCACUUUUAUAUUAUUUUUGGGACUAACCUAUUAACCGGAGGCCCAGCCCAGAAUUACUGUUUUUUUGCCUAUUUCAGUGUUUUGGAUAAACGGAAUAUCAAACGGAGUCCAAACGGAAUAAAAUCUUCGGGAACGUGAUUUUCUCACCGAACGUGAUCCAUGAGACUUGGACCUUGCUCUAAGGAACAAAAGAGGCGGUCACGAGGGUGGGGGGUGCCCCCCCUAGGGCGCGCCCCCCUGCCUCGUGGGCCCCUCGUUGCUCCUCCGGCGUACUUCUUCCUCCUAUAUAUACACAUGUACCCCCAAACGAUCAGAAGAGGAGCCAAAAACCUAAUUCCACCGCCGCAACUUUCUGUAUCAGAAGAGAUCCCAUCUUGGGGCCUGUUCCGGAGCUCUGCCAGAAGAUGGCCGUCAUCACGGAGGGCUUCUACAUCCUCCUAGCCCCUCCGAUGAAGUGUGAGUUGUUUACCUCAGACCUUCGGGUCCAUAGUUAGUAGCUAGAUGGCUUCUUCUCUCUCUUUGAAUCUCAAUACAAAGUUCUCCCCCUCUCUUGUGGAGAUCUAUUCGAUGUAAUCUUCUUUUCGCGGUGUGUUUGUUGAGACCGAUGAAUUGUGGGUUUAUGAUCAAGUCUAUCUAUGAAUAAUAUUUGAAUCUUCUCUGAAUUCUUUUAUGUAUGAUUGGUUAUCUAUGCAACUCUAUUCGAAUUGUCCGUUUGGUUUGGCCAACUAGAUUGGUAGUUCUUGCCAUGGGAGAAGUGCUUAGCUUUGGGUUCGAUCUUGCGGUGUCCUUACCUAGUGACAGAAGGGGCAGCAAGGCACGUAUUGUAUCGUUGCCAUCGAGGAUAACAAGAUGGGGUUUAUUUCAUAUUGCAUGAAUUUAUCUCUCUACAUCAUGUCAUCUUGCUUAAGGCGUUACUCUGUUUUUAACUUAAUACUCUAGAUGCAUGCUGGAUAGCGGUCGAUGAGUGGAGUAAUAGUAGUAGAUGCAGAAUCGUUUCGAUCUACAUGUCACGGACGUGAUGCCUAUAUACAUGAUCAUGCCUAGAUAUUCUCAUAACUAUGCUCAAUUCUGUCAAUUGCUCAAUAGUAAUUUGUUCACCCACCGUAGAAUACUUAUGCUCUUGAGAGAAGCCACUAGUGAAACCUAUGGCCCCCGGGUCUAUUCUCAUCAUAUCAAUCUCCAUCACUUUAAAUCUUGCUUUGUUUUUACUUUGCUUUUACUUUUUAAUUUGCAUCUUUAUACCAAAAAUACCAAAAAUAUUAUAUCUAUCAGAUCUCAUUCUCGUAAGUGACCGUGAAGGGCUUGACAACCCCUAAUCGCGUUGGUUGCGAGUAGCUAUCGCUUUGUGCAGGUACGAGGGACUUGAGCGUGGGCUCCUACUGGAUUGAUACCUUGGUUCUCAAAAACUGAGGGAAAUACUUACGCUACUCUGCUGCAUCAUCCCUUCGUCUUCGGGGAAAACCAACGCUAGCUCAAGAUGUAGCAGGUGUUGAGUUGAGUUACCGAAUGGAAAUUGUAAUAGCUCAUGAAGAAAUAAAAAUUGAGUUGUUUGGAAUCUCAUAUGAAAUGUUAUGAGUUGUUUUUUGAUUGUGAGUGCCUUUCUCACUAUGUCACCCAGACAUAAACCUUGAACCCAUGGACAAGCUGACCCCAAAACCUUCACUAAAAAAACGACAUUUCACCCAAGGAAAUACAUGCAUUAUCCUAAGUACCCCUUCUAUCUUAUACCUGCAGAUGGCAACCCUUUACGAGUCUUUUCUCAAGGGCCCAGAAACGAUCAUGACCCUAACUAGUGAUCAGGAUUACCCAAAGAUCCUCAAGGACAUGAUGAAGCAUAUUCAUCUUGAAGGAGAUGCAGUCUACAAGGGUUAUCCUUUCAUGGAGAAUGGAGUUGAACUUUGGUACGUGGAGGUACACCUCCAUCGUGUGAAGGGAGUUUUCCCAAAGAGUAUGGGGCAAUACUUUUUCAUUUCUCGAGUACCCCGAGCAACAUUCUUCGACUCUGUUCGUGAAACUGCUAUGGAAGCCAUACGUCAGAUAGGAGAAAUACUUGAAGCCAGACUUCGUUAUACUCAGGAAUACCCGAGGGAGGUGCAUGCAAAGAUGAUGGAGAUGAAGCUCAUGGCCACCAUGAUGAAGCAAAAGGUCGAUGAUUUCAAGGACCACAUUGUACAAUUCCAGUGGGACUAAAUUAUCUUCAAGAAGGGCAAAUGAAUAAAGAUGGAAGUAAUGCUUGACCAUAGCAAACUAUGUGGAUGGCAGCUUUUUGUAAUAGAGUACUUUUGAAAUUUGAGUUUUGAGUAGUGGUUAAGGAUGUAAUAAAGGAUUUGAUAUGAAGAGAAUUAUGGAUGAACCAGUGCAUUUUUUGGCGAUACCUGUCUGUGCGAACACUUGACCAAUGGAAAAGGAAAUGUAUUCCAUAGAGUGAAGUUUGGACAAAUGAGUUGGAGUUUGGUUUUAGUUAUGAUGGUUACCCCAAGAGUAUGAAGGAAUGAAGUACUAUUGGAUUUAAAGGAGAUGUAAUGUUGGAAUAUGGAACAAUAGUAACUCCAAGGAUGAGUUAAAGAUAUACAAGUGUUGAAGUGGGCCAUAACCCACAGGACCCAGGAUUUGAUAAGGAAACAAGCACAAUCUUGUUGAAGAAAAUAAUUCUGAAAGAAGCCAUGAUUUCAUCAGCAUACGUUUCAUAGGAGGUUACAUAAACCCAGGAGUUGUGAAUAAACGAUAGAGGUUUUCUUUGGCUUGCAGAACCAAUGGAUUUAUCCGAACCCAGUUCGUGGAGAAGAGAAGUUUUGCAAUGCUUGUGAGGAUGCCCAAGGGCUAGAAUGCGUGAUUCACUAUCUACGUAUGUGGUAAUGAUUCAAGUACGACAUGGAUUGGCCCCCAUACCGGAGACUUCUAUCAUGAGCUAUCAUAUGAUUGAUAGAAAAUCAGAGAGCCUUAAAACCCUAGAAGAGUGUCGACACGACAAGCCAAAAGCCUUAGAAUGGCAGGAUGAUGGAAACCCUGUACAGGCACCUAUUGCCUACCGUAGGUUAUGCGGUGAGGUUCAACCCAGACCCAUUUCCUGUAGGAGGAACCAGAAAUUGUCGACCACCAUCAGGUUUUCGAUAGUUGUUUAGCAUUGGCGCCAGACCUGUCAAGUCUCAGAAGGAUCCUAUUUUGAUGCAAGGAAUCCUGAUAUUGAGGAAAAGGCCAUGCCCUUACCAGAAGAGCAAAAGUGAAGGGGUUAUCUCAGAGAAUAUGAGAAGACCGACACCGUCAACGCAAAGGAUGGAGUUCAUGAGUUUUAUUGGAACUGUAACCAUGCUUCUAAGGGUGGUAGCACCCCAUUCCUUGUGUUGAUGAAUGGAUUUUCAAGGAGAACCCCCAAACCUAACAUUCUUUCUAGCCUCUUCGAAUCUCGAGGACGAUAUUCAUUUUAAGGGUGGUAGUUUGUAACAUCCCAAAAUUCUAAAUUCUGGAAUGUUAUGUUAAAUAAUUAAUUAUGAUUGUUUGUUUGUUGUGUGAUUGAUUGUGUGAAAAUGAUUGGAAAUUGAAAACUUUUUGAAAGUAGAAUGAGAGGGAAUAAAAGGACUUUCCCGAAACUUUUCAUCUUGCAUUUUGAUCUUCCUGAAUUCAAAUUCAUUUCAUCAUAAAACCCUAGAGUGAAGAUAAUAUGACUUCUUCCAUUUAAAGAAAUGAAAAAAGGGGUUUGAAAAUGAUUUGAAUUCCAUUUGAAAAAUUUUAAAUUUUGAAACUUUAAGCAACUCAAUGAGUACAUGAGGGAAGAUAAAAUGACUUCUUCAGAUCGAUGGAAGAGAGUUGGAAGUUUCAAAGGAAUAAUUUGAAGUCACUUUGAAGUUAUUUGAAACUCAUUUUUCCAUUUGAAGUUGUUUGAAAUUCCAAAUUUCUAAUCCUCUUGGGAGUUAUUUAGUUUUAAUUCAAAUUAUUUUUCCCCUAAAAAUAAAUAGAUGGGAAUAAGGGUAAAUUGAUUCCCUUCAAUAGAAAAUUAGGAGAAAUAUAUCUGAAAUCAUUUUGCUAUUUUAAAAAUGAUUUUUAUUGAUUUUAAAUGCAAUAGUAGCACUGUUUGAAUUUUAUGAAUUUUUAUGGAAUUUAGUUGAACUUGAAAAAUAAUUCAUCUUAUUGCUACUAUUUUUCUGAGCAUUUUGGUAUAUAAUAUUCCUACGUAAAUUUUUUAGUUAUUUUCCUAUGUUGAAGUUUUUGUUUCUGCAAAAAAAAACAUGCGCCCGCCAGCCGGCCCAGGGCCUUCGGCCCAAGAGCCAGCCAGCGUACCGAGCCGGCCCAGCAGCGCCCCAGGCCGCCCGAGGCCUUACGCCUCGCUCGCGCGCGCCCCUCUUCCCUCGCUCGCUCUCUCCCACUACCGCUGCCAGUGGGGCCCGCAACCCUCCGUCCCUAACCUCCCGCUCCUCCCCUUCAGAUAGGGCACGCGCGUGCUGCCCGCAACUGCCGGCAGCUCCGCUCGGGAUAGAGCUCAUCCGCAGUCUCCGCAGCCUCUUCUUGAGCCUAUAAAUUCCCCCGACUCCCCUCGUUCGAUUCUGCCAUUCCGCAACGAUCCACGCCGCUCACAGCCGCCGCCUUCGUCGUUUGGAUCUUGCCCGCCGGAGCUACCUCGCCGGUCCGUUCCAUCGUCCGUAAGACUUCCUCGACCCCGUUCUUCUUUGUCAAUUGACUCCCCGCGUCGAGGCGCAUCUGAUUGACAAAAAUUUGCCGCCUAGGUCGUACCAGAGACGUCGCCCCGACGCGCCGUGCUCUUGCCGAAGCACCGGAGCUCCGCCGCCACCCUCCGCUCGUCGCUGGCCACCCCACCGCCCGCCGACCCCACCAGCACCCCGCCCACGCCGCGCCUGACCUCCCCGACCCCUUCGUCGCCGCUGAGGACCACCAGAGACGCCGCCCUGUCCGCCGUCCGCCGCCUGACGCCAACGGCACCGCACCUGUUCGCCGUCCUCGCUCGCUAUGAGCCGCUGAUCCUCGCUCAUUUUUUGUUGUUGUUGUUGUAUUAGAUCGGGUAACCGUGGUUUUAUUAAACCGUGCGGUUUAGUAAAAAACCGGUCUCCGGUUGUCUUUUUAUUUAGCCACGGUAGCCGUUUUAUUUAUUCAGUGGCCGUCCGCCGUUUAGCCUGAGCCGCGAACGCUGCUCAGCCACCCGGAAGCCGCCACGUGGCCAGGGACCUAGUCGUGAAUAAAACUUUCAUAGUCAAGUCCCUGAGUUUUCAAUUUAGCCCCUCAACUUCGAAUGGUUGUAUCUUUUUAACCGUAGCUCCAAAUUCGACGAAACCAGUGGCAAGAUGUUCGCCUCGAUUAGUUUUAUCCAGAGAACCAACUUUGAAAACUUUUGGCCAAAUUCAAAUUUGAAAUUUAUUCAGAUUUGAAUUCAAACUUCAACUGGCCAUAUCUCUUAAACCGUAGCUCCGAUUGGUGUGAUUCUUUUUGCAACGUGUCAUCAUAGCCAAACCCUACCACCUGGACCUUGUCACAAUACUUUUCACACAACUAGAAUCUGUCUAUGAUAGUUUUACUAUUAUGCCAUGCAUGCACUUUAGUACACAUCAUAGUUUUGAACCCCAUGUCACAAGUUGUUUUGCACUUAGGAUAUUUCCAUGCUAGUUAACUGUGUUGAAUGUUCAUUUGGUUUUUCUGAGACUUUGUGCUUUGCAUGUUCUUCUUGGUUCUCUGAAACGAUUGUUGAGAGUGACGAAUAGUUCUAUGAAGUAAAUUUCUGAGAGUGGUAUAAUCUUCAUCAACUAUUACCAGGCAAGUUCACAUUUGACCAUUUUUCCAAUUACCUAUGUUUAUAUUAUGCACUUAGUCCUUUUGUGGUAGGAUUGCAUGGUAGGAUUUAUUGUUACCAGAUGGCUAUGCCGUUACCUAGUAGUUCAUUUGAGGUAGGUAUGAUCUAUACAUCCUUGUCACCACCGUGUAAGUUUAUUUUUGCCUCGCUAAAUGUAGACGUGGUUUGGGAAGCGAACAUGGCGAGACAUGAGUGACAAACUAGUAAUCAAGACCAAGACUUGUAAAUGAACUACCUGGGCGGUAUUUGAUUUGAAUGGUGGUGAAGUACAGUGGGAGCAUGCAUGGUUAAUCCAUGGUGGUGCACCACUAGUGGUUGGCCGCUCAGGCUCAAAGAGAUGAAUCGUAUUCUCAUGUCUAGAAGCUUAUGUGUGCAGCCACAAGCCAAUAUGGGCUCUGGCUUAGUUGAGUAGUUAGUGUGACCCCUUCCGGGAUGGGCUAGCAGAUGUAGAAUGAUGUAGGUGUACCGGCCUAUCCAUGGGUUAAGGGGUGACAUUUUUGAAAGAGUAUGUCUCGGUCAUCCUGUUCUCAAACGCCAGGCAGUGCGAGAACUCCAGGGGAGGCGAUCGAGUCUUGUGGGGAAAAGUGCGCAAACCUCUGUAGAGUGUUUUUUUUGAACUUGACAGUGGGAGAGAACUCCCACUGUAUAUUUUCACAUAUCUAUAUAAAUGGGGUGUUUACAUAGACAUACCACUCACACACAUCCAGCUCCACUCUUGGUGGAACCACCAGGGGUGGGGCAACUACACCAUGGUCACUGCUAUACACUUGUCUCUAAGUAUUUAAAGAGGGAAGAAUAAAACACAGUAUGUCUCAGCUAAGUGUGCCACAAUAUGAAAGCAGGGCAGCUCUACGUGUACCCUGAACUCUAUGUUGCAGAAGUCCCAAGUUCUCUUUGAAUCGAUGGAACCAAGAUGCAAUGCUUGGGGUUACACCUCUGAAGUGUUUAUUGUUUCUUUCCUUCCACAAACUCCAGGUAGUAGUGAAAAAUGCUUCAAUGAAGAAAGGAUUGGGCCAGUUGGGUUGUGCGUUUUGCAACGCAUCAAACCUAUUUUGAAAAUCAAUCCAGUGAACACCUAUCUUGGCCCAACACCUUUCGCUGAACUGGCAGGUGAAGAUCAUAUGCUCGAGAGUCUCAUCUGCAUUUUGCCCACAAAGGAGACAUGUGAUGUCAUUCCCAAUGUCAUAGUGUCUUCUUCUCAGCAUGUCACAUGUGUUCAACCUGUCGUGCAGUAGCAACCAUCCAAAUACUUUGAUUUUCAUCAUACAGUUUGAUUUCCAAAGGAGCGGGAAGAUGGGAUGAGCUGUUGCAUCACGGGAGAAGUUGUUAUAGUAGUCUUUUGGCUUGUACCCAGCUGUCCCCCAAGCAUAGAGCCAAACAUCAGAUAUUGUUGUGGAUGGGUGUAUGCGGAAUGCUGCAUGUUGGACAUCUUGCACCUCGUUGAGCGCACGAGCAGACAGCGGUAGGUGAAAGGUUUCAUGCAGUUCAGUGUUGGCCCAGAAGUCAGCGACCGUCAUGUCUUCCUGCAGAGCAAAUGAAAAGGCACGCGGGUGCGAUGUUUGUAGCACAUCAUUUGACCACAAGUCUUUCCAGAGCAGCGUAGUCGAGCCAUCAACUACUUGGACACGAGUGAUCCCUCGGUAGAUGGGCGUUAAUUUGAGAAUGUCUUUCCACCAGAAAGAACCGACUAGAUCAACCGCAUGAGGCACCUGGUUAGCAUACUGAUUAUCCCAAAGCAUAGUAACCCAUGGUACGUCCAGUUUGUUAUAGAACUUGUGGAGAAAUUUUAGCAGGAGGGCUUCGUUGUAGAUUGUAAUGUUGAUCACUCCUAACCCACAUUUACACUUGGGCUUGCACACUAGUUCCCAAGCCGCAAGCGAAUUACAUUUGUCACCUUGGUCGGUUUUCUUUGUCCAGAGACAUCUCCUUCUAAUCUUGUCAAGAAUUUCAAUUAGAUUCGGAGGGAACUUGAGCGUGCACAUGGCAAACACCAGAAGGGAUGUGACCGAUGCAUUGAGCCAGGAGAGGCGGCCCCCAUAGGACAUCAUAGCGAUCGUGGCAGUGAGACGAUGCUCCAUUUUGCAAACUAGAGGCAUGAAUUCUUGAAUGGUUGGUCUUGUAGUGCCAAGUGGCAGGCCAAGGUAGGUGAAAGGCAUUGUACCUAUAGUGCAGCCAAAAUGGCAGCAAGGCUAGAGGUUGCACUUGCGUCCAGGUUGAUUGGUAUGAGCGUCGACUUGUGAAAGUUAAUUUUGAGGCCAAUAGAGGAUGCAUAGUCAGAGAGAAUGUUCUUGACACGGGCAGCCUGUUAUGGGCAAGCAGGCAAGACAAGGAGGGUGUCGUCCGCAUAUUGGAUCACUGGGUAAUCAUUUUGCCCAUUGCAUGGAAAAGGCAGGCUGAUAUCUCCAUGUCGAUAAGCAUCAUUGCCGUGGCUUGAAGUAGUUCAGCUGCCAGGACGAAAAUGAGGGGGGACAGAGGAUCACCUUGCCGCACACCGCAUCGACAAAGGAACUGUCGGCCUGGGACCCCAUUAAGAAGUUUGGACGAGCGACCCGAGGAGAAGAGGCACUUGAUCCAGGAGAUCCACUUGUCAUUGAAACCCAUCUGCUGCAUAAUGCAAAUCAUUGGUUCAUGCGUGAUGGUAUCGAAUGCUUUGGCGAAAUCAAGUUUAAGAAUAAUGAUUGGCCGGCCCAAGUUUUGACAGUGAUAAAGAUAUUGAUAAUCUCAUGCCAGACAAUUCUGUAUAGUAUGCCCUUUAAUGAACCCAUACUGAUUCCGGUGAAUGAGGGUGAGAAUGACAAGUUGAAGUCUGUCUGCUAGCAGUUUGGUAAUCAACUUGAGGCAGCAGUUGAGCAAUGUAAUGAGUCUGAAAUCAUUGACUGUUUCUGGAGAGUUAGUCUUAGGUAUAAGUGUGAUAAGACCAUCAUUGAUACUUGUGACAUCUAACGUACCUUCAUAGAACCGAUCACAUAGGGUGUAAAAGUCAUGUCGAAUGAUGGGCCAGCAGGCUUUCAAAAACGCCCCACUAAAGCCAUCUGGGCCAGGUGCGUGGUCCGGAGGCAUACCUUUGACCACAUUAUCGAUUUCCUCAUGUGAAAAAGGCGUGGUAAGUUGGUCAAGAUUUGUAGCGCAGGGGAUAAUGUUUGGAAGAUCAAAUUUCAUGUCUGAAGGGGAGACCGUACCCAGGCGGUUUUUGUAAGUUUGAAACAAGAGGGCCUCUUUUGCAGGAUGAUUGUCGACCAAUGUGCCAUCCUCAAGCUUGAGUGAGGAGAUAUUGUUUUGUCGAUAACGUUCCCUGGCCACUGCUUGGAAAAAUUUGGAGUUUUCAUCGCCAAACUUGAUCCAACGAAUAGUACAACGCUUCUUCCAAUAAAGUUUUUGAUAUUUGAGCAGUCUCAGCAAGUGUGACUUUAGGAUACGUUUGAAGUUCAUUUCUGGAAUUGAAAGGAUUCGUUUAUUCUGCCAGGACAUGGUUACAGUUCGUGAUGGCCACUAAUAGACGAGAAAUAUUCUUACUCCAGAUUUUGAGAGCGUGUCGAAGAGCUUUGAAUUUUCGGCAAGGGAUUGUGGCAGCAUUUGCGUUCCAAACUGGCCAUUCCCAAACCUCUCUAACUAUGUCCAUAAACCCUGGGUGUAAGGUCCAGUAGGAUUCAAAACGAAAGAGCUUGGAUCGGGGGAUUUUGGUCUCUAUGGUGACAAUGCAAGGGAUGUGAUCAGAAACGGGCUUGCCAAGGGGUUUAACGAGCAUCUUAGGAUAUGUGUUACUCCAAUGCAAGGAUGUGAAGAACCAGUCAAUCUGUUCAAGCAAAGGAUCGGUCUGCAUAUUGCUCCAAGUGUAGGUUCUACCUUUUACCGGAAGCUCAAUCAGUUGCUGCUGACGAAUGAUGUCAUUGAACGUAAUCAUGUCGUGAAUGUUACCCCCAGGUUUAUUAUGAUUGUCUGGAGCUCUCAUGUAGUUAAAGUCGCCCAAAAGUAACCAGUCUUGGUUACGGGGUAUUUGAACAUCGUACAACCAUUGCGUGAAAACAUCCCUGUCUGUACCAGUGCAAGGCCCGUACACGUUAACUAACGUCCAACGUUGAGAGGAUUGCAUGCUAACGAACUCGAUGGCUAGCGCAAAUGGAUCAGAUGAGAGUACUGAACCAGAGAAAACCGAGCUUUUCCAGAUUGUAAGUAACCCCCAGAGGCGCCGCGCGAAGGGACAAAAGCAAAACGAUCAAAUUGUCUAGGAUAGCAAGUUUUAAUAGAAGCAAAAGUAACCUCAGGCAUCUUAGUCUCCUGAAGACAAGUGAUAGCAAAACCACUGGUAGAGAUAGCAUUAUUCAGAGCCAGUCGCUUCUUCUCAGAAUUGAGCCCACGGAUAUUCCAUGAGAGCACAUUCCAGCAGCUCAACGACGUCAUAUAGAACUCCAAUAUUAAGCAGAGGUGUGAGAGAGAUCCUCUCCCUGGUCAUCACUGUCAAUCAAAGAGGCAGAAUAUUCGGGCACGACAGCAGUUUCAGCAAGCAGGGCUUCUUCAGAAAGUUCAGUAGCAGGUAUAGCACAUCUGUUAACUCCAAUGGAUUGUAGAGUAACUAUAGGAGUUGGGGGCGGGACCUCACCAGCAGAAGUAGCAGCAGAUGCUGAUGUGCCAAUAGACGGGAUGACACAGGGCUUAACUUUGGAAUUGUUCUUGCGACUGUCAGAGAGGGGAGGAACCUUGACCGCAUCAUACGUGUUGGAGCGGAGACUGCGACGCACUUCAGUUGUGGAGAUAGGGGCAGCAGCCCUGGUCCUACGGGGGCGCGGGCCAGUGGUGGCCAUAGAAGCAGUUGCCUCUGAGAUCACAGAAGGUUCUGAAGGUGGAAUGUGCACAACUUGUUCUGUGUCCAUUGGGGCGUCUUAAGUGUUGGGCGGCAUGGCGGGCUCAAUGGCGUUUUCCACACUAGCAUGUUCAGAUAGGUCCUCAAUGAUCACAGCGGAGGCAGCCAAAGCAGAAGUAGAGCUUGAUUGCUAGGAAAAGGUCAGACUAGUAGAAUCCUGUGUGAUCAAGACAGACAACUGGACCUGGUUUGUUCUCAGACCAAACCCCUCUCUCCAAGGUCCAAAAGUUGCAAGCAUUGGGCUAACAGCUUGGAAGAUGAAUGUGUUAAGAUUCAGGCGUGGGAUUGGGUCAUUCAGCAGCCUGGAAAGGAUCUCAUCUCCUUGAGCAGAUAAACCAAAUCUGACACCUUGAUCAUUGAUCUCCAGUGUGAUGUUAAGAGAUUCAAAGCUUGCACUGUCAGACAGCUGUAUAGCUGGAUCAGCCGGGAUGAGAAUGUCAGACUGGGUCGAGCUUGAACUGUCAGACUGGGUGAUCGAAUCAUUCCAAGCUUGGAGAGCAUUAUCAGUGACAUUGUUUUCAGGGACUAACCCAUGUUGCACAGUCAGACCCUGCGCAGCAAGCCAGGCUUGGUAGUUCACCAAAUGGAGCGGCAUUUGCGGGAGUGGAGGAGCAGCGGGCGCCUCCCAAGUGCCCCAUCCAGUGUUGUCAUCCACUUGUUGAGCCUCAUUGUUGCCAGCUGCGGGUGCACCAUUCUGAAUGAGCCAAUUGUGAACUUGCUGCUGAUAUAACUGUUCUGCAGUGAGUUCAGGGCCAAACUGUGGAUGUGGGUUGCCAUCGGGGGGUGGCAUUUCCUCAGGUGCAGCAGGUACAUCAGGGAGGAGGCCAUUCCAGUCGUUGCUGCGACGGAUGGUCACUACUACUGUCCAACUGUCGUGCGCACCACCCAGCUGCCAUACCACAAAGCUCUUGGGGAUGAGGCGCAGACUAAGUACUCUGACUUUUAGAAGGAUGAAUCUGCGGUCCUGACGCGGAUUAUACCAGGAAACUAAGGAACCAUAUCCACCCAAGGCCUUAGUGAUGUAAUAGUCCAUUUGGUAGUCAUACGGAAAGCCGAAGAACAUAAUCCAAAUCUCAGGCCCAAACGGUGCAGCUCUACGAUUAAGAGCCGCAUUGUGCGAAACGAAGGUGAUCAACAGAUCUUCAUCUUCAAGCUCAAGCGGUGUGUUGACAACAUUAUCUCUCAUAAAGGAAUCCACAAAACCGAAAAUCCCAACACCAAGGGGGUGAUCACUGACCUCUGUAGUAAAAAGCUGUGAUUCUUGAAACAGAGUUGUGAUCCGAUGGCGGACGGUGGCCCGGCGAUGCAGGGGCACAUACUCACUGGCUUCUGCAAUGGCCAGGAACUCAUGGCUGAGUGGAGCAAUCGAGCCAACGACCAUGCCGCUGUGCACAAGAUGAUCGGCCGGCCCUGGCUCACCCGCAAAACCCGGCGGGAGGAAAGGCACAGGGUUUAGUGGGUAGUUCGCCAUUGUGGUGGAAGGGAUCAGAGGGGAGGACGGUGGUGCAGUGAUGGGAUGUAACUGCAAUGGCGCAAGCUGCAGCAAAGCGUCAGACUGUGGCGAUGGGACUGGACGGGAUGUGGCCCGUUGGGUUCUCGAGGAGGAAGCUGAAGCGUGAAUGGGGGUAGGAGGCAAAGUUGCCUUUGCAACCUCUGUAGAGAGUUAAAACCUAAUCGAUUAGCCGUGUCCCCGGUUACAGACAACUUGAGCAUCUAGUAGUGGAAAUGAUGGGAGAUCUCAUCACUCUUAAUUAAACAGUUGGGUUUUAAAUGAAACAUUGGGAAUGGAUUGAGUUGUGUUUGCCAACUCAUACUAUGCUAUACUGUAGUGAUAGACUAAUAUCUUUUAUUCUAGGGAAAAACUAGCUUUAUGCAAAAACUAAACUUAGAGCUUUCCACCAGCCAAAUUGCAUGUACAAAUAGGUUCAUUAUUCUUAUGAUGUGACUUGCCAGUACAUUCAAUGUACUGACCUAUAGGGCUGCAACGUCUUAUGUUGCAGGAAUUUCUACGACGAGUAAGAAUUAUGUUGUAGGGUUAUGGUCUACACUCAACUUGCCGUUGGCGUUGAUGGGACUCCACACCCGUUCGAUUGUUUCCACUGAGAUUUAUGAGGUAUAUAUCAGUUUUGCAUUAUUUAUACAUUUGAUUGAACUUUGAUAUAUACAUUGAUGUACUGUGUGUGCCAGCAUAUCGAUCCAGGGAUGGCCCGGAUACACAGAGGCUUGACAGUUUGAGCUCGGGUCGCUACAGAGAUGGUAUCAGAGCACAUGUUGACUAUAGGACGUGACCCUAGAAACUGGAAAGCCCUUAGGAAAAGAUUUCUCUAAAAGUUUAUUUUCAAAAAGAUCCUUUACCUCUCUUCUUUUCUGAGCUUUAUCAAAUCUUUCCUUUUACCCCAAAUAGGUAGGCAAUAUCCCUUUUCCCUUUCACCACGCGGAGGAUCAACUGAUGAGACCACUCCAAGAAGGGCAAGAUAUCGGCCAACUGAUGGCCACUUCAAAGUAAAGAGGAUUUCAUCAUGCAUUAGAACAGUUAAUGCUACGACAGUCGAAGACUCGAAGAAUUUGAAGACACUGAAGAAUUCCAAGAUUUAUAUGACCUUUAGAAGACCAAACCCUUGUUGUGUACUCACGUUAGAUGCGAUGAUUUGUGAGCUGUCAUAUUUGGUGUGUGUUUUCCGAUGCAAUAAAUAAAACUUAUUUUCAAAACUAUAUUGUUUGUAUUUUGUGUAUCUUUCUCUAUCCCUCUUAUCUCAUCCCAAAACCCUUGGACCCAAUAGAUGAUGAAUGAAGAUGGACUUGUAUUCUCUGGACCGAUCACUCGGUUAGAGGAAGAGCUAUGGAUUCAAAACAUGGAGAGUCACUUCGAGAGCAAUUUGGUUGCAAGGAAGUAUGAGGUUCAAUAUGCUCUUUAAUACUUUACAAAAAGUGCUACAACAUGGUGGAAAAUGCAUCAAGCCAUACAAGGAUGUAAUGGAGCAAAAACUUGGGAGGAAUUGAAGAAGACUCUAUUGGGAUCCCGUCUUAUCCGGAAGCACGGUGAUAAACUGAUGAAGAAACCUUGUGCCUGCAAGAUAUGUGGAGAAAUAGGACACACCCAUGAAGAACACAAGGAUGGAUGCCCUCAUUAUGAAGGAAAUCACCCAGCAGAAGAGUGCCCAACUAGGCAGGUUACUUGUUUCUUGUGUGAAGGAACUACGCACUACCCUGCCCAGUGUCAUAUUUACCCCAGGGUACAAGAAAUUACCAAGAAGAAGUGGGGUUUGAUCGACAAGAGAUAGAAGAAUUGAUCGGAAUGAAGAAGUCGAGGAAGAGAAAGAGCAUGUAUCCCCAGAACAACCCAGUUUCUACAGAAAAGGACCUGAGUCAUAUCACUUGUUACAGCUGCAAGGAUUUAGCUCAUUAUUCUAGCAAAUGCCCACCAAGGAAGCCAAGAACCCAAGGAGCCAAGAUAACCACCAGGAACCCCUGGAUUUGUCUGACGCCAUUUGUUUACGCUGCAAAGGAGUAGGACAUUUUGUCAGAGAAUGUUCAGACCCGAGGAAAGCUUGAGCAGAGUAGUUGAGAUCUUGAUAUUGGAAUAAAGCAUGUAAUAAAUGUGGAACGCACUUUUAUUUUCGUGGGGGGUGUUGAUACGUCUCCAACGUAUCUAUAAUUUUUGAUUGCUCCAUGCUAUAUUAUCUACUGUUUUGGACUAUAUUGGGCUUUAUUUUCCACUUUUAUAUUAUUUUUGGGACUAACCUAUUAACCGGAGGCCCAGCCCAGAAUUACUGUUUUUUUGCCUAUUUCAGUGUUUUGGAUAAACGGAAUAUCAAACGGAGUCCAAACGGAAUAAAAUCUUCGGGAACGUGAUUUUCUCACCGAACGUGAUCCAUGAGACUUGGACCUUGCUCUAAGGAACAAAAGAGGCGGUCACGAGGGUGGGGGGUGCCCCCCCUAGGGCGCGCCCCCUGCCUCGUGGGCCCCUCGUUGCUCCUUCGGCGUACUUCUUCCUCCUAUAUAUACACAUGUACCCCCAAACGAUCAGAAGAGGAGCCAAAAACCUAAUUCCACCGCCGCAACUUUCUGUAUCAGAAGAGAUCCCAUCUUGGGGCCUGUUCCGGAGCUCUGCCAGAAGAGGGCCGUCAUCACGGAGGGCUUCUACAUCAUCCUAGCCCCUCUGAUGAAGUGUGAGUUGUUUACCUCAGACCUUCGGGUCCAUAGUUAGUAGCUAGAUGGCUUCUUCUCUCUCUUUGAAUCUCAAUACAAAGUUCUCCCCCUCUCUUGUGGAGAUCUAUUCGAUGUAAUCUUCUUUUUGCGGUGUGUUUGUUGAGACCGAUGAAUUGUGGGUUUAUGAUCAAGUCUAUCUAUGAAUAAUAUUUGAAUCUUCUCUGAAUUCUUUUAUGUAUGAUUGGUUAUCUAUGCAACUCUCUUCGAAUUGUCCGUUUGGUUUGGCCAACUAGAUUGGUAGUUCUUGCCAUGGGAGAACUGCUUAGCUUUGGGUUCGAUCUUGUGGUGUCCUUACCUAGUGACAGAAGGGGCAGCAAGGCACGUAUUGUAUCGUUGCCAUCGAGGAUAAAAAGAUGGGGUUUAUUUCAUAUUGCAUGAAUUUAUCUCUCUACAUCAUGUCAUCUUGCUUAAGGCGUUACUCUGUUUUUAACUUAAUACUCUAGAUGCAUGCUGGAUAGCGGUCGAUGAGUGGAGUAAUAGUAGUAGAUGCAGAAUCGUUUCGAUCUACAUGUCACGGACGUGAUGCCUAUAUACAUGAUCAUGCCUAGAUAUUCUCAUAACUAUGCUCAAUUCUGUCAAUUGCUCAAUAGUAAUUUGUUCACCCACCGUAGAAUACUUAUGCUCUUGAGAGAAGCCACUAGUGAAACCUAUGGCCCCCGGGUCUAUUCUCAUCAUAUCAAUCUCCAUCACUUUAAAUCUUGCUUUGUUUUUACUUUGCUUUUACUUUUUAAUUUGCAUCUUUAUACCAAAAAUACCAAAAAUAUUAUAUCUAUCAGAUCUCAUUCUCGUAAGUGACCGUGAAGGGCUUGACAACCCCUAAUCGCGUUGGUUGCGAGUAGCUAUCGCUUUGUGCAGGUACGAGGGACUUGAGCGUGGGCUCCUACUGGAUUGAUACCUUGGUUCUCAAAAACUGAGGGAAAUACUUACGCUACUGUGCUGCAUCAUCCCUUCGUCUUCGGGGAAAACCAACGCUAGCUCAAGAUGUAGCAGGUGUUGAGUUGAGUUACCGAAUGGAAAUUGUAAUAGCUCAUGAAGCAAUAAAAAUUGAGGUGUUUGGAAUCUCAUAUGAAAUGUUAUGAGUUGUUUGUUGAUUGUGAGUGCCUCUCUCACUAUGUCACCCAGACAUAAACCUUGAACCCAUGGACAAGCUGACCCCAAAACCUUCACUAAAAAAACGACAUUUCACCCAAGGAAAUACAUGCAUUAUCCUAAGUACCCCUUCUAUCUUAUACCUGCAGAUGGCAACCCUUUACGAGUCUUUUCUCAAGGGCCCAGAAACGAUCAUGACCCUAACUAGUGAUCAGGAUUACCCAAAGAUCCUCAAGGACAUGAUGAAGCAUAUUCAUCUUGAAGGAGAUGCAGUCUACAAGGGUUAUCCUUUCAUGGAGAAUGGAGUUGAACUUUGGUACGUGGAGGUACACCUCCACCGUGUGAAGGGAGUUUUCCCAAAGAGUAUGGGGCAAUACUUUUUCAUUUCUCGAGUACCCCGAGCAACAUUCUUCGACUCUGUUCGUGAAACUGCUAUGGAAGCCAUACGUCAGAUUGGAGAAAUACUUGAAGCCAGACUUCGUUAUACUCAGGAAUACCCGAGGGAGGUGCAUGCAGAGAUGAUGGAGAUGAAGCUCAUGGCCACCAUGAUGAAGCAAAAGGUCGAUGAUUUCAAGGACCACAUUGUACAAUUCCAGUGGGACUAAAUUAUCUUCAAGAAGGGCAAAUGAAUAAAGAUGGAAGUAAUGCUUGACCAUAGCAAACUAUGUGGAUGGCAGCUUUUUGUAAUAGAGUACUUUUGAAAUUUGAGUUUUGAGUAGUGGUUAAGGAUGUAAUAAAGGAUUUGAUAUGAAGAGAAUUAUGGAUGAACCAGUGCAUUUUUUGGCGAUACCUGUCUGUGCGAACACUUGACCAAUGGAAAAGGAAAUGUAUGCCAUAGAGUGAAGUUUGGACAAAUGAGUUGGAGUUUGGUUUUAGUUAUGAUGGUUACCCCAAGAGUAUGAAGGAAUGAAGUACUAUUGGAUUUAAAGGAGAUGUAAUGUUGGAAUAUGGAACAAUAGUAACUCCAAGGAUGAGUUAAAGAUAUACAAGUGUUGAAGUGGGCCAUAACCCACAGGACCCAGGAUUUGAUAAGGAAACAAGCACAAUCUUGUUGAAGAAAAUAAUUCUGAAAGAAGCCAUGAUUUCAUCAGCAUACGUUUCAUAGGAGGUUACAUAAACCCAGGAGUUGUGAAUAAACGAUAGAGGUUUUCUUUGGCUUGCAGAACCAAUGGAUUUAUCCGAACCCAGUUCGUGGAGAAGAGAAGUUCUGCAAUGCUUGUGAGGAUGCCCAAGGGCUAGAAUGCGUGAUUCACUAUCUGCGUAUGUGGUAAUGAUUCAAGUACGACAUGGAUUGGCCCCCAUACCGGAGACUUCUAUCAUGAGCUAUCAUAUGAUUGAUAGAAAAUCAGAGAGCCUUAAAACCCUAGAAGAGUGUCGACACGACAAGCCAAAAGCCUUAGAAUGGCAGGAUGAUGGAAACCCUGUACAAGCACCUAUUGCCAACCGUAGGUUAUGCGGUGAGGUUCAACCCAGACCCAUUUCCUGUAGGAGGAACCAGAAAUUGUCGACCACCAUGAGGUUUUCGAUAGUUGUUUAGCAUUGGCGCCAGACCUGUCAAGUCUCAGAAGGAUCCUAUUUUGAUGCAAGGAAUCCUGAUAUUGAUGAAAAGGCCAUGCCCUUACCAGAAGAGCAAAAGUGAAGGGGUUAUCUCAGAGAAUAUGAGAAGACCGACACCGUCAACGCAAAGGAUGGAGUUCAUGAGUUUUAUUGGAACUGUAACCAUGCUUCUAAGGGUGGUAGCACCCCAUUUCUUGUGUUGAUGAAUGGAUUUUCAAGGAGAACCCCCAAACCUAACAUUCUCUCUAGCCUCUUCGAAUCUCGAGGACGAUAUUCAUUUUAAGGGUGGUAGUUUGUAACAUCCCAAAAUUCUAAAAUUUGGAAUGUUAUGUUAAAUAAUUAAUUAUGAUUGUUUGUUUGUUGUGUGAUUGAUUGUGUGAAAAUGAUUGGAAAUUGAAAACUUUUUGAAAGUGGAAAGAGAGGGAAUAAAAGGACUUUCCCGAAACUUUUCAUCUUGCAUUUUGAUCUUCCUGAAUUCAAAUUCAUUUCAUCAUAAAACCCUAGAGUGAAGAUAAUAUAACUUCUUCCAUUUAAAGAAAUGAAAAAAGGGGUUUGAAAAUGAUUUGAAUUCCAUUUGAAAAAUUUUAAAUUUAGAAACUUUAAGCAACUCAAUGAGUACAUGAGGGAAGAUAAAAUGACUUCUUCAGAUCGAUGGAAGAGAGUUGGAAGUUUCAAAGGAAUAAUUUGAAGUCACUUUGAAGUUAUUUAAAACUCAUUUUUCCAUUUGAAGUUGUUUGAAAUUCCAAAUUUCUAAUCCUCUUGGGAGUUAUUUAGUUUUAAUUCAAAUUAUUUUUCCCCUAAAAAUAAAUAGAUGGGAAUAAGGGUAAAUUGAUUCCCUUCAAUAGAAAAUUAGGAGAAAUAUAUCUGAAAUCAUUUUCCUAUUUUAAAAAUGAUUUUUAUUGAUUUUAAAUGCAAUAGUAGCACUGUUUGAAUUUUAUGAAUUUUUAUGGAAUUUCGUUGAACUUGAAAAAUAAUUCAUCUUAUUGCUGCUAUUUUUCUGAGCAUUUUGGUAUAUAAUAUUCCUACAUAAUUUUUUUAGUUAUUUUCCUAUGUUGAAGUUUUUGUUUCUACAAAAAAAAACAUGCGCCCGCCAGCCGGCCCAGGGCCUUCGGCCCAAGAGCCAGCCAGCAUACCGAGCCGGCCCAGCAGCGCCCCAGGCCGCCCGAGGCCUUACGCCUCGCUCGCCCGCGCCCCUCUUCCCUCGCUCGCUCUCUCCCACUGCCGCUGCCAGUGGGGCCCGCAACCCUCCGUCCCUAACCUCCCGCUCCUCCCAUUCAGAUAGGGCACGCGCGUGCUGCCCGCAACUGCCGGCAGCUCCGCUCGGGAUAGAGCUCAUCCGCAGUCUCCGCAGCCUCUUCUUGCACCUAUAAAUUCCCCCGACUCCCCUCGUUCGAUUCUGCAAUUCCGCAACGAUCCACGCCGCUCACAGCCGCCGCCUUCGUCGUUUGGAUCUUGCCCGCCGGAGCUACCUUGCCGGUCCGUUCCAUCGUCCGUAAGACUUCCUCGACCCCGUUCUUCUUUGUCAAUUGACUCCCCGCGUCGAGGCGCAUCUGAUUGACAAAAAUUUGCCGCCUAGGUCGUACCAGAGACGUCGCCCCGACGCGCCGUGCUCUUGCCGAAGCACCGGAGCUCCGCCGCCACCCUCCGCUCGUCGCUGGCCACCCCACCGCCCGCCGACCCCACCAGCACGCCGCCCACGCCGCGCCUGACCUCCCCGACCCCUUCGUCGCCGCUGAGGACCACCAGAGACGCCGCCCUGUCCGCCGUCCGCCGCCUGACGCCAGCGGCACCGCACCUGUUCGCCGUCCUCGCUCGCUAUGAGCCGCUGAUCCUCGCUCAUUUUUUGUUGUUGUUGUUGUAUUAGAUCGGGUAACCGUGGUUUUAUUAAACCGUGCGGUUUAGUAAAAAACCGGUCUCCGGUUGUCUUUUUAUUUAGCCACGGUAGCCGUUUUAUUUAUUCAGUGGCCGUCCGCCGUUUAGCCUGAGCCGCGAACGCUGCUCAGCCACCCGGAAGCCGCCACGUGGCCAGGGACCUAGUCGUGAAUAAAACUUUCAUAGUUAAGUCCCUGAGUUUCCAAUUUAGCCCCUAAACUUCGAAUGGUUGUAUCUUUUUAACCGUAGCUCCAAAUUCGACGAAACCAGUGGCAAGAUGUUCGUCUUGAUUAGUUUUAUCCAGAGAACCAACUUUGAAAACUUUUGGCCAAAUUCAAAUUUGAACUUUAUUCAGAUUUGAAUUCAAACUUCAACUGGCCAUAUCUCUUAAACCGUAGCUCCGAUUGGUGUGAUUCUUUUUGCAACGUGUCAUCAUAGCCAAACCCUACCACCUGGACCUUGUCACAAUACUUUUCACACAACUAGAAUCUGUCUAUGAUAGUUUUACUAUUAUGCCAUGCAUGCACUUUAGUACACAUCAUAGUUUUGAACCCCAUGUCACAAGUUGUUUUGCACUUAGGAUAUUUCCAUGCUAGUUAACUGUGUUGAAUGUUCAUUUGGUUUUUCUGAGACUUUGUGCUUUGCAUGUUCUUCUUGGUUCUCUGAAAUGAUUGCUGAGAGUGACGAAUAGUUCUAUGAAGUAAAUUUCUGAGAGUGGUAUAAUCUUCAUCAACUAUUACCAGGCAAGUUCACAUUUGACCAUUUUUCCAAUUACCUAUGUUUAUAUUAUGCACUUAGUCCUUUUGUGGUAGGAUUGCAUGGUAGGAUUUAUUGUUACCAGAUGGCUAUGCCGUUACCUAGUAGUUCAUUUGAGGUAGGUAUGAUCUAUACAUCCUUGUCACCACCGUGUAAGUUUAUUUUUGCCUCGCUAAAUGUAGACGUGGUUUGGGAAGCGAACAUGGCGAGACAUGAGUGACAAAGUAGUAAUCAAGAUCAAGACUUGUAAAUGAACUACCUGGGCGGUAUUUGGUUUGAAUGGUGGCGAAGUACAGUGGGAGCAUGCAUGGUUAAUCCAUGGUGGUGCACCACUAGUGGUUGGCCGCUCAGGCUCAAAGAGAUGAAUCGUAUUCUCAUGUCUAGAAGCUUAUGUGUGCAGCCACAAGCCAAUAUGGGCUCUGGCUUAGUUGAGUAGUUAGUGUGACCCCUUCCGGGAUGGGCUAGCAGAUGUAGAAUGAUGUAGGUGUACCGGCCUAUCCCUGGGUUAAGGGGGAACAUUUUAGAAAGACUAUGUCUCGGUCAUCCUGUUCUCAAACGCCAGGCAGUGCGAGAACUCCAGGGGAGGCGAUCGAGUCUUGUGGGGAAAAGUGCGCAAACCUCUGCAGAGUGUUAAAAUCUAAUCGAUUAGCCGUGUCACCGGUUACGGACAACUUGAGAAUCUAGUAGUGGAAAUGCUGGGAGAUCUCAUCACUCUUAAUUAAACAGUUGGGUUUUAAAUGAAACUUUGGGAAUGGAUUGAGUUGGGUUUGCCAACUCAUCCUAUGCUAUACUAUAGUGAUAGACUAAUAUCUUUUAUUCUAGGGAAAAACUAGCUUUAUGCAAAAACUAAACUUAGGGCUUUCCACCAGCCAAAUUGCAUGUACAAAUAGGUUCAUUAUUCUUAUGAUGUGAAUUACCAGUACAUUCAAUGUACUGACCUACAGGGCUGCAACGUCUUAUGUUGCAGGAAUUUCUAAGACGAGUAAGAAUUACGUGGUAGGGUUACGGUCUACACUCAACUUGCCAUUGGCGUUGAUGGGACUCUGCGCCCAUUCGAUUGUUUCCCUGAGAUUUAUGAGGUAUAUAUCAGUUUUACGUUAUUUAUACAUGUGAUUGAACUUUGAUAUAUACAUUGAUGUACUGUGUGUGCCAGCAUACCGAUCCAGGGAUGGCACGGAUACACAGAGGCUUGACCGUUUGAGGUCGGGUUGCUACAGCAAAUCAGCUAGAUCUUUCAAGGCAAACUCUGAGAUCAAAUCAUGCAGAAUGGCAUUAGUAGCACUUUGUGAUGAACUUGCAACUAUGAUGCAUCCACAUAUAUGAGAACAAAGAUAACUACUUUUCCCUUGUUAUAAAUGAACAAAGAUGUAUCAGCUUGGAAGCACUAAAACCAAGACAUUUCAAUUGAGAGCUCAACCUGGAGUACCAUGCUUUAGGUGCUUGUUUCAAGCUAUAGAGUGCUUUGUCAAGCUUGCACACAUAAUGUGGUGUUUUCUUACUCUCAUAUCCUGGUGGUUGUCUCAUGAAUACCUCCUCUUCCAGAACACCAUGUAAAAACGCAUUCUGUACAUCUAGCUAUCUCAAGCUCGAUCCCUUGGAUACAGCACUAGCUAACACAAAUCUUAUAGUUGCAGCUUUUACAACCGGACUGAAGGUAUCCUCAUAGUCUAUGCCAUAGCGUUGUUUAAAGCCCUUUGCAACUAGACGUGCCUUAUAUCUGUCAAUGGAGCCAUCUGCUUUCUUUUUAAUUCUAUACACCCACUUGCAAUCAAUAAUAUUUUUACCUCUCUUAUCAGGCACAAGAUGCCAAGUUUUGUUCCUCAUAAGUGCAGAAUAUUCCUCAUCCAUUGCUUUCUUCCAUUUAGGGUCACCAAGUGCAUCAUUCAGUGUCAUUGCUUCCCCUGAAAUACAUAGCAUGCCAUACCGUAUAGUACCAUCAGUUUGUAUUUUGGGAUUAUGGAUACCUUUUUGUAACCUGGUCAUAACUCGCAAGGGAGCUUCUUGUUGCAUGUGUACAGGAACAAGAUCCAUUGGCGCAGAAGAUCCACCUCUUGCUACUGAAUCUGCUGGUGAUGCAGAAGAUCCAUCGGACACUGGCGCAGAAGAUCCACUGGACCUUGGUGUGGCCCCCCUGCCACUGGACGCCCAGGAAACCACAUGGCUUCCAGGCAUAGACGAUCCGCUGCCAGGUUGCAUGUGCGCGGGACGCGAGGAGGAGCCGACCGCGCGACUGGUCCCACUGGGCCCACUAUCGGGUGACGCGUCGGCGUGGGAGUGGCCCUCCCAGGAAUCUGGGCCGCUGCCACCUUGUACGCGAUCCAAGAAAGAUCUGUGCGCACGAUCCGAGGCCUGCAAGAGCGCAGGAGUACCAAGGAAUUCAACUGAUAUGAUUACUCUACUUAUUGAUGUGCAAUAAUGUAAUAUGACUAUUAAGAAGCAUUCUAACUGUGGAGGUGGUUUCACACUUCUUACUACAACAAAGGUGAUUGAAGGAUUCCUCGGCAGAAACUAGAACGCACACCUUCAAUAAUUGACGAGCUAAUUGGUUGUUGAACUUCAUGUUGAAGAUAUCUCAUGUAGGCCCAGGCCGGCGCAUAUAGUUAGUUGAGGAGUUGGUUAGCUUAGAGAUAGACUAUCAUCUAAUUAAACUUUUGUAUCUCUAUCUCCUAAUCUCUUGUACUCCAAGUUAUGUAUGCGUACAUGGGAUAAGCCUCAUCUCAAUCAAUAAAUACCCGCGGCCCUCUCUCGUGGAGGGUAGAACGCUUCCGAUAUAUUUCCUAUAUGGUCAUCAGAGCUUUCUCUUCUCGUCCAAAAACCAGAAAACCUAGAUUGCCAUCCUUCCCACCAUGUCAUCCUCCUCCAACCCCCCGACUCUCUCUGGUCUUGGUUACCAAAUCAGUGAGAAGCUCACCGCUGAGAACUACCUGCUGUGGAAGGCACAUAUCCUCCAGCACUUCCUUGGUGCCGGGCUCUAUGGCUAUCUAGACGACAACAUCGUCGAACCAGAGAAGCUCAUGGUCGCGAAGGACAAGGAUGGAAAGGAUCAAGCGGUCCCCAAUCCGGCGCAUGAUUCUUGGGUGCGGCAGGACCAACAGGUCCUUGGCCACAUCAUCAACAAUCUCUCGAUGGAGGUGCUGGUCUCGGUCGUCUCCAUUGGCGUGAGCUCUCUGGACAUCGAUGCGUAACAUGUUUGCUUCACAAUCUCAUUACCGCAUUAAUAAUAUCCAGAUUUCCCUGUCCAGUGCCUAAAAGGGCAAUCAGCGUCGGCAUACUUUGCUCGGAUGCGCAGAUAUGCUGAUGAACUUGCUGCUACCGGGAGACCUCUGCAAGAGGAUGAGCUCACCUCCUUCCUCCUGGCUGGGCUGGACCUCGACUACAACCCCCUUAUCUCAGCCCUCGACGACCGGACGGAUCCUAUCACCAUCGAUGACUUAUACUCACAGGUCUACAACUUUGAUCAGCGGGUGUCGCUGCUCAUGGGAGGCGUGGGCUUCAAGUCCUCUGCAAACUCUGCCCAGCAUGGUGGGCCACCUCCAUCUCGAGGCUUUGGAAAGCCGAGGGAUCAGAAGAAGCAAGGUGGUGGCGGCGGCUACAAGAAGAAACAAGGUGGCGGUGGGCAUCCCUACUACAUCAACACCAAGGGAGCUCGCUCUGGUGCCCCUGGAGGGCCAGGAGGUCUAGGAGGCCUCGAUGGUCCUCCACCCGCCAACAACCACAAGGGGAACGACCCCAUCCAGUGCCAGAUAUGCAUCAAGUUCGGGCACAGCACCAAGGACUGCUGGUAUCAUUUUGAUGAUGAUGCCCUUGAAUAAAAAGUUGUUGCUGCCACCCAGUAUGGGGUGGAUACAAAGUGGUAUGUUGACAGCGAUGCAACCGGUCAUCUCAUCGGCGAACUAGAGAAGUUGACAGUCCGCGACAAGUAUCGUGGGCAGGGUGAAAUCCAUGGCGCAAACAGAUCAGGUAUGAGGAUAGAUCAUGUUGGUCAUUCAGUUUUUCAAACCCCUAACCGUCCCAUCCAUCUUAAAAGAAUUUUACAUUAUCCUCAUGCCCAAACCAGUCUUCUUUCUGUAAAUCAUAUUGCCUUGGAAAAUCAAGUAUUUCUUGAAUUUCACCCCUUCUACUUUUCGAUCAAGGACCAGGCAACGAGGAGAAUCCUCUACAUAUGUAGAUGCAUUGGUGGGCUCUAUCCAUUGAUUCCUCGCUUUAGGAGUUCAAAUAAACAAGUUCUUGGUCUCACCAAAUUAUCUUCGGCAAGGUGGCACGAUCGAUUUGGGCAUCCUUCUUUUGCUAUAGUUCAACGAGUGCUUAGGAAAAAUAAGCUCCCUUUUGUUGGUGAGCCUAGUAGUGAAAAAAAUUGUGAUUCAUGUCAACGAGAAAAAAGUCAUCAACACCCUUCCCCUGUGUCAACUAGCGUUUCUUCCAAACCAUUAGAACUAUUUUUUUUCUGAUGUAUGGGGCAAGCAGCUCUUUCUGUUGGGAGACACAAGUAUUAUGUAAACUUUAUUGAUGAUUAUAGUAAGCAUACUUGGAUCUACCUUAUCAAGCAUAAAUCUGAUGUGUUUCAAGUAUUCCAAAAUUUCCAAGCACUUGUUGAACGAAAAUUCUCUAGCAAAAUAAUCUCUGUCCAAUCGGACUGGGGUGGCGAGUAUGAAAAAUUAAACUCGUUCUUUCAAAAACUGGGAAUUUCCCAUCAUGUCUCUUGUCCCCAUGCGCACCAACAGAAUGGUUCUGCAGAACGCAAGCAUAGACAUAUUGUCAAAGUUGGUCUUUCUCCUUGCUAAUGCAUCCAUGCCAUCGAAGUUUUGGGAUGAAGCAUUCAUCACUGCUACACAUCUCAUUAAUAUGUUGCUAAGCAGGGUUAUCAAUUUUGAAACACCCACCGUGUUGGGGAACGCAGUAUUUAAAAAAAAAUUCCUACGAUCACGCAAGAUUUAUCUAGGAGAUGCAUAGCAAGGAGAGGGGAGAGUGUGUCCACGUAUCCUCGUAGACCGAAAGCGGAGGCAUUUAGUAAUGCGGUUGAUGUAGUCGAACGUCUUUGCGAUCCAACCGAUCAAGUACCAAACGCACAGCACCUCCGCGAUCUGCACACGUUCAGCUCGGUGACGUCCCUCGUACUCUUGAUCCAGUUGAGGCCGAGGGUGAGUUGCGUCAGCAUGAUGGUGUGUUGAUGGUUAUGAUGAAGUUACCAAUGCAAGGAUUCGCCUAAGCACUACGACAAUAUGACCGAGGUGGAAAACUGUGGAGGGGGGCACCGCAACGGUUAAAGAUCAACUCUUGUGUCUAUGAGGUGUCCCCCUCCCCCAUAUAUAAAGGAGGGGAGGAGGAGGAGGGCCGGCCUCAAGGGGCGCUCCCAAGGGGGGGAUUCCUACUCCUAGUAGGAGUAGGUUUCCCCUUUCCUAGUCCAAGUAGGAGAAGAAGGAAGGAGAGGAAGAAGAGAAGGAAAGGGGGCCCGCCCCCCUUAGCCCUAGUCCAAUUCGGUUUGGGCUACGGGAGGCGCGCGCCACCUCUUGGCCUACCUCCUCUCUUCCACCACUAGGCCCAUAAGGCCCAAUAACUUCCCGACGGGGGUUUCGGUAACCCCCAGUACUCCGAAACUUAUCCGAAAUGACCCGAACCAUCCCAGUGUCCAAAUGUAACCUUCCAAUAUAUGAAUCUUUAUGUCUCGACAAUUUCGAGACUCCUCGUCAUGUCCAUCAUCUCAUCCGGGAUUCCUAAAAACCUUCGGUACAUCAAAUCACAUAACUCAUAAUACAUAUCAUCAUCGAACGUUAAGCAUACGGACCCUGCGGGUUCGAGAACUAUGUAGACAUGACCGAGACUCAUCUCCGAUCAAUAACCAAUAGCGGAACCUAGUUGCUCAUAUUGGUUCCUACAUAUUCUACGAAGAUCUUUAUCAGUCAAACCGCAUAACAACGUACAUUGUUGCCUUUGUCAUCGGUAUGUUACUUGCCCGAGAUUCGAUCGUCGGUAUCAUCAUACCUAGUUCAAUCUUGUUACCGGCAAGUCUCUUUACUCGUUCCGUAAUGCUCAUCCCGUGACUAACUCAUUAGUCACAUUGCUUGCAACGCUCAUAGUGAUGUGCAUUACCGAGAGGGCCCAGAUAUACAUCUCCGAUACACAGAGUGACAAAUGCUAAUCUCUAUCUAUGCCAACUCAACAAACACCAUCGGAGACACCUGUAGAGCAUCUUUAUAAUCACCCAGUUACGUUGUGACGUUUGAUAGGACACAAGGUGUUCCUCCGGUAUUCGGGACUUGCAUAAUCUCAUAGUCUGAGGACCAUGUAUAAGUCAUGAAAAAAUAAUAGCAAUAAACUAAAUGAUCAUACUGCUAAGCUAACGGAUAGGUCUUGUCCAUCACAUCUAAAUGGUUUUUUCUUUUCUUGAUUAAUACUCCCUCCGUCCCAUAAUAUAAGACAUUUUUUGACAUUACACUAGAGUCAAAAAACGUCUUACAUUAUAGGACAGAGGGAGUAGUAUUUGUUUUUGGAUGCUUGCAGGUGUUGGAAGAGAACUACUAGGUUGUUGUCCAAGUCACUUCUCACAAAUGUGUGACGCCUGCCCCCACGUGUGAGCCAGCGCAGCCGAAGGCGGCGCACUAACAACGAAACCUAACAAAUUAACUGGCCACACGUGCCAGCCGGUUCCCACGGGUGCGAUGCAUGCCCCCACUUGCAAGCCAGAGGGCGGCCCUACGGACGAGCCGGCAUAGGUGUACAUGAUGCACGCACUAUCUGUUGCGACCGGACCAGCUCGGCGCAUUGCCAGCGGAUGCCAACGGCAAAAUUUCGUGUUUUGACCCUUUUCUGAAACCUAUUAAAGAUCUGACCCUAGGCAGCAGAAGACAUCCUUCAAAUUGAUCACAAUCUUCUUACCCCAACUGAGACCGAGGCUUUCAAGAUGAUUGAGUUAUCCCGUAUACAAAACAAGUAUGUCACACGUGAAAAUAUUUUGUUGAAGGAGCAUAUCAUCGCACUCAAGGGCAUUAUCCGCAAGUUGGAGGACCUCCUACGCUCGAUGUGCGACUAUCCAUCAUCAACAACUCCACCUUCUUCAUAAACAAAGAAGAACUGAGUAUCUGGUAUGGGCACUCCACUUGGCAACUGCCAAGCUUGGGGGAGUGCCCCGGUAUCGUAUCACCAUCACUUCUAUCUUUACCGUUUUCCUUAGUUCGAUCCUUUUGAUAAUAUUUUGAUCUAGUAGAAUAAAACUUCUUAGUAUGAUCUAGUUGUGAGUUUUGCUUUAUGAUCCUUCUAUGUAAUCGAGUCCGUGAGCUAUAUAUAAUAAAGAUUAGUGUUGAGUCAAGGACUUGAUUAUUUUGCCAUAAUCUUGAGUGAAUAAAAGAAAAGAGAAGAAAUAAAAAGAAACAAAGAGAUCAUAUGGAUCUUAUGGAGAGUAAUGAGCUCACAUAGAAAGAGUAUGAUGAAUAAAAGUUGUUGAGAGUUGACAAACAUAGUUUUGGUCAUCGUUGCAAUUAAUAGGAAGUAAUAAAGAAAGAGAGGUCUUCACAUAUAAAUACACUAUCUUGGACAUCUUUUAUGAUUGUGAGCACUCAUUAAAAUAUGACAUGCUAAAGAGUUGACGUUGGACAAGGAAGACAAUGUAAUGGGUUAUGUUUUCUUACAUCUGAGAUAAAUUAUAUUGUCAUGGAUCAUCCAACAUGAUUGAGCUUGCUUUUCCCCCUCAUGCUAGCCAAAUUCUUUGCACCAAGUAGAGAUACUACUUGUGCUUCCAAACACCCCUAAACCAAUUUUUCCAUGAGUGUCCACCAUACCUACCUAUGGAUUGAGUAAGAUCCCUCAAGUAAGUUGUCAUCAGUGCAAGUAAUAAAAAUUGCCCUCUAAAUAUGUAUGACUUAUUAGUGUGGGAGAAAAUAAGCUUUAUAUGAUCGUAUGAUAUGGAAUAAAUAAAAGCGGCGGACUGCAUAAUAAAGGUCCAUAUCACAAGUGGCAAUAUAAAGUGACGUUCUUUCGCAUUAAGAUUUUGUGCAUCCAACCAUAAAAAUGCAUGACAACCUCUACAUCCCUCUGUGAAGGGCCUAUCUUUUUCUUUUAUCUCCUACCUUGCAUAAGAGUCAUGGUGAUCUUCACCCUUCCUUUGUACAUUUUAUCUUUUGGCAAGCACAACAUGUUGGAAAGAUCCUGGUAUAUCUGGCUAAUUGGAUGUGAAUUUUCAUGAACUAUUAUUGUUGACAUUACCCUUGAGGUAAAACGUUGGGAGGCAAAACUAUAAGCCCCUAUCUUUCUCUGUGUCCGAUUAAAACUCCAUACCCAUAAGUAUUGCGUGAGUGUUAGCAAUUGUGGAAGACUAUAUGAUAGUUGAGUAUGUGUACUUGCUGAAAAGCUCUUAUAUUGACUCUUUCCUAUGUUAUGAUAAAUUGCAAUUGCUCCAAUGACUGAGAUUAUAGUUUGUUAGUUUUCAAUGAAGUUUGUGAUUCAUACUUGAAAUUGUGAUUGAAUUGUUACUCUAGCAUAAGAGAUCAUAUGACAAGAAUUAUAUAAGUUGUUGUUUUAAGAAUGAUCAUAAUGCCCUCAUGUACGUAUUUUAUUUUUAUCGACACCUCUAUCUCUAAACAUGUGGACAUAUUUUUCGAUUUCGGCUUUCGCUUGAGGACAAGCGAGGUCUAAGCUUGGGGGAGUUGAUAUGUCCAUUUUGCAUCAUGCUUUUAUAUCCAUAUUUAUUGCAUUAUGGGCUGUUAUUACACAUUAUGUCACAAUACUUAUGCCUAUUCUCUCUUAUUUUACAUGGUUUACAUAAAGAGGGAGAAUGUCGGCAGCUGGGAUUCUGGGCUGGAAAAGGAGCAAAUAUUAGAGACCUAUAGUACACAGCUCCAAAAGUCCUGAAACUUCACGGAAGUCAUUUUUAGAAUAUAUAAAAAAUAUUGAGCGCAAGAAGUUCCAGAGGGGGCCCACACCCUGGCCACGAGGGUGGGGGCCAGCCCUACCCCCCUGGGUGCGCCCCCUGCCUCGUGGGCCACCUGGUGGCCCUCCGAUGCCCAUCUUCUGCUAUAUGGAGUCCUUCGAUGAGAAAAAAAUGAUAAGCAAGCUUUCGGGAUGAGACUCCGCCACCACUAGGCGGAACCUUGGCGGAACCAAUCUAGGGCUCUGGCGUAGCUAUUCUGCCGGGGAAACUUCCCUCUGGGAGGGGGAAAUCAUCGCCAUCGUCAUCACCAAUGAUCUUCUCAUUGGGAGGGGGUCAAUCUCUAAGUCUGGGAUUGGUACCCGUGGGUUGCUAGUAGUGUUGAUUACUCCUUGUAGUUUAUGCUAGUUGGUUUAUUUGGUGGAAGAUCAUAUGUUCAGAUCCUAUAUGCAUAUUAAUAUCCCUCUGGUUAUGAACAUGAAUAUGCUUUGUGAGUAGUUACGUUUGUUCCUGAGGACAUAGGAGAAGUCCUGCUAUUAGUAGUCAUGUGAAUUUGGUAUUCGUUCGAUAUUUUGAUGAGAUGUAUGUUAUCUCUCCUCUAGUGGUGUUAUCACUACAAAAAAAGACACAUCCGUGACAUUUUGGGCCGAACGAUAUUUUUUCUGUCAUACAUAUGACACUUCUAUGACGAUAAUUGUGACAAAACCCGGUAUCAUCAUAGAUGUGAUGGGAUCCUACGUCUAUGACAAAAAAUCAUGACAGAAAAUGGGCUUUUCGUCCGGGGCGGGCCAGAGACGCAGCUGCAUGACAUUCUUUGGGCCAUCCAUGAUGGAAAAAACCGUGGUAGAAGCGAGGGGGAGGAAAAUUUCGGGGAGUUCCCGGUUACGGUGGGAGGUCGGGGGCCGAGCGAUGCGCGUUUCUCUCGUACACGUACGCACGUGUGUGCGAGGCGUUGGCUCUAACUGAACCCGAGCGAUUGCACUGCAGGCUACGCAUUAUUGAACCCGAGCGAUCGAUCGAUGGAUGUUAACUGAACCCGAUCGAGCGAUUCCUUCGCUACUGCUGCUAAUUNNNNNNNNNNNNNNNNNNNNNNNNNNNNNNNNNNNNNNNNNNNNNNNNNNNNNNNNNNNNNNNNNNNNNNNNNNNNNNNNNNNNNNNNNNNNNNNNNNNNNNNNNNNNNNNNNNNNNNNNNNNNNNNNNNNNNNNNNNNNNNNNNNNNNNNNNNNNNNNNNNNNNNNNNNNNNNNNNNNNNNNNNNNNNNNNNNNNNNNNNNNNNNNNNNNNNNNNNNNNNNNNNNNNNNNNNNNNNNNNNNNNNNNNNNNNNNNNNNNNNNNNNNNNNNNNNNNNNNNNNNNNNNNNNNNNNNNNNNNNNNNNNNNNNNNNNNNNNNNNNNNNNNNNNNNNNNNNNNNNNNNNNNNNNNNNNNNNNNNNNNNNNNNNNNNNNNNNNNNNNNNNNNNNNNNNNNNNNNNNNNNNNNNNNNNNNNNNNNNNNNNNNNNNNNNNNNNNNNNNNNNNNNNNNNNNNNNNNNNNNNNNNNNNNNNNNNNNNNNNNNNNNNNNNNNNNNNNNNNNNNNNNNNNNNNNNNNNNNNNNNNNNNNNNNNNNNNNNNNNNNNNNNNNNNNNNNNNNNNNNNNNNNNNNNNNNNNNNNNNNNNNNNNNNNNNNNNNNNNNNNNNNNNNNNNNNNGUGGAGGGGUGCCCGUGGAGGGGUGGUUGAACUGGACCCCGUGGUGUGGAGGGCUGGAUGAACAGUAGACGGUGGAGGGGUGGUUGAACAGUAGCCGGUGGAGUAACGCGCGGUGGAGGCUGGAUGAACAGGAGCCCGUGGAGGCUGGAGGAGGUCGACGGUGGAGAUGAACAGUAUCCCGUGGAGUCCCGUUUUGCGGUACGCCACACCCCUCCCAGUAAACAGGACCCCCGUUUCGACCGUAGCGCUCCAACACAAGUCAGUUUCCUCCAUUUUGCGGUACGCCACACCCCUCCCGAUCAACAGGACCCCCGUUUCAACCGUAGGAGGUCCGUUUCCUCCGUUUUGCGGUACGCCACACCCCUCCCGAUGAACAUGAUCCCGUUUCGAACAUGGCCAGUCGAACACAAGGCCGUUUCCUCCAUUCUGCGGUACGCCAGGCCUCGUUUCCAUCGCCUAUUCCGUCCAAGCCCUCCCGAUGAACACAACGCAUUCCGUUGCCUCCCCAUGAACACGACGCAUUUUGUUGCCUCCCCAUGAACACGACACAUUUCGUUGCCUCCCCAUGAACACGACGACGACGCUGUUUCUCAGUUCCGACCCAGCCUUGUACAUGAGCCCUCGUCGUACGUAUGCGCGAGUAGGCAUUCGAGACCCCGCCCGUAUGUACACAUACGUGGCCGUAUUUUCUUUCUUGCACCCUGACCGCUGUACAUACGUGUACAUGCUACGUGCGCGCCUCUACUACGACACAUGCGCGCCUCGACAUCGACCAGUAUAUAUGUACGUACACGUUCGCGACCAGAAUGACAACGCUACGUACGCUUCGACCAGGUAGGUCCCGACUGCCAGGCACUUCCUUGCAUGCGAAGAUGUAGCUGGUGGGUCCCAGCAGUCAAGGCACUACUAGGGACAAGCCUAUACACAGAAUCUUACCAGCAGCGCGCUUUAAAAUCAGGCGCUGCUGCUAAGUAGCAGUAGCGCAGGUUUUUAACCCUCGCUACUACUAAGUUGAUAGCAGUAGCGCUGGUUUUUUAGCCUCGCUACUACUAAGCGGUCACUACCGUGCCCCUCGGGACAUGCCAUAGUAGUAGCGCGGGUUUUUAACCCUCGCUACUCCUAAGUUGAUAGCAAUAGCGUUGGUUUUUACCCCUCGCUACUACUAAGCUGUCUCUACCGUGCCCCUGGGCCAUGCCAUAGUAGUAGCGAGGGUUAUAAAACCGUGCUACUACUAAGUUUUUACCCCUCACUACUACUAAGAGGUCUCAACCGUGCCCCUCCGGGACAUGCCAUAGUAGUAGCGAGGGGUAAAAUCCCUCGCUACUACUAAAGGUGCCAUUUUGAAACUCUACCCCCCUGGAUCGCCUUUUGGGUUUUGUAAAAAGCAAAAGAAAAUGAUAAAAACUUCAAAAAUUAAAAUCCUUCUAGAUUUAGUUAUGUUACUACAUCUACUAGUUAGGAAAAUUUAAAAACUUAAAUUUGGACAUGUUUUGCAAAAAGUGUCGGGAAAAUGUAAAACGGCUAUAACUUUUGCAUACGAUGUUAGAAAAAAACGUAUAAUAUAUCAAAAUGUUUCAAAAAUUAAAAUCCUUUGAGAUGUAGUUAUGUUACUACAUCUACUAGUUAGGAAAAUUUAAAAACUUAAAUUUGGACAUGUUUUGCAAAAAGUGUAGGGGAAAUGUAAAACGGCUAUAACUUUUGCAUACAAUGUCAGAAAAAAACGUAUAAUAUAUCAAAAUGUUUAGCACGAAAAUCUGCAUACGAUGUAGACAGCUACGGCCUAUUUGCAAAUUUUUAGAAUCCUCAAAUUCUAAAAGGAAAAAAAAUUAUGCUCAAAUUUCAGUUUUUUUAAUUUUGGUCAAAUCUGGUCAAACUGUGGUCAAACUAAUUCAAGAAGUAUUAGUGUUACUAAAUAAUUAUUUCAGUUUUUGGAAUUUUGGUCAAAUCUGGUCAAACUGUGGUCAAACUUUGGUCAAAAUGUGGUCAAACUCCUUAUUCAAGAAAUAUUAGUGUUACUAAAUAAUUAUUGUUUUUUAGAACAAUUGUUUUAAACUCAAACAGCAAAAUGUGUGACUUCAUGCUCAAGCUAAACUCCCGAGGGUUAAUAGGAUUGACAUCUUACUAUUGUCAGGAAAGCAACAAGUGCAGACCUGGAAUCGAGGGAGAAUAGAACCCGGAAGUUAAGCGUGCUCAGGCUGGAGUGGUGAGAGGAUGGGUGACCGUCCGGGAAGUUAGAUGAUUUGGAAUGAUGAGGGGUGAUUAGAGAUAAAAUUGAGCAGCGAUGAGGGUGAUUAGAUAUUAGAGGUUAAAAUAAUUCAGAAAUUUGAAAAUUCGCGCAAAAAAUUCGAAAAAAAAUUCUGCGGGUUAGUAGUAGCAUGGGUUUUUAACCACACUACUACUAACGGACGUAGUAGUAGCGCGGGUGGCACCCGCGCUGCUGCUAUACGUUAGCUGUAGCGCCUUAUUAGUAGCGCCGGCCCACGCGCUGCUAAUAGGCCCAAAACCCGCGCUGCUGCUAGGCUCUUCCCUAGUAGUGAGGAGGGGAAUUGUUUUAUUUUGUUUUGCCCGGACGCACUUCCUUCCGUCCGAAGGUGUAGCUAGUGGGUCCCAGCAGUCAGGGGGGAAACGUUUUUUUCGUGAAAUACGGUGGCCCGUCUGGUGGUCCCCGCUGUUAGGUGGAGGAAUAAUUAUUUUGCACAUAAUAAGGAGGCACUUCCUUGCUGCGGCCGUGGACCCAGGUGUCAGCCACUCCACGUACAGUCCACGUCCGAUGGAAGUCGUUCCUUGACCACGUUGACCACGCUGCACCGAGAGCACCAGGGCAGUGGACGACGGCGAGGCCUAGGAAGGGGACGACGAGGAGCUAGGGAAGACGCGGCAGUGGAAGCCUGUGCGGAGAGGAGUACGAGGGUUCACUGGUUCGGCUACGGUGUGAGGCUGCCGUCACCGCAGGGCCUGGCCAGCGGUGGGAAUAGUAGGGGGCGGUGAGGCGUCCGCAGCAGCACAGCCGACCAUGGGAGGCAGGAGCAUGCGGCACGACCGGCGCAACUUUGGGCGGCUGGAGCAAGAAGACCAGAGGUUGAAGAAGCACUACGGCUGUUGGAUGGACAUCGUACAGUCACUGGAGCUAGAAUCGUUCAUAUUGAUUAAAGUUGACAAAGGCCCCCGUCCCAGUCAACUUAGUAGGCCCACAAGUCAGCCUCCCACCAUGGUGGGUCCCAGCUAGCAGGGGGGUAUUCAUUUUUUUGUGCGUAAUAAGGAGGCACUUCCGGUGGGUCCGAGCUGAUAGCGGGGGGGACGUUUUUUUCGCGAAAUACGCUGGCCCGUACGGUGGGUCUGAGCAGUCAGGGGGGAAACGUUUUUUCGCAAAAUAAGGUGGCCCGUCCGGUCAGUCCCUGUUGUAAGGUGGAGGAAUAAUUAUUUUGCGCGUAAUAAGAAGGCACUUCCUUGCGGCUGCAUGGACCCAGCUGUCAGCCUCUCCACGUACAGUACUCUUCCGAUGGAAGUCGGUCGUUAACCACGUUGACCACGCCGCGCCGAGAGCACUAGGGCGGUGGUCUGGACGAUGGCGAGGCCUAGGAAGGGGACGACGCGGAGCCGGGGAAGACGCAGCAGCGGAAGCCCGCGCGGAGAGGAGUACGAGGGUUCACUGGUUCGGCUGCGGUGUGAGGCUGCCGUCGCCGCAGAAUAACAGGGGGUGUGCGUGAGUGGAGGGAUGGCCUGGCCAGCGGUGGGGGUUGUAUGGGGGCGGUGAGGCCUCCGCGGCAGCACAGCCGGCCACGGGAGGCAGGAGCAGGUGGCACGACCGGCACUGCUUUAGGCGGCUGGACCAAGAAGACCAGAGGUUGAAGAAGCACUAAGGCCGUUGGAUGGACAUCGUACGGUCAUUGAAGCUAGAAACGUUUAUUAUUGACUAAGUUGACAAAGCCCUUGGUACGCUCCAACUUAGUAGGCCCACAGGUCAGCCUCCGAAACAGUGUGCCCCAGAUGUCAAGGAGAGGAAUCAUUUUUUGGGCGGCCGAAGCUAAGAAUAUCCGAGAUUGAAGAAGAAGCACGACAUCCGUUGGAUAGACAUCCAACGUCCACUGCUGCUAGAACCGUGUGUUGACUAUAAUAAGUUGGCAAAGCCUUGCAUACGCGUCAACUUAUUUUUUUAGGGGACACGUCACUUAGUAGGCCCACAAGUGUGUGGCAGAGAACUUAUAGCCCAUUUGCGUUUUUGUAAGAAUGUACAGCCCAUUUUGGAAUUCUAAUGGAAUUUACAACAGCCCAUUUACAGUUUGUUAAAAGUACAGCCCAUUUUCUAGCUAGGAAAAUGAUUAAUAAUUUCAACCAACCGUUGAAGACCGAAUUCAACAAAAUUUCCCACAUUUUGAUGGGCUCCAAAAUAUUUUUAUCCUGAAAUUUUUAGUCAGAUUAAAUAUAAAUUUGUAUUAGGUAAAAAUCCAAUGAAACAUUGCGCGCGCAACAAUGAAAAUUUAAGAUUUUCAAAAUCCAUAAAUAAUAUUUUAUAAACUAAUUUCGUGUUUGGUGCAUUUUUUAUAGUUACUGCCUAGUUUUUAUAAUUACAUCCCAUUUAUUAUUUUUUAAAGCCCAUUUUCCUGUUAAGCCUAAUGUAUCCCUCCUAGGAAAGAUUUGCAGCCCAGCGGGGUGGAGAAUAACAAGUUCACUUUGCCUCGGUAUUCCUCAAAAAGACGUAUAGCUGGGCUAGCCAUUUUCAUCUUGAAAAAAUUAGUAUCUGGGCUGGAUGUCUGGCCUGGGCUAGACGGGCCACAACCCGCCUAGUUAAUACCCUGCUCUCCUCUGAAAAACAACGAAAUCAUCGCCAAGAAAAACUCUGCAGUGCUCACGCUUCAAAAAGACAAAUACUGCUUGAGCUGCUUGGUCCCAGCUGUCGGCCGCACCUUGUGCAAUUCUCUCGUUUAUAUUGACUACAUAGGUUGACAAUGGUGUGGGACCGUGAUGUCAGGAAACCAGGAGAAAGCAAAAAACAUAUAGUUGUACAUAAUAAGGAGGCACUUGCGUACGUACGGCUAUGGCCCUAGUGGGUCCCUAGUGUCAUCCAGUCAAAAUAAAGUCAUCUCCUGAAUCCUCAUGUUCGUUGACGAUGUUAACAAUGCUCGGCGCCACGGCGAGCGCAACAACUCGAAGGACAACGGAGAGGGCCUCGCGGGCCCUACGGAUGGUCUGAUACAGCGCCCGCUACUCAUUCAGGAAGCCAGGAUCAUCGGACACCUAUGAGCACCUUCGAGAAACUGAGACGGCAUGAAACGGUAAGGCCGCGCUUGGGAGCUCUGGUUUAUUUCAAACCUGUAUUAACAUACAAGUGUAAUUUACUCAUCAUCGAAAACAACGCGUAAAAUAUAGGCGUAAUGAAACCGAGGGCCCGAGGUCCAUAAGUAAAACCGGCGGGUUACGCGUGUAAUUUGAGAGACCAGUGUAUUUUAUGAGCACUGCUAUAUGGACGACAUUACCAGACGAGUGUCACCUCCAGAAGGACCAACUCUACGACCUCGCCAACUCCAGCACGUACGCACCUAUCCCCUGCGGCUCCCCUGCCUGCACGGAGCUCGGUAGCAGCCACAGCAGUGGUUGCUCCGCCGGCUCCGACCAAUGCAAGUAUAUCCUCGACUACGGCGACGACAGGGUCACCGCCGGGACAUACAUCAGCGACACGCUGAACUUGUCGCCCACCAUCGCGGUCAAGGGCUUCCGGAUCGGGUGCAGCCACGCCGUGAGGGGCACCUUCAGUGACCAGACCGCCGGCGUCCUGGCCCUCGGCGGCGGCGCCGGGUCCCUCCUUGCACAGACCGCGGAGACCUUCGGCAACGCCUUCUCCUACUGUGUCCCGCACCCGAGCUCCGAUGGAUUCCUCUCGCUGGGCGGGCCGGUGGGGAAAUCGUCGCAGUUCGCGAGCACGCCUCUGAUCAAGAACCAACACGC
RNAcentral lists this long non-coding RNA (111942 nucleotides) under Triticum aestivum (bread wheat). RNAcentral's name for it is "long non-coding RNA (TAES_LNC014023)". Lineage: Eukaryota; Viridiplantae; Streptophyta; Magnoliopsida; Poales; Poaceae. The record is from RNAcentral.